GUGGAGGAUGUUACUAAGUGUAUCAAUUUCUUGCAACCGAAAGCUACAAGUUUUGUUAGGUUCCCAAAAGAUACCGAUGAUGAUGGCAAUAGAAUUAACAGACUUUGACAAUAAUAUACUCUUAGAAUUUCAAGAUACUGAAAAAUGGGGGCAAGUUUGGAGUCUUGUUUGCACAGCUGCCUCAGAUGAUAGUGCCGGUGCAGCUUUAAUUCUUUUAUCAUUGCCAACUUCCCCACAUGUUUCUCUCAGCAUCCUUCCUUCGAAAAUUCCUCUUCGUUGAAUGAAAAAUAAACCAGUGCGAGUAUUUCGAGAUUGUGAAAUCUCUCCAGUACGUUCCAGAUUGGAAAACAAGCUGAGUCAUCUCCGGCAAUCUCUAGUUGUUUAAGACUGCCAAAAAGGUGUUGUGGGAAAUCGGCCUGCAAAAUCAUCUUCACAUCUUUUCCACUUAGUGAUAGUUCCUUCAAGUUGGGUACGAUCUGAUCAUCAUCAAUCAUAAUAACUAAUGAGGUCAAUUGAUGUUCUUUCAAAUGAUUUUGAGUAAUCCAAUCACGCAGUGACUUUAUAGUAUUUAUUUUAUAUUAAUUUUACCCCUAAAAAAAUUGAAUUAGUGAUAAAAUUCAUUAUAUGAUUUUUUUAUAUGUUAGUUUUAGAGGUAAUAAAGAAAUUAGGGAAAAAAACGAAAUUAUUUUAUUGCACGAUAGUAGACUCUUGCUUCUCAGUGCCUUUGCCACUGUAGUCAAGGCAAUGGGCAAACCUCCACACAACCUGGCGACGUCUGUUGCUGUAGAUUCCAACUCACGAUUUUCAACAUCAUCACCGGCCAUCAUCUUAAACAAUCUCCAGGCUUCUUCUUCAUUUAAAUUGUUAAUCAAGAAGUUGUCUUUAGAUCCCAUUUUUAAGAGGACGCCACGAUCUCUUGCUGUCAGCAGUAGUUUGCAGCCUUUAUGAUCUUCUCCAAAAGGAAUUCCAACUGUCUCCAAGUCAAGGUGCUUCCAGAUGUUAUCUAAAACCACAAGGAUCUUCUUCUCAUUUCUCAAUCGCUCAAAUAGUUUACAUGCUCUUCUAGAUUCAACUUCCUCGUGCAACUCCAGGCCCAACUUCUCGGCAAUUUCCUGUUGAAUCCUUUUUAUGUCUGGAAUUUGGGAAACCUCUGAAAAGACCACCAUAUCAAAGAGCUCGUCUUCCAUAGCUUGCCUGGCGACCUUCUUCACCAGUGUCGUCUUUCCAAUGCCGCCCAUGCCGUACACCCCAAUGAUGCUGACACUAACAUCGAUCAAUGCGUUUUUUACAACUGACUUCAUCAACAAAGCUUUUGUGAAUAUGCGUUACAUUACAACUGCGAUAUCCUUUCACUGUAUAUUCAUACAGUGGCAGGCCAUGUGACGUUGUGACCCAUGUGCUAGCUUUCACUAUUCAUAUUAUUUUUUUACACGGUGUUUAACAAAAUCUUCACGUAAAGAUUUCAGACGCGUGAUCCUAAUUCAGUAUGCAUUAUUUAUUUAUAAAAUGAAAAUAAAAAGAUAAAAGGAUGUGACUUAACUUGCUAUCAGUGCGGAUCCAGGACUUAAUAUUAUUUCGGGUUAAAUUUUAUAUUUUAAAAUUUAUAUUUUGAAGUGAACAUAAAAAUUUAUAAGUAGAAAGAAGUAUAUUAAAUGAGGGGAGAUAUGGAGAGCUUUAUCCCUAUGAAUAUGUAUUAUAAACGAAAAUAAUUGUAAGAAAAGAGUAGAAACCAAAAGGCAAUUCAAAUAUCAAAACAUUAUUUUUCAAUUAUGGAAUCCGAUAUUGCAACCUAUAAUAACAUGUAAUUAUAUAAGGAUUAAUAAAUCAAUUAAGAAUUUCAAACUAAAUUAGAUCAGUACAUGUGAUUAAAAUUAAUUAAAGAUUACAAGUAAAACUUUUUUGUUUGAAGUCAAGUACUAAAUUACCAAGCUUAAAUAAAUUUAAAAAAUUAAAAUUCAUUCAUUCUUUCGAAUUAUAAAAGUAUUAUUAAUAAAAAAUUUAGUAAUAAACUAAAUUCAAUUCAACAAAAAGUUAUUUGGAUAUCGUUGUUUCAUUGCCAGUGCACUAACUUUCUUUAUAGAAGUAGAUGUUGAUGAUUCUUCUAUUAAAGUUCCUCAAAAUACCUAAAUUUUAUUUUCUAACUUCUUCUCGUAGUUAAUGUAACUAAUAAAUAGAAUCUAAAAAAUCACAUAAAAUGUUUAUGAAAAUGUUGAUAAUUGUUACUAUUUAUUGUUUUCGUAAGUACUUUUAAUGCUAGUGACGAUGUUAUAUUACAUUGAUUUAUAUUUUUUUUCAAUUAGAAGUUUUUUAAAAUAAAUUAAAGCGAUAAUAAUACUUUAGCUCCUAAUGUUUUCAAUCUAUCCACUAAGUAUAUAAUUUAAUCAUUUUAUAAAAUAAGUCACUAAUUUCAAUUGGAAAUAAUACAAUUUAAUUAGGGAUAUAUUUGAAUAUAAAAUAAUAGCCCAAUUGUUAUACUAAAUUGAUGAAAAUAUAAGGGUAAUUGAGUUAGGGAAAUAUUUGAAUAUAAAGUAAAAACUCUAUUGUUAAACUAAAUUGAUGAAAACAUAAGGAUACUUGAGUUAGGGACAUAUAUGAAAACAAAAUAAAAACUCUAUUUUUAUAAAAAAAUUAUAAGAAAACAAGGUGUAUAAAUGAUUUUUUCUGUGCUAGACCAAGCUACAACCCAGUCUAGCCCAACUGUAGGUCCGCCACUACUUGCUAUUUACAUACAGACAUGUAGCCCUUAUUCUAAUAUCUAUAGGAAAAGACACUUAUACUCCAAGAUUUGAAGAAAUGGUCACGUAGAUCUCUAAGUUUUCAGUAACCAAAAUUUCUUUUUGACUAUAAUACUUUUUGUACAUAGUAAAUAAAAAAUGACUUUAAGAUUUUUUUUAAUAAAUAUAAAUAUAACUUAAAUAGUUUAAUCUGUCUAAUAGACUAAUAAUAUUAGAAUAUUUUUAAUAUAUAAAAUAUUUUUUAAAUAAAAACAUUAUAUUUAUUUUAAUAAUAUAUUUUUAUUUAUCAUAAAAAUAUCAAAUAAAUCAUUGGGGUUAAAUAGAAUUUAAAAUUAAUAAAACACAUCUCAUUAAUAAAAUAUAUCUCAUGUAGUAAUAAUAUUGAAAUUAUUUUAUAUAAUAUUUAAAAAAUUUAUAAAAUUUAUAAAAUUUAUAAAAUUUAUUUUAAUAUUAUGUUCUUAUUUAUUAUAAAAUUUAGUCUAAUAUAAUAUAAGAUUGUUAAGUAUAUAAAUAUUUUCCUAAAUUGAAGUUGUUUUAAAAUGUUAAUAUUUUAUGUUUAUUUCAAUAUUAUAUUUCUAUUUAUUAUAAAACAUAGGAGUCAAUUUUUUUGAGUUAAUAGAGUCAAAUGUAUUAUAGUCGAAAGAGGUAUUGGUAUUCCUUAUUAAAAAUUUAGGGGUCUACAUGACUAUUUGCCAAACCUUAGGUGUAACGUCCUUUUCUCCAAAAUUGAUUCUCUAUAGGUAUUUCAUGAAGGAAAAUGAUAUUUACAAUGAAUCAAACCCCGGACUAGUUAAAAUGCAUUAUUUCAGCUUAAAUAAUGGUAAAUAUUUGUUCAGUCUCUAUAUUUUGAAUUAAGUACCGUUUAGUCCCUCAAGACACCUUUGUCAGUAAGCACAAUAUAAUCCUACCCUUACUUUUUCUUUGAUUUUAUAAUAACAUGCUUGCAACAAUAUUCUUAGAUAUGUUAAUGUAAAGAAAAAUUUAAAUUUAUCAAAUCAGCCUUAAAAGUAAAAUACAAAUUAGUUGUUAUUAUUAUUAAUAAAAUAAUAAAAUAAUAAAAUAAUAAAAUAAUAAUAACAAUAAUUAACAUUAAUUAAAAUAAUAAAGUUAAUAUAUUAUAUAACAAAAAAAACAAUAUUUACAUUUAUCAAAUUUUCAUGUGUUUAAAAAAAAUUAUGUGAUAUUACAUUAUUAUCUUUACACAAUCAAUCAUUUUUAUGAUCAAGUUAGGCUAAUGGAUCAAGCUUUAAAAAAUUUAAAACAAUAGGAGUUAUAUAAAUAAAUAUUUAAAAAAUUUUGUUUUAUGAUAUUAUAAUAAACAGUAAAGAUUUAAGUCUUAAUAACCAAUUGAACACAUCUCAACCGUUGACAGUAGCGGCUCGACCUCUAGGCAACUUAAGCGGUUGUCUAGAGCCCCGCUUUACAUUAAGGUCCUAUGAAAUGAUUAUUUUGUAUAUAAAAGGGAAAAGUGAAUUUAAAAGUCAUUACUAUGCAUUUAAUUUGUUAUUAUUUUGUAAUUAUCUUUUUCUAAAUAAACUAUCAAAUUCCUAUAAAGUUUAUUUAAUGUAGUACUUAGUAGUUUUAAUUCCUACAAAACCGAUAAAUUAAUAGUUUCAAUCCUACAAAUUCUCUAUUUAAUUGUUAGAAUUAAUAUGUUAUAAUUAAAAAGUUUUAUAUUCAUUUUAAACCUCUAUAAAAGCCCCACAUUUUAUUACUUAUCUAUUAAAUUUUUCCUCUAAUAAUCAAGACACGAUAUGUUGUUAGUGUUUGAGAGAAAGAAAGACAGAGAUGGAAAAAAUCAUGCUUCCUCUACUUUCCACUCAAGAAGAAAAAAAAAAAUCUAAUAAUUUUCUCUAUACUCUAUGGCUAUUGGUCAUUACUUAAAUCCUCAAAUAAUUAAUAUAAAUAUAAAGUUAAUUCAUGAUUUCAUCUCAAAUUCCAGAUUUUAUCUUUUUAUUAUUCUCUUAAUUAGUUGUGUUAUUUACUUGUUCUUAUUUUUUUUCAAUAUAUUCUUUUAUUCAUCUACUUUUUUUUGUAUGCUUGUUUUAUCUAUUUUGAAAUAAAAUUAUAUCGAAAAACUUUAGAAAAUAGAAAAAUUAGUUUAAUCUAGAAAAGGAGUAGUAAAAAAGAUGUAAUUUGAGUUGAAGAACAAUAAGUGAAAAUAUUAUAAUUGAAUUAAAAUUUAAUAGAUAACCCUAAUUUUUUUAUAAGAACUAAUUAAAAUCAUUUGCCUAGGGCCCCAAAUAUGGUUGAGUCGGCCCUGACCGUUGAACACUUUAGCUAUUAGAUUCAUCAGUUGAAUUAGAAAAAUAUAAAAUUUGGGGUACCGUGCAACUGUUGCAAGGUAGGCGGACACGUUAUAUUUAAUAUAGAAUAAAUAAACUAAAUAUGUGUAAAGAAUAUAGGUUAUUAACCUUGCAAUACUUCAAAAAAUUAUAAAAUAAAAAAGGUGAAAUUUCAAAAUAAGGAACUGUAAAAAGUAUUAGGUUCUAAAAUUUUAUUAUUUUAAUAUUACAAAACUUUACUUUUUUAUAACAUUUUUGUUUUUAAUAUUAGUUGACAUGUUAGUUUAUUUGUAUAUAAAAUAUGUUAAUUUACCUAUAAAAUACUAAUAUUACUCUUGAAAUUUAAGGAAGCCAUUUUAAUUUUUUAAAAUUUUAAAUGUAGCCCAACAAAGUCAUAGAAAUAUAAAUAAAGAAUAGCAUAAAAGGAAGUUAGUUUAAUUUUUUGAAGAAUACUUCAAAAGCAUUUGAGUUUUAUGUUUCUUGAGAAUUAUACCUUUUUGUUUUUUAGAUAUUUGAGCUUGUGAAUCUUGUUGUAAUGAUAAUUUAUUAUUUAUUCUUGAUUAAAAAUAAUUGAAUAGUAAAUUUAUUGGUUUCUAAUUACUCUUUUAAAUGUAGGGCGAUUGCUUAAUUUUUAUUAUGUUACCCUAAAUUUUUUGAUGAUGGCUAAUCAACCACUGCAAAAGACUCUACCAUGAUUAUUUUUACUUUCUCUACAUCCCUCUAGACCAUCAUCACUCAAAGAAUUAAGAGUCCAUUUGGCAUACUGUAUUAUAUUAUACUGUAUUGCAUUAUUUAAUAUAGGUAUAUUGUAUUAUGUUAUAUUACAUUAGUACUAAAUUAUAAUAAUAUUUGUACAACAUUUGGUAAUUGGUAUUACAUUGUACUGCAUUAAUUUUAUAUUAAUAUUAUACUAACAUUAUUUAAAUUUAUUAUUAAUUAUAUUAAAUUAUUAUUUUUAUAUAAAUAUAAUAUGAUAUAAUAAAAUAAUAUGAUAGUAUAAUUUAAUUUUAUAUUUUUAUUUAUUAUUAUAAUAAAUAAAAAUAUAAUAAAAAUAUAUUUAAUGCUUAAUUAAGGUAAAAUAAUAAUAAUAACAAUAGUAUUACUUUAAACAAAAAAAUCUAUAAAGUUUAAAGAUGAUGAUGAUGAUGUUGACGACAUUAAUAAUAACAUAACAAUUAAAAUAAUAAAACAAAUAAAUUUUAAUGAUAUUAAUAUUAAUAAAAUAAUAAUAACAAUAAUUAAAAUAAUAAAAUUAAUAUAUUUUAAUAAUAGUAAUAAAAAUAAUAUUAAUGACAGUAAUAAAAUUAAUAAAUAAUAAUAAUGACUUAAUUAAAAAUAAUCAUAAUAAUUAAAAUAAUAAAUUUUGAUGAUAAUAAUAAUAAUAUUAUUAUUAUUCUUAUUAAUAUAAUAAUAAUGACAUUAAUAAAUAAUACUAAUAAUAACAGUCAAAUGUUUUUGAAAAACCAUUUUAUCCCAAAAAAAGGGACUUAUAUAUAAAAUUUUGUAACUUCUAAUGUCUAUUCAAUUUUUUCAUAAAAUAUAAGGUAGUGCAGUGUAAUUAAUAAAAAAGACAAAAUUCGGUGGUAUGCUGCAAUUGUUGCAACAUAGUUUCAUCUUUAUUUGUGAUCCUAAAGUUUGAGAUAUGUGAUCCUUAUUCUAUUGUGUCAAUUAUAGUCCAGUCCAAUGCCGCCAUCAUUAUCGAACAGUCGAUAUCCAACACUUGCACGAAGAUUCCAAGAAGUUGUGUGGCUGCCGACUUUUAAAUGCUAAGCCUUAUUGUGUCGAAGAUACACAAAACAGAGCAGUCCAGGUAAUUGCCAAAACUUAGAACUAAACAGUAGCUUAGUCAGAAAAUCAAACAAGUACCAAUAAAAUGACUGAUAAAAAUAUAAAGAAAUCAGUCAAAUCACGAAGAUUGAAGAGUAAAUCAAUGGUUUUAGAUUUUUAUUUUUUUUUUUAGAUAAUAGAUAUUAUUUUGAUGAAUUUUUUAAUAUUAGAAUAAUGUUAGGAAUUCCAAUAGUAGAAUUCUAGCUUAAGACCCAAUUAUUAUGUGUCAUUUUUUUAUUGGAUAAUGAAUUUCAUAACUAAUAAAAUUAAUAUUUCGAUCAUUUAAUAAAUGACUACCAUAUUAGUUGAGACUCAAUUAUUAGGAUCAUUAACAUUGCUCUUAGUAUUAAAUUGGACAUCUUAUCCAAAUCAGAUUAAAAAUCAAAUUAGAUUUUAAGCUUUUAUUCAACAUCUCCUUUUUUUUUUUUUUUUUUGGUCUAUUUGAAGUGAACAAAAUAAAAAUACAUUAGGGUCAACGACUGGGCAAUUGAUAGUCAAGUAUUUUGUUGUUUUUGCUACCUUGAAUUAAAUUUUCUCAAUUAGAUCAACAAGCAUUAAGCUUGAAUUAAAUUAUGCAAGGUUCAUUUCUUUUGUUUGAUGCAAAAAAAGAAAAAAAAGAAAAAAAAAUGUUUACAUUCUUGGCGACUUGAGUAGAAAUAAGCGUUUUGAUAUCAUAAGGUUCAUUCAAUGAGUUCAUUCUUCCCAUUUUGAUCUCUUUUUCUUUCAUAGACAUUUCUUUUUCAUUUAACCCCAUUACAACAUUUCUAAGACCCUUAGAUUUUUGCAUUUAAUUCAUGUUUUAUGGAUUGAGAUGUGAUAUAUGAGCAAGCUCAUGAUAAUAGCAUUCUUUGAUUUGAUUUGAGUGCAUAAAUGAUACCUUAAACACUUUGAGUACAUGGAGUGAAGUUAAUGAGAGGGCUAUUAAAUCUUGUUGCACUUGAAUUUUGAAUGGAUAUUUGAUAACUCUAGGAAAUGAGAGUUAUUACAUCAAUUCUAGACUUGAAUCAAGGUCACUUAGAGAACAAAUAAAGUGUUUUUAUUACAUUUUGGGUACCUUUUUGCAUAAACAUUCAUUUUAGUUGAGUCUAAUAAAUUUUGCUUGAAUCAUAGUAAUUUGUGCUAAAAACAGGUUUUAAAUUGUAGGUUUUAAAUUCGUGAGAGGAUGUUGAGGCAUUAGAAGAGCAAGAGGAGGAAGGAAGUUGGCCACAAAAGAAGUAAAGCACAAUCGGGAAUAAAACAGUAUUGUAGCAGCUGUUAGAGCAACCAGUGCUAUAACAAUCUUGGAGCAAUGCGGGAGAAAACUUAGGCGCGAGUCAGCCACAAAAUCGUGAUCUGCAUGUUUCCUAAUUCAAGCAUAUGCACGCUCAUAGGCUUUGGUUUAACCUAAUUUGCAAUAUAAAAAAGAGGCGUGCAGCACAUAGAAAGGCGGCAAGGAAUUAUCAUAAAAAAUAAUUACAAAGGCAAGAAGAAGGAGAUCAAGAUUAAAGAGUGCUAUUCGGAAACAAAAGGAGAGAGCCGUGCAGAAUUAUUUGCCUUUCAUCGUGCUCAACUUAUAUUUUCUCUUUUUCCUUGAAUUGUUGGGAUGUAUUCCGAGUUCAACAUAUUUGUGUUUAUUUUUCUCAUCCAGAUUAUGAACUAAAUUUACUUGUGGUUGAGUGAAAAAUAAUCCAAUGGGUUCUUGACUAUUCUUUUAUGUUGUUAUGGUAAUGUUGUAGCAUUAUACUCUAGUAGUUUUUAUGAAUACAACUGUUGUUUCGGUUCACCACCCAUUUAAUAGUUUCAGUUAAGAUAGAGCAGCAAAAGGGCAUGUCUUAGCGGACAUUAUUAGAGUAUUACUUGUUCUUAAGUCGAGUUUCCUGGAAUAUGUUAUCUUGAAUCCCAUAAGGGCAAUACUUGAAGUUAAGAUUUGUGACACUCUAGACAUAGGUGUUCACCUUGUAGGGUAGAGAGAUUAAAGGUUAUAAUGCCAUACCAUAAAUAUAUGAGCAACUGGUCAUUGUUAGUAGAUUUAAAAGUAUGAAAUUUCCAACAUGCGAUAGCUGCGGAUGCAGAUUUAUUCUACCCAUUGCUGCAGCACUUAUUGAAACAAUUGGUGCUAAUUUGGUAAACAACAGUCACCCCAUUAGGAGAGUUUGAUCAUUCAACUACUAUAUUUUCAAUUGAAUCUUAGACACAUUUAACUUAGUUUACUUCAUUACAGUAUUGUUUUAUUUUCAUCUCUCAUAAUUAUUAGUUACAGCAGAAUUAUUUGACAAUUGUUUGUUUCGAUCUUUAAUUGAUUUGCACUAUUGUGAUUGUUUUAGCAUUUUGAGUAACAGCAAUCCCUGUGGAGACGAUCUUGAAUACUCAUCACUUUAUUACUUGUUGUGUAUACUUGCACAUUGGCAUUGAUAAUAAUUGCUUAUAGAAAUUAACCAACAAGUUUUUGGCGCCGUUGCUGGGGAUUGAUUGUUUAUUUUUGAAGUGUGAAGUAAAUCUUGAUAGCGCCAAAUCUGAUUUGAUUUAUUCUAUUUAUUGGCAGAUCGGUACAUGCAUGUGUAAAGACAAAUCUGUGGUAUUCUAAUUCGAUCCUGAGAUUGAAAGGACUGUCAGGAGAUUACGAAGAGAACAAAGGAAUUCAGAAAUUGCUUCAAGCAUGAAUAAUUUACAAGAUGCAGGAAAUUUGAAUCCUCACGGGCCCUUACAACCAGUGAACAUUCAAGAAGAGCAGAAUGACCAUGCUAACGGGAGACAGCCAGGCAAUAACAAUAUUAUUUACAUGGCUGAUGACAGAGACAGAGCUAUAAGAGACUAUGUUGUGCUAACUCCUCAAGUUAUAUAUCCUGGCAUCAUCAGACCUGAAGUAGACGCUGCCAAUUUUGAGUUGAAGCCAGUGAUGUUUCAAAUGUUGCAAACUGUUGGGCAUUUUAUUGGAUUACCAAAUGAAGAUCCUCAUCUCCAUCUUAAAUUGUUCUUGGAAGUAAGUGAUGCUUUCAAGAUUGCUGAAGCAACACAAGAUGCCUUAAGGCUGCGGCUUUUCCCUUAUUCCUUAAGAGAUCGAGCAAGAGUAUGGUUAAAUUCGUUACCAUCUGAUUCCAUCACUACAUGGAAUGAAUUGGCUGAUAAAUUCUUAAUGAAAUAUUUCCCACCGACAAAAAAAUGCGAAGUUGAGGAAUGAGAUUACUUCCUUCCAUCAACUUGAAGAUGAAAGUUUGUACGAGGCUUGGGAAAGAUUCAAGGAAUUGCUCAGAAGGUGUCCUCAUCAUGGUAUCCCUUGUUGCAUUCAAUUGGAAACUUUUUACAAUGGGUUGAAUCCAAGUACAAGGUUAAUGGUGGAUGCUUCAGCAAAUGGAGCUCUGUUAUCCAAAUCUUACACUGAAGCCUAUGAAAUUCUGGAAAGAAUUGCCAACAAUAAUUACCAGUGGCCUUCAGCCAGGCAACCAGCAGCAAGAGGAUCAGCAGGGGUACAUAACAUUGAAACAAUUACAGCUUUAUCAGCUCAAGUAACCUCAUUGACUAACAUGGUAAAAGCCAUGACAGCUGCUCCAGCAACAGUAAAGCAAGUUACUGAACUUUCUUGUGUCUACUGUGGUGAAGAACAUGAUUUUGAUAAUUGUCUUGGAAAUCCAGCCUCAGUAAACUAUGUGGGUAACUUCAAUCGACAACCUCAGAACAACCCAUAUUCAAAUACUUACAACCCAAGCUGGAAACAACACCCAAAUUUCUCAUGGAGCAGUCAAAAUCGAAAUGCUCCAGCAUUGAAUGGACUAAGUACAAACACACAACCACUUAGUUUUCAUUAGCAAAGUCAAGGGCAAAAGCAUAUUAGUCAGGAUCCAAUCACUUCACUAGAAACACUGAUUAAGGAGUAUAUUGCAAAGAAUGAAGCAAUUGUGCAAAGUCAAGCUGUAUCUUUAAGAAACCUUGAGAACCAAAUGGGACAACUAGCUACAGCAAUGAGCAGCAGAACUCAAGGAAGCCAACCUAGCAACACAGAAGACCCUAGGAGAGAGGGCAAAAAAGAAGUUACAACACCAGUAGUUACAACUUGCACAAAAUCAAACAAACAAAGUUUAAUAUCCCCUGAAGUUACCCAGCAGUUUAGACAUCCACCACCUUUCCUACAAAGGUUCCAGAAGCAAAAAUAAGACAAGCAGUUCAGCAAAUUCCUGGAAGUGCUGAAAUAAUUGCACAUAAACAUACAUUUUGUGGAAGAUUUGGAGCAAACGCCAAAUUAUGUUAAAUUUCUAAAAGAUAUCUUGGCACGAAAAAGAAGGCUGGGAGAGUUUGAAACUGUUGCUUUAACACAAGAAAGCAGUCAUAUGCUCCAGAGCAAAAUUCCCACAAAAUUGAAAGAUCCAGGGAGUUUUACAAUACCUUGUUCUAUAGGAACUAGAUAUGCUGGCAGAGCACUUUGUGACUUGGGAGCUAGUAUUAAUCUGAUGCCAUUAUCUGUAUUUAAGCAACUGGGAGUAAGGGAGUGCAGACCAACAACAGUCACUCUGCAAUUAGCUGACAGAUCUCAUGCAUACCCUGAAGGAAAGAUAGAGGAUGUAUUGGUGAAGGUUGACAAAUUCAUCUUUCCAGUGGAUUUCAUUGUGUUGGACUUUGAAGCCGACAAAGAGGUACCCAUUAUACUUGGAAGACCUUUUCUAGCAACUGGAAAAACUCUGAUAGAUGUGCAGAAAGGAGAGCUCACCAUGAGAGUGAAUGAUCAGCAAGUCACAUUUAAUGUGCUAGAGGCAAUGAGAAACCCUAGAAGAUUGUAAUUUCCUAAGUGUAGUGGAUCUUGUUGUAGCAGACAGAAUGGACAGAUGCUGCAGUAAUAUACUUGACAAAGUCACCACCUUUGAGGAUGUUGAAGAGGAAGAUGUUGCAGCAAUCCAAACAGAUUGGAUGGACAAACAACAAUCUGAUAGGUACAACAGGUUUAUUGAACACCUGAAUCUUUUAGACAUGGAAGUAAAAACAACUUUACCAUCUAUUGAAUCACCUCAUAAUUUUGAGUUAAAAUUGUUACCUUCACAUUUAAAGUAUGCUUAUCUUGGUCAAAACAACACACUCCCUGUAAUCAUUUCUUCUACUUUGGAUGCAGGUCAAGAACAUAGUUUAGUAGAUUUGCUGGGAAAAUACAGAAGAGCAAUUGGAUGGACCAUGGCAGAUAUAAGGGGGAUAAGCCCAUCCAUCUGUAUGCAUAAAAUCCUAUUAGAGGAUUGUUCCAGCAAUUCGGUGGAACACCAGAGAAGGCUGAAUCCUAUUAUGAAAGAAGUGGUGAAGAAGGAAAUCAUCAAAUGGCUAGAUGCUGGAAUCAUAUACCCAAUAUCAGACAGUUCAUGGGUAAGCCCAGUUCAGUGUGUUCCAAAGAAAAGAGGGAUAAUAGUAAUGGCUAAUGAGAAUAAUGAACUUAUUCCUACAAGGACAGUGACUGGAUGAAGAGUGUGUAUGGAUUACAAGAAGCUUAACAAAGCCACAAGGAAAGACCAUUUCCCACUUCCAUUCAUAGAUCAGAUGUUGGACAGACUUACUGGAAAACAGUACUACUGUUUCUUAGAUGGGUAUUCAGGCUACAACCAGAUUGCUAUAGUUCCAGAGGAUCAAGAGAAGACUACAUUUACUUGUCCUUAUGGAACAUUUGCCUUCAGAAGAAUGCCAUUUGGGCUAUGCAAUGCUCCAGCAACUUUUCAGAUAUGCAUGAUGUCUAUAUUUUCUAAUAUGGUAGAGCAAACUUUGGAAGUUUUCAUGGAUGACUUCUCAGUUUUUGGAGAAACAUACAAUGAUUGUUUACACAACUUGGAAGAAGUUCUUAAAAGAUGUGAGAUGACCAACUUAGUACUCAAUUGGGAAAAGUGCCAUUUCAUGGUGCAAGAAGGAAUAGUGCUGGGUCACAAGAUAUCCAAGGAUGGUAUUGAGGUAAACAAAGCCAAGUUAGAGGUAAUAGAUAAACUGCCACCUCCAACUUCAGCAAAGGGUGUUAGGAGUUUUUUGGGUCAUGCUGGAUUCUACAGAAGAUUCAUUAAGAAUUUCUCCAAUGUAGCUAAACCUCUGUGUUCAUUGCUGGAGCAUAACAAACCAUUUCACUUUGAUACAGAGUGCCUUAAGGCAUUUGGAGAAUUAAAGAAAGCUCUUAUCAUUGCUCCAGUAGUUAUAUCUCCAUAGUGGACUUUACCAUUUGAAUUGAUGUGUGAUGCUAGUGAUCAUUCUGUGGGGGCAGUAUUAGGGCAAAGAAAGGAUAAGGUUUUUCAUUCCAUAUACUAUGCAAGCAAAACGUUCACUCCAACUCAGAUCAAUUACACAACUACAGAGAAAGAGUUGCUAGUAGUAGUUUUACUUUUGACAAAUUCAGAGCUUACCUGGUGGGUACCAAAGUAACUGUUUACACAAACCAUGCAGCCAUCAAAUAUUUAAUUUCAAAGAAGGAUGCCAAACCAAGAUUAAUCAGAUGGAUCUUAUUGCUUCAAGAAUUUGAUCUGGAAAUUAAAGAUAGAAAGGGGACUAAGAAUCAAGUGGCAGACCACUUGUCACGGUUGGAAUCAGACACUAGUACAUUGACAAGGAAGGACAUCACCGAAACUUUUUCUGAUGAACAGUUGUUGGUAAUACAGCAAGCACAGAUGCUGCAGCAGUCAGAAUCUCCAUGGUAUGCAGACUUUGCUAACUACUUAGUAAGUGGGUUGCUACCACCUGAGCUGAAGUUUUAAGAGAAAAAUAAAUUUCUUCAUGAUGUUAGAAGUUAUCAGUGGGAUGACUCACAUUUAUAUAAGCUAUGCUCAGAUCAAGUAAUAAGAAGAUGUGUUGCAGCAGAAGAAAUACCUCAUAUACUGGAGUCAUGUCAUGCUGCAGCAUAUGGAGGAUAUUUUGGUGGUCACAGAGCAACUGCCAAAGUUAUGCAAUCAGGUUAUUAUUGGCCCACUAUCUUUAAAGAUGCUUAUGAAUUUGUUAAAUGUUGUGAUAUGUGUCAAAGGACAGGGAACAUAACUAGCAGACAUGAGAUGCCUUUGACUAACAUAUUGGAAGUGGAAGUUUUUUAUGUUUGGGAAAUAGAUUUCAUGGGACCUUUUCCCCCAUCCUUUGGGAACUUAUAUAUCAUUGUUGCUGUAGAUUAUGUCUCCAAGUGGGUAGAAGCUGCAGCAUUACCUACCAAUGAUGCUAAAACAGUGGUGACUUUUCUUCAAAAAAAUGUUUUCUCUAGGUUUGGCACUCCUAGAGCAAUUAUUAGUGAUGAAGGCACACAUUUUUGCAACAAAAUCUUUGCUGCAGCAAUGAUGAAAUAUGGAGUCAGACACAAGAUAGCAACAGCAUAUCACCCACAAUCCAAUGGUCAGGCUGAAGUGUCCAACAGAGAAAUUAAAAAGAUCUUAGAAAAAGUGGUGAACCCAAAAAGGAAGGAUUGGUCUUUACAUUUGCAUGACUCUCUAUGGGCCUACAGAACAACAUACAAAACUCCACUCGACAUGUCUCCUUACCGAAUUGUUUAUGGCAAAGCAUGUCAUUUGCCACUAGAGCUAGAGUACAAAGCCCAUUGGGCAUUAAAGAAAUUAAAUUAGGAUAUGCAUGCUGCAGCAGGGCAAAGGAAACUUCAACUUUGUGAGCUUGAUGAAUUACGGCUGUUUUCAUAUGACAAUGCAAGAAUCUAUAAAGAGAGAACAAAACACUGGCACGACAAGCAUAUUCAACACAGGAAAUUCACCCCUGGUCAAUUAGUGUUACUCCACAAUACAAGACUAAGAUUAUUUCCAGGAAAGCUCAAGUCAAGAUGGUCUGGCCCGUUUAAGUUGUUAAAAUCUUACCUUCAUGGAGCUGUUGAUCUUCUAGAUGAACAAACAGGCCACGAGUUCAAGGUUAAUGGACACAGGGUUAAGCAUUACAUACAUCCAGCAGCAGAAUGUUCAAAGGAGGUGUUACUCCUUAAAGAACCUAGCUAUUGAACAAAGAAGGAAGGUCAUGCUGAAGGACCUUAAAUCAAGCGCUUCAUGGGAGGCAGCCCAUUGAGGAGAUAGCCACUUCAAACCAAGUUUGAUAGCCUUUGGUUUUGUAGACAGCUUUCUCUCUUUGCCAUCUUAUUUAAUUUCUGUUUUUCUAUGAUUAGCCCUUAUUUUCAUCCAUUUACAUUAUUGCAUUCUUUACUUUCACUUUAAUUUGCUAUAUCUAUUUCUUUUAAUAAAUUUUAGACUUAAUGUUAGUAAGUGUGAUAAUUGAAUUUCAUAUUGACAAGUGAGAGUGAAUGGUGGCAGAAUUCAGAGGUGAAUCACGUGUUAGAAGCUUUUAGUGGGGAGUCUGUAUCCGUUGUUAGAAUAAGCGAAUGGGUGCUGCAGCAGCUAAUUUUACCGUUACAGUAAAUUAAAAGCUGGAGCCUUUCACUUACCGUUGGAGAUAAAAUCGUGACAGAUGGAUGCAUGGACAUGGAUAGAAAAUUGAGGAAACCAAUCUAUGAAAUUAAAGCUUUAAUUUCAUUGGCCGAUAAUUUUGGGGAUAUGGACAUUUAAUUCAAAUAUUUUAUUCCCUCAAUUAUCUCUCGUUACCGUAUUUAUCUUCAAAUUAAAGUCCAUUAUAAAAAAGAAUCACUGUGCUUAGUGCUCUACGCCACUAUUCCCCAUCUCCUUCGCAAAGACAACUCUAAAAACUCUUAAACUCUUUUUCUCUUUUUAUUCUCAGGAACAGUAGCUUCAAUUUGUUAUUGCUACAGCAAUGCCGAGAUACAAGAAAAUAGUCAGUCGCCUCAAAGAUCUAUCACGAUUCCAGAGUUACCACGCUGAAGAAAAAUAUGAAGAAUUCAUAGAGCCACGUCGGAUUCUGGAAGAAAAAAGGGUUUCAAUUCCCAGACCAACUCACGGGAAUUGUGCAAACCAUUCAUAAUGCUAUAGCAAAGCGAGGAUGGUUAGAGUUUUGCAACCACCCUCGCGAUCCUGUGUUGCCUGUAGUCAAAGAAUUUUACGCCAAUUUGGUGUUCGUCUUGACGCUAGAGAUGAACAUGUAAAAAAUGAUGGUGCCUGUACGGCACGUACCAUUGAGAGAGUUGCUGGUGAGAGUGCUGGAACAACCACUGAACCAGCUGCUAUCACUGGAGCAAGACGAGCCAUUGGUUUAGAACAGACUAUCCAGGUACUCAGCAAUAGUAUAACUCAAUGUGUGGAAGCUCAACAGAGGGAAAAUGGUCGAUUUUGGAGCUAUCUACAGCACUUGGAUAACCAACUACACCAAUUUGAUCUGUACAUGAAACGCACUCACUGGAACUUCCCUGAUGCACUGCUCCAGCAGUUCCAUUUUGCCAUAAACACCACAGGUGCUCCAGCAGCAGCCAGUGAAGAAGCCACUCCUUCAGAUGAACCAGCAGAGGACGCUGCCACUGAGCUACAAGCAGCAGUCGACUCAGAAGAGGCUGAACCGUCUGAUCCACCUGAGGACGAAGGUGACAAGUCUGAGACUGAUAGCUCACCCUCAGAGGCAGAGGAUAACUCAGAGAAAGAAAGUGAGGAACCAACCAUCCCAAGCUAGCCCAAAACUAGAAAAAAGCAUAUUAUUCAAGAAGAAGAAGAGGAAGACCUUGAAGAGGAGCUGCCUAUUCCAGUCUUUAAGGGUAAGAGGAAGGAUAAGGGUAAAGCAAAAUUGGCAACCCCUCCAGCCUCUGAAGAUGAAAUGGAGCAAGUCGAUGCUGAGUUGGCUGCUGCAGCAGCCAGAGCUAUGCCUACACCUGAGCAAGCCUAGCAACUACUUGCGGUUAUUGCUGCCAUCACCGCUGAGGGCCAGGCAGCUGAUGCAUUGACUCAAAAGCCUCCACAGCAAACUCCUGACCAGCCUAUCCGCACCAGUCCAAGACAAUCCAGCAAAUGAAAAGGCAGUACGUCUACAGGUACUGCUACAACAACCCCAGCCACCACUCCUCUCACCAGCCCCGCAGCGAAAAAGACAAAGACAUUGCCAGCCACUUCCCCAAAAGCUUCACCAAAGGAUAAGCUGCGCAGUGCGUCCAAGAAGCGCUGAUAGCAUCCUGUCAUGUGCUGCAGUCCCCACCACAGGGGAGUACUCUUUCCUUACUAGUGCAUUAAAAAAAAAAAAUUCAAUUUGUGUGUCAUUGUUAUGUUUGCUUGUGAGGACACAGCAACUCUCAAGUUUGGGGCGGGUUGUGUUCCCAAAUGCAUAUGUUUAUGUUUGUAUGCAUGUGUUUAUGUUUGUGUGGUGUGGAGCUCUAUUAUCUAAUAUUUGUGUAUGGAUUUGAAAGCCUAAUGAAGAUAAAUUGAGUGCUAUUCAAUAUAUAUAUGCCAAGUAGAGAUAGUUAUAGAUGAAAGUGAAAUUCUGUCCCGACACUUAGACUUUGGUUGAAUUGUACGAGACUGUUAGAGCAAAGCCAAAAGAAGAGAAAAGAUCUCAAGUUUGGGGGGGGGGGGUAGAAGCAAGUUUGAAUAACUGUGAUAUCUAUGGAAUACAAUUUGUUCCAAUGACUCAAGUUGCUGAGUAACCAUAUCUGAGUAUGUACCCCAUAUGCAGACUUGUGUUCAAAGGUAGCGAGAGUUAUGAGCAAUGCUGCACCAUAUAUAUAUAUAUAUAUAUAUAAAGAAAUCAUCUGUCUAAGGCAUUGAGUAGUUAGGUCUGUUCAUGAGCCCCAUGUUCAGCCUUGAGUAAAAGAUACUUCUAGAUAAGAUUACCUUACAAUUACUGGUGCAGCAACUCUAAUCUGGGCAUGGUUUGAUUAAUUGGGUGUCAUCAUUACAAUUGAUUGACAUUCACAUGAAAGAUAAAUGUUACAGUGAGGAGGUUAAAUAUUUCCUAGUUUGUCAAUCCUAAAAUAAUCACAGUUGAGUAUGUGAAAGUUAUGAUUACCCCAUUUAUGAAUGAAGUGUUCUCACUGUUGAAAUUCAUGCAAUCCCUUGGUGAUGCUAUAGCAUAUCUAGAAUUCAACCGAAAGAGCACACACACACACUAUGGACAGAAAGAAGCUUAAGUCUAGGACUAAUUUACUAUGGUCAUCUUGCUUGAUUGAGAAUAUGAUCUAAAGGUGGAAGAAUCCUUGCAAAGUUGAUAAAAGAGUUAAAUUUGUGUAAAGUGUUAGUAUGUGUCAUUACUUGAGGACAAGUAAUAGUUUAAGUUUGGGGGUGUGAUAACUCUAGGAAAUGAGAGUUAUUACAUCAAUUCUAGACUUGAAUCAAGGUCACUUAGAGAACAAAUAAGGUGUUUUUAUUACAUUUUGGGUACCUUUUGCAUAAACAUUCAUUUUAGUUGAGUUUAAUAAGUUUUGCUUGAAUCAUAGUAAUUUGUGCUAAAAACAGGUUUUAAAUUGUAGGUUUUAAAUUCGUGAGAGGAUGUUGAGGCAUUAGAAGAGCAAGAGGAGGAAGGAAGUUGGCCACAAAAGAAGUAAAGCACAAUCAGGAAUAAAACAGUGUUGUAGCAGCUGUUAGAGCAACCAGUGCUGUAGCAAUCUGGGAGCAAUGCGGGAGAAAACUUAGGCGCGAGUCAGCCACAAAAUCGUGAUCUGCAUGUUUCCUAAUUCAAGCAUAUGCACGCUCAUGGGCUUUGGUUUAACCUAAUUUACAAUAUAAAAAGGAGGCGUGCACCACAUAGAAAGGCGGCAAGGAAUUAUCAUAAAAAAUAAUUACGAAGGCAAGAAGAAGAAGAUCAAGAUUAAAGAGUGUUAUUCGGAAACAAAAGGAGAGAGUCGUGCAGAAUUAAUAGUUUCAGUUAAGAUAGAGCAGCAAAAGGGCAUGUCUUAGCGGACAUUAUUAGAGUAUUACUUGUUCUUAAGUCGAGUUUCCUGGAUUAGGUUAUCUUGAAUCCCAUAAGGGCAAUACUUGAAGUUAAGAUUUGUGACACUUUAGACAUAGGUGUUCACCUUGUAGGGUAGAGAGAUUAAAGGUUAUAAUGCCAUACCAUAAAUAUAUGAGCAACUGGUCAUUGUUAGUAGAUUUAAAGGUAUGAGAUUUCCAACAUGCGAUAGCUGCGGAUGCAGAUUUAUUCUACCCAUUGCUGCAGCACUUAUUGAAACAACUGGUGCUAAUUUGGUAAACAACAGUCACCCCAUUAGGAGAGUUUGAUCAUUCAACUACUAUAUUCUCAAUUGAAUCUUAGACACAUUUAACUUAGUUUACUUCAUUACAGUAUUGUUUUAUUUUCAUCUCUCAUAAUUAUUAGUUACAGUAGAAUUAUUCGAUAAUUGUUUAUUUCGGUCUUUAAUUGAUUUGCACUAUUGUGAUUGCUUUAGCAUUUUGAGUAACAUCAAUCCCCGUGGAGACGAUCUUGAAUAGUCAUCACUUUAUUACUUGUUGUGUAUACUUGCACAUUGGCAUUGAUAAUAAUUGCUUACAGAAAUUAACCAACAAUAUUCUUGGUGGUUGAUUUUGUUUUUUUAUACUAGCUUAUGAGAUCCUAUGCUUUAAAAUUCUUGUCUCUCGAAUGUUGAUUGAUUUAAAUUCUUGAGGUAUGCUUGCUUAAGAUUAUUUUUGGAUGAGUUGAGAUGAGAAUUGAGUGGAGAUUUGGGAUUAGUCUUGAGUUAUAUGCUUGAGGACAAGCAUUAUCUUGGUGUGGGGGAAUUUGUUAGAGUACAAUUUAUGCACUAGUUUUGCAUUGUUUACCUCCUUUAAUAUCGAUGUUUUGCACUUAAUAAUAGUGAUUUACUUGUGUUUUAUUUUUGUAGGUGCAAUUCGAUUGAUUGGUGCUAAAAUUGAGCUACAAGAUGAUGUUAGAGGAUGAUUGUUUUCCUGGAGAAAUUAUGAGCUUCAGAAGAACUUUGUUGAUAAGGCGUGGGCGCGUGCUGUCAACUAAGGACCUGCAGUUUUUAUUUUAACGUGUUUUGUCUCUUUGUUUAUUUUUGUAAUUUUGAAUUUAAUAUUUAGAUAAUAUUUUAGAUAUUAGUAUUUUAUUUUUGGAAAAACUCUAUAAGAGAAAGGAGACGUGAAAAACAAAGGAGGAUGAGAUUUUUAAAAAAAGAAAAAGAAACCCUAGAUCUAAAUUUUUCUCUUCUCUCUAUGAAGAACUAACCUAUUAUUCUGGUUGAAGGUUAAUAAAGCUUUGAUUCGUCAUUACUGGGAGAUCUUUCUUAUGCUUUAAUUGUUUUAUUACUUUUUGGGUAUUUGUUUAUUCUCUAAAUUAUGGUUAUGAUUAUGUUUGUUAAUUAGAUAAUUGGCCACUAUUUAAUUAUCAACUUAAUCUAUUGUCAAUUAAAAGAUUCAUCGUAUGAAGAUUUUAAUGUUUGUGACAAAUAGCAUAGCAAUGCGUUGUGUUAUGAGAAUAAACAAUCUAAUUUAAAUGAACCAUCGUAUGCGUUUGUUGAUUAGGAUUUGGGUCUCUUUGGUUUUUCAGGUUGUCAAUUGAUUAAACCCUAUGAUCGUAUCUAGGGUUGUCUAUUGAUUAGGGAAAUAACCAAUGGUCGUACCUUGGUUAUCGACUAGUUAAUGAGAGAUUAACUAUUAGAGGGUCUCAGUAGCUAUAAUCGGUCUAUUCAUAAGUAGUAAUGAUUUAUAUUUGAAUCAAUGAUCAGUAGUCGAAUCAAGCUGAGUUAAUUCCUUCAACUAGAGCUUUUCUCAAUUUGAAUUACACAUUUAAUUUGCAUUCUUGUUAUUUUAAUUUGAUUUUUAUUAUUGUCAAAAAUCCCCCCAUUUUGUAUUUUACAUUUUAAAAGGAUUCAAAUAAUUACCGAUCUCUGUGGACACGACCCUGCUCAAUCACUAUACACAAUUUAUUUAGAGUAGGUAUUUAGUUUUGCUGGCUUCGACAACCAUUAAUAUUAAAAAAUAAAUUUAUAUUUAUCAAGUAUAAAAAAUAAAUAGACAAACAAAAAUAAUAUGUUACCUAAAAUAAUGACAAUAUCAAUAUUUAACACUCUAUAAUUUAGUGAUGUGUUGUCCAACUGCCAUACAUUGGUCCCAAACAGAGCCUUAAAUAUCAAAGUCCAAAGUUAUUGUGAUGAUGACUUAUAAUCGCCAAACUUGACAUACGGGUAAUCAUGCAUUAUAAGGUGCUGAUUUCUUACUAUCAGAACCUUAUUUGUCAUCUAUAAAUAAAUAAAUGAUGUGACUUCACGGUUGGCGGGGUCCUUUGUAUCUCCUUUUGCAUCUACUUUUGUUGUUAACAUUACUUUCAAAAGCAGCUCGUUAUGUAUGCAACAUUUCAAAAUUAAUCUAAAAAAAACAAAAAUUAGUUCAGCUGACUAAAUUUGAAAGCAUGGAUUUGCUGUCGAUUAAAAACCGUUUUGUAGGGAAAAUUUUUGGAUUGCAAUUCUCAUAUAAUACAUAGAAUUAUCAUAAUUUAUAAAUUUUAUUUUCGCUUUUCUGUGGUAGUAAGUCAGACUCCUUAGUGACAAUUUAAUUUGAAAAAAUAAAAUCAUAAAUAAGAAUUAUUCGAUAAGAAUUAAAAUAAUUGAUAAAUAUUUGAGACGUGCAAUUUUGGAAGAUUCGAUUUCUAAUAGGAGGGGAAUUUAAAUUUUACAGCCUUUGGUGAGGAAUCCAAAAUGCACAAUUUGAUGAAAAUUAAAUUUCAAUAGAAAUUGAAUUCCCAUAUAUUAGUGAAAACCAAACAACAGAAAAGUGAAAUGAAUUUGAAUUUAUUUCCUUCCUCUCUUCUCCCUCCAACUAAAUACCAUUGAAAUCCAAAGGUAUGGGAUUUGUUUCGGAGUUUAAGAUUGAAAUUAAUCCCAAUUGUUGAUUUGGGACUAGAUAAGAAUUUAUCUUGGAACUCCAAUUCUCCCAAUUAUUUUAGUUGACAAUAUGUUUAACAUUAUUUUUUUAACAUUAUUAAUUGCAUAUUAUUUAAUUGUCAGUAUAUAAUAUUCUUUAAUUUUCUAAUUUAUAGGAUUAGACGCAAAAUUGAUUAUGGCUUUUGAAAUUUAAGUGUUAUGUCAAUUGAAUAGAAAACAUGGAGUAAAAAUUUUGGAUGCUUUUGUUGAUUAUCAAUUUAUGCAUGAAUUUUUGUACAUUUACUUUGGUUUAUUAUUAUUACUUUUAAACAUUUUUAUUAGUUUGGUUUAGGGUCAGUUUGGUAAUCCUGUAGCUUUUACAAUAAUUACAAUUAGCUAUGCUGUAGAAAUUGAUCAAUCGUGAGGAGAAUCAGCUGAACAUUUAGUAAAAUUUAUUUUUAAAAGUACUUUUAGUUUUAAAAACAGUCGUAUGUAUUUCUUAAAUCUUAUUGUUAAACUGGUGCAAGAAUAUAAAUGAUGAAUUGGACAUAAUGCGAAAUAAAAUUUAUUUACAAACAUGUAUAUAAAAUAUUUUUAUUAUGUACAUAUAAUUAUUGAUAACUAAAAUAAAUAUUUUAUAUUAUUAAAUUUUAUUCUCUAUUUUGUUAUCUCAAUAUAAUUGGUAAUAAUAAUAAUCUUUUUAAAGUUAAUGAUUUUAUUUCUUAAUUAAUAAAGAUAAUUUUGGAUUUUUAUUAUAUAAUGAGAAUAUAUAUAUAGAAUUGGAUUAAGUAUAGAAGUGAUUCUCAAAACCAGAUUUUGAAAAACUAUUCAUUCCCUACUUUUCAAAAUCUAAUGUAUGAUGAAAUGAUUUUGCCAAAACUAAUUACUAAAAAAAUUUAUAAAACACUAAGAAUUAACUUUUACUUUUUAAAAUCACUUUUAAGCUUCCCAAAAACAAUCCUAAGGGCCUUUAUUUGGGUGGUGUUGGAACUUGUAACUUUUGGAUCUUUUAGCUUUUAUUGGUUUGACACAACUGUUACACUAAAAAUUAAAUGCAUCUUAAACCCCAAACUUCUUCUUCUUCUUUUUUGAUUGCACAAAAUUAAAAACAAUAGUGAACACAUUCUUUAAUAAACAAUAAGUAAUAACUAAAAUUGCGUUAAAGAAUUUAGUUGAUAUAUAAAUUGAUUUCAAUGUUGUAUAUGCUAAAUUUCUUAAAAGUUUUCUUUCACAAUCUGCUGCAUAGUUUUAUUAGUAUUUUGAAUAAAUAAAAAUAAUUGAUUUAUAUUUUUUUAAAGAAACUUAUUAGGUUCAUGUAAAGAUGUUUUUUUUUUUAUUUUAAAAAAGUGUACAAAGUAAAACUUAAUUUUUUAAAUUUAUUAGAUGAGUGCAUAUAAUAUUUGAGUGUUCAUAGUAAUUUUUAAAGCAUAGAUAGUCGGGCCCUAAUAUUUUUAAUAUACGGAAAUUUUGCUAAUAUGUUAAUGAGAAUUAAAAUGAUAAUUAAGGGAGGCAUUCGAGACAGUCAGGAUAGUUAGGAUGGGACAUCAUUGUGAGCGGUUUGAGAUUGGUCCUAAUUUUGAUCACAAAUAUAUAAACUGGAUGAGUGUAUCCAUACUUACAUUCCAUUUGAUAAUUAAGAUAAAUGUGGAAUUGUCAAAUCCCAAAUCAUCCCAGACCAUUGCCACCAAAGGUACUCUCACUAAUAAUAUCUAAAGAAUAAUCUACAUCUAUUUCAUACUUUUUUUUUAACGGAAAGAGCCCUCAUGUGGCUUGAAAUGUUAUCCUAAAUAAUAUUCAGAAUAUCAUACCAUGAUUGGGUUUGUGACAAACAAAUAUUACAUAGUUGGAAUACGUAGUUACUAGUGUCCCAAUUUAUGCAGUAUCUAUCAUUUAGUGCACAUAUAAAGUAUUAAUCAGCUUAAUUAAUUUAUAAAAUUUAAAUCUAAUUAAUAAGUGACACAUAAAUGCCAAGUGCAAUAUAUGCAAAUCAUGUUUGUCGAUCAUUACAAAACUGGCUCUUGAAAACAAGCAAGAAAGCUUAAUUAAGAACUUAAAACAAAAAGAAUUAGAUCGAGAACAGUCAAGCCUUAUUUUUUCAAGGAUGGAGCUUAUAAAUCUUCAAGUACCAACAUAUGCUUGCCCCAGUUGUUGUUAUUAAAAUUUUAAUAUAUAUAUACACACACACACACACACACACACACAUAAAAAAGUAUGACAUAGCAAAAAUUUGAUGGUACAUAUGUCGGAAUAUACUAGUUCAUGGAUGCAUUUGAUUAUUGUUUCCAUAAAUUUGAACCAAGAAGGAUGACUCGAUAAAAAUUGAUUUUACGGUAUGGUUGAUUUCAAUCUCAUGCACUCAUUUCUUAAGAUAAUCAAAUUUUCUCUGGCAUCUUUUGCAACUGUGGAAAUAUCAAUUAUGAUCAAUCAAAAGGAUUUCAAAAACUUUCAACGAGACAUAUUUAUAAUACAAUAUUGUGAAAAUUACACCAAAAAUUUUAUUUAUUAUAUAUUAUUAUCCAACCAGCACACAAAAAUGAAUUCGUACAAAUCUAAAAUACUUAGCAAUUUUCAAAUAGAAUUUACCAUGUACUACAAGAAAAUAGGGUAUAUGUGACCCCUAAUGUGAAAAUAGGGUAUAUGUGACCCCUAAUAGAAUUUGUUGAACCUAGACCAGACUUAAUAUCCAAUCAAGAAUCUCCAGGAUCUAGCUGAACUCUCUAAUCAAGAUCUAAAGAAUGGUUAAUCAAUUCACAGAAAAGAAUCACCCAGAAACAGUAUGCAAAGAACAACAAAUAUAAGUGGUUCGGCUGAAAGAGCCUACAUCCACUGAAGAACAGACCAACAGCUUUUCACCAUUAACAAAGAACAAGUUACAAGUUUAGAGAUGAAGUUACAAGCAAUACAUUCCCUGAUUUUCCAGUCCUUAAGACUACUUAUACUAGCUUAAAGGCCCUCACAAAGACCCCCUGUCAACCAGCUGUAAUCUAGGUUUGUUAGCUAACAAACCCAGAAUUCUCCCGCCUAUUGUAACUGACUUUAACAGCUUCCAGGACACGUGUUGAAUUCUUACAAACAGCAAGCCCCAAAACGACAUUCUUUCAUGCCGUUCAGAGUAAGUGGAAGCACGUGACAUUUACGUGCUUCACUUAAAGCUUUGGGUGACGACCAAAGUUUGUCAUACAGGCUUGUAUCCUUUACAGCUGACAUGUCGUAUACCAACAUGACCACAAACUGACAUGACGGUUGAUCUUCUGGAAAUCAGUUUAAAGCUCAUACUUUAACAUUCUCCACCUUGAGCUUGAAACUCUCAUGACCUGCUCAUCUUCUCUCCCACCAUCUGUAUUUUAAUUAUCACAGAUGCCAGCCAAAUCCAAACAGAAUUUGAAUUUAGCCCCUGAAAUAGCUUUAGUUAACAUAUCUGCAACAUUGUCAUCUGUAUGGAUUUUCUGAAGCAUCACAGUUGCUUUUGAGACUUCCAGCCUGAUGAAGUGCACCUUAAUGUCAAUGUGUUUGGUUCUUUUAUGGUGAGUUUGAUUCUUACUUAGACAUAUAGCACUUUGGCUAUCACAAUGUAUCACCACAGACCUCUGAUUGACUCCAAGCUCCUUCAACAUACCCUUCAGCCAUAUUGCCUCUUUUAUGGCUUCAGCAUCUUUUAUGGCUUCAGCAGCAGCUGUGUACUUUGCUUCAGUUGUGGACAAAGCCACAACACUUUGUAGUUGUGAUUUCCAGUUUAUUGUGCAGUUGUUGAAUGUGAACAGAUACCCAGUUAGAGACCUUCUUCUAUCCAAGUCUCCUGCAUAAUCAGCAUCCACAUAUCCUACAAUUAAACUGUCAUCUCUUCUCUGUCCCCCAUAUAUCAGACCAUGCCCAGAAGUUCCCCUUAGAUACCUGAGUAUCCACUUUACAGCCUUCCAAUGUUCUUUUUCAGGAUUGGACAUAUACCUACUAACCACACUGACUGCAUGUGCUAUGUCAGGUCUGGUGAGUACCAUAGCAUACAUUAAGCAGCCUACAGAACUUGCAUAAGGAAUUUUCAUCAUUUUAGACUUGUCAGCAUUAGCUUUUGGGCACUGCUGCUCUGAUAAUCUGAAGUGGGCUGGUAAUGGUGUUUGCACUGGUUUGGCAGUAGCCAUGUCAAACUUAUCAAGUACUCUCCUGAUGUAUUCCUCAUGUGUAAGAAACAAGGUGCCAGAUUUCCAAUCUCUGAUUAGUUGCAUUCCAAGUAUUUUCUUAGUUGGUCCCAGAUCCUUCAUCUCAAAUUCACCUUUGAGUUGUUGUUUCAGAACUUUAUUUGUUCCAUGCUCUUACUAGCAAUAAGCAUGUCAUCCACAUAUAGAAUCAGAUAAACCAUUUCCCCUGAUAUCUCUUUGUAAUAAACACAGCAAUCUAGAUUACAUAUUUGAAAACAAAUUUUCAUCAUAAAGCUGUCAAACCUGAGAUACCAUUGUCUUGGAGACUGCUUGAGGCCAUAAAGUGAUUUCUUCAGAAGGCAUACCCAAUCACCAUUUGACUAGUCUUCAAAGCCUUCAGGUUGAGACAUUAUUAUUUGUUCUUCAAGCUCACCAUGUAAAAAUGCAGUCUUAACAUCCAUCUGUUCAAGAUGCAUGCUAUGAACUGCAACCAGUGCUAGGAUCAUUCUUAUUGAGGUAUGCCUAACUACAGGUGAGUAGACUUCUGUAAAAUCUAUCCCUUCCUUCUGUGUGUAGCCUUUGGCAACCAGCCUAGCCUUAUAUCUCAUGGAUUCAAUCCCUGGUAUACCCUGCUCGACCUUGUAAACCCAUUUGCAGCCUACUACCCUUUUGUUUUCUGGUCUUUUUACAAGCUCCCAAGAGUUAUUCUUGUGUAAUGACUCCAUUUCAUCCUUCAUAGCUUUUAUCCACUUGUCUGCAUCUUUUCCUGAAACAGCUUCUCUGAAGGUUUUAGGUUCAUCAUUGUCUAGUUCAUGGGCUGCUGUUAGAGCAUAUGCUAUCAAAUCUGGAUAUGCAAACCUCUUAGGUGUUUUGAUAAUUCUCCUUUGUCUGUCUCUUGCCAGCUGAUAGUCUUGAAUAUCUGUAUAAGUUCCAGAAGUUUCACUAAUAUCUUUAGUUUCUUCUCUCUCCAUGUCUUCAGCUUCAUCAUGGUAGUUCAGAGUUGAUUUACCUUUCAACUCCAUCUUCAAAUGUUGUCCCUGUGAGUCCACUCCUCCUUCUGGUUUAGCAGGAUCUUUUUUAUGUCUUUUCAUCAGCAUCUCUGACUCAUUGAAGACUACAUCUCGGCUAACUAUACACUUUGGUGGCCUCAUUUCAGUGCACCAGAGCUUAUAACCUUUGACACCUUCAGGAUACCCUAGGAAUACACAUUUCAGUGCUCUUGGCUCCAGCUUCCCUUGCUUGACAUGUGCAUAAUCUGGACAACUAAAAAUCUUUAGAUUUGUAUAAUUUGUUGUUCUUCCUGACCACAUCUCUACUGGUGUCUUGAAGUUUAAGGCACUGGAUGGGCUUCUAUUCACUAGAUAAUAUGUUGUCAUCAAAGUUUCAGCCCACAAUGUUUGAGGAAGCUUUGAAUGAAUCAGUAAACAUAUGACCUUAUCCAUCAAAGUCUUGUUCAUUCUUUCUGCUAACCCAUUUUGCUGUGGGGUGUAAUUCACUGUUUUGUGUCUUGCUAUGCCAUUGAGUUUAUAGAAAUCAUCAAACUGUUGAUUGCAGAAUUCAAGCCCAUUAUCAGUCCUCAGUCUCUUAAUCUUCCUACUACUCUGAGUUUCUACCAAUGCUUUCCAUUGUUUAAACCUCUCAAAGACUUCAUCCUUGCCUUUCAAGACAUAAACCCAUACCAUUCUCGAGUAAUCAUCUAUAAAGAAGAGAAAGUAUUUUGCUCCACCUAGAGAGACAGUAUGUGAUGGCCCCUACAGAUCUGAAUGGAUGUAAUCUAGGGUCCCUUUUGUGUUAUGCACUGCAGUUUUGAAACUAGUUCUUGAGGAUUUGCCUAGGACACAUACCUCACAGAACUCCAGAGACCCCAACUUAUCAUCCCCUAAGACUCCCUGUUUUUCUAAAAUUUUUAGCCCCUUCUCACUCAUAUGUCAUAACCUUAGAUGCCAUAUGAGAGUUUUAUCCAAACCCAGACUUGCUGAAAUACUGACAUCUCCAGUUACAGUAGUGCCUUGAAGCACAUAUAAGCCAUUUUGCUUAUUCCCUUUCAUUAUCACUAUAGACCCUCUAACAACCUUCAUUACUCCAGAUUCAACUUUAAUGGAGCAUCCAACCUGAUCUAGAGUGCCUAGAGAUAUUAAAUUCCUCUUUAAAUCAGGAAUAUGCCUUACCUCUCUUAGCUCCCUAAUCAUCCCAUCAAACAUCUUAAAUCUAAUGGUUCCUAACCCAACAACCUUACACAUUGUGUUAUUCCCCAUUAGAACCUCACCUCCAUUAAAAGAAUUAUAAGUAGUAAAAAGAUUUUGAUCAGGGCACAUGUGAUAUGAACAUCCAGAAUCAUGAAUCCACUUACUGUUUGUCUGAGUUUCAGAAGCCAAAAGUACACCAGCUGAGUCAUAGCCCUCAUCCUCGGAUGCAACAGCAGCAUCACCAUUAUUUCCAUGCCCUUCCUUACCCUUGUUCUUUCUGUCUGGACAGUCCCUCUUGAAAUUCCCUUCUUUAUGGUAGUGAAAGCAUUUCAUAUUUUUAUUCUUGGACUUUGACUUGUCUCUUUUCUUCCCUUUGUUGUAUUCUCUCUUUUCAGGUCUUCAUCUUGCCAUCAGACCUUCCCCAGCUUUUGUUUCUGACCUCUUUGUGACUUCUUUAUAACUGAGAGAAUCCUUUACAUCAGCCAUCGAUAUUGACUGCCUUCCAUAGAGCAGUGUAUCUACAAAGUGUUCAUAGGAUGGUGGGAGAGAUGAUAAUAAGAUUAUUGCCUUGUCUUCAUCCUCUAGACUCACAUUUAUAUCUUCAAGAUCCAGGAUGAUCCUGUUAAAGCUAUCAAUGUGAGUUGCCAAAGAACUUCCUUCCUCCAUUUGCAAAGUAUAUGGCCUCUUUUUGGUACAAAGUCUUUUGGUUAGAGACUUCUUGGUAUAUAGGUCUUCAAGCUUUUUCCAGAGGCCUGCAGCAGUAGUUUGAUCUCCCACUUCCCUAAGAACUCCAUCUCCCAGACUCAAGAUUAGAGUGUUAUGAUCUUUAUCCAAAGCAUCUAGCAUUUCUUCAUCAAAAAGCUUGCUGGGUUUCUUUUCAGAUCUUGGAUCACCCAAAGUAUCCUCCAGCCCCUGAUGAACCAACAGAGCUCUCAUCUUGAGCCGCCAUAGAUGGAAGUCAUUUUCUCCAGUGAAUUUUUCUACCUCAAACUUAGAGGUUCUCAUUUCUUGGAUCAAAGAUCAGAGAUAAGGCUCUGAUACCAAUUUGUUGAACCUAGACCAGACUUAAUAUCCAAUCAAGAAUCUCCAGGAUCUAGUUGAACUCUCUAAUCAAGAUCUAAAGAAUGGUUAAUCAAUUCACAGAAAAAAAUCACCCAGAAAUAGUAUGCAAAGAACAACAAAUAUAAGUGGUUCGGCUGAAAGAGCCUACAUCCACUGAAGAACAGAGCAACAGCUUUUCACCAUUAACAAAGAACAAGUUACAAGUUUAGAGACGAAGUUACAAGCAAUACAUUCCCUGAUUUUCCAGUCCUUAAGACUACUUAUACUAGCUUAAAGGCCCUCACAAAGACCCCCUGUCAACCAGCUGUAAUCUAGGUUUGUUAGCUAACAAACCCAGAAUUCUCCUGCCUAUUGUAACUGACUUUAACAGCUUCCAGGACACGUGUUGAAUUCUUACAAACAGCAAGCCCCAAAACGACAUUCUUUCAUGCCGUUCAGAGUAAGUGGAAGCACGUGACAUUUACGUGCUUCACUUAAAGCUUUGGCUGACGACCAAAGUUUAUCAUACAGGCUUGUAUCCUUUACAGCUGACAUGUCGUAUACCAACAUGACCACAAACUAACAUGACGGUUGAUCUUCUGGAAAUCAGUUGAAAGCUCAUACUUUAACAUAUAUCACUAACUUCUAACUUUGUAACCCCGAGUUGCUUUUGUUACCCUUUAUGUGACUGCCACACUGCUGUCACAUAUGUUAUUAACCACGUGACGGUAAAGAGCCGUUCGGUAUACUACUAUUUUACAAUUUUAAAUUUAUUUCCAGUUAGAAAACUAUUCGCUGGACUCCGUGUUACAUAUGCCACCAUCGUAAACCUAACUGGUUGCCGGCGAACGGCGUAAAACACCGGCCAUCUUCUUCUUCAUCGUAUUCUCCCUUCAUCUUUUGUUCGUAUUAUAGCCGUUAUUGUCAAUUUUUGUCCCGCCAGCAAUAUUUUUUUAUUCCUACAAGUUGAAGCACCCGUGCUCUUGUUCCAUUGAUGAGUUUGCUCACUCAAAUUAAUUUUGUUCUGUAGAAUUUACAAAGUUCAAAUGGAUUCAUUUGAAUUUAGCUUUAAUUAUGUAUGUCAAUUAUGUAUUUAGAUUAUGAAUUUAGCCGUUAUUGUCAAUUAUGUAUUUAGAUUUACUUUAAUUUUAUGCUUAAAGCUUCUACAUUGCUGAUUCUAUAUUAAUAAUGUUAUGUUCUAUUUUCAGAAAUUAUAAUACAAAAGUUUUUACAAUGUUGUGCAUCUACAAACUGAAUUGACUUGUAGAAUAAGAGCUUGGAGUAGUGUUAUGUUCUUGAAUAAAUGAAUGUUCAUAUUGUGUAAGAGCAUGUAGAUGUAAAGCAUCAUUACCAUAUCUACAAAGUGCUUUCAUUCUGUUCAGAUGCUCUUCUUGAACUUUGAAAGGUGCCUCGUUCAAGUCCUAGCUAUAACUACUAGUUUUGAUUAAUUAAGUUCCUGUACUAGCUGAAACAGAUUUAUUUAAUUAAUUAAUUGUGUAUGUACUAAUUAUAUUGAAAGUAUAUGAAUUUUUUUUUUAAAACAUGAAUGACUUCUAAAUGACUUAAAAACCUAAAGGAUGUGUGAAAUAAUGCUCAUUUCACUUGAAUGAACCCAUUAAUACUUUUAUGUCUAUGAUUGUCAAUAUUGGCUUAAGCAUUUCAGCUAAGUGGUUUACCUAACAGAGAAAAAAAUUUAAUAGAAAACUUCAGAGUUCUAACAGAAAUAUAGUUCACUAUGCAGAUAUAGUUAUUUUACGGUAUACAAAUCAAGUUGUCCUAAUCUCAAUGUCCUAUGACCGAUUUUAUUUUAUAUAGUCAUUAAUUUUUGCCAUGGUUUUUUGUGUUUAUGAGUAUGAAAUAGUGGGAUUUGGUGUACCUUAGCAUCUUUUGAAAAUUCUCUUUAUGUGUGGCCAACAGAAUAUAAUCAAGUUUCUUAAUCGUGUAUAUUAGUUUUGGGUAUGAAUGUUCCUAUUCUAGUUCUAGGCAAAGCUUCUUCAUUUUGGUCUUCAGAUUUCCAGUAGGUUAAGUUAAUCAACUAUCACAACUGACUAGCUAGUUAUUGUCUGCCUUGGCGCCAUUACCCAGGCCAUUAUAUUGCAUAGCAUAAGGAAUAGUGAUUAGGUGAUUAUUAGUGAUUUGUUGAGCUUAUUAUUGACCAAACAAACAUAUUCGCCUUUGCCCACAACUUAGUUUGAUUAGUUAUUAGACCUUAAAGAGCCUUGAUCUAUUCAUUGGCUUUAUUAUUUUUAUUUGGUUUUUCUUUCAACAAUAUUGUUGAUUUCUUAUAAAAAUAUUCAUUGGUUUUUAAACACCUAAUCAUUGGCUAUAUGAAGCUAAUUAAAACUGAGGCUUUGGAUCAAUUUCUUCUAACAGGAUACAAAUGAGCAUAACCUAUCUCCUCUAAGUAAAUUUUUUUAAUAUCCUUGAUUUGUAAGGAUCUGGAGGCCUGAAAUCCUCUAGAUUUUUUUUAACACUGUCAAUGUUCUUUUUAUUCUGAAAAGGAAAUAAAAGGUUUUAUCUUUCAUACCCUAAUAGUAAGCUGACCUUGUCUUACCCGAGGAUUUGCAAGAUUCAUAGUGCCCCCCCCCCCCCCCCCCCAAAAAAAAAAAAAACACAAAUAGGAAGAUUUUGCAAGAUUCACCACCAGGUUUUUUUUCAUUUAUUAAUUGUGUGUACGUACUAGUUAUAUGUUGAAAGAAUAGGAAGAAGUAUUUCAACAUGAAUGAAUGACUUAAAACUUAUUGCUCAGUAAACAUAAUCUGCAUCAGUGCGAAAAUGUAUUUAUCGGUUGUAUUUUUUAUGGUUUUGCUUAAGAAAUGAUAUGUGAAAUAAUGCUACAUUGUAUCAGGAAUAAAUUGAAGAGAUUUAUGAUAUUUAUGUGUUAUUCAAAUUUCAGAUUCAAUUUUAAAUACGUGCAUUGAAAGCUUAGACUUGUUUAAGAAAUUAUUAAUAGACACAUGUUUUAUUAGUGUCAUCUUUGGAUGAUAGUGAGGUUCAUAUGUCUAUUAAUAAUUCUUGAAUUGUCCAGGCUUGGGCAGUUUGGGAAUGCAUAGUUCUCUCUGGUAGCUAGUAGCUGAAGUUUUUUUCGCAAGUAAAAAUGGGUUUUUCGGUAGCUGCUCCUCGUGUUCUCUGGGUACGUACUAGGUGAAUGGGUGUCAUGUGUUGUUUUGGCAUAACGCAUAAACACUUAUAUAGCUAUGUUGUGUGCUUCGAGAAUUAUAGGGAGAUGGUGCCGAAAUUUUUAUAAACGUAGAAGAAAACUUUAGGUACUUGAGAUUGAAGAAACUUAUGCAUUCUUGAGUGGGAUAUGUAGGAUUACUUACCUUUUGUAAAUAUGAAGGGAAUGUUGGAUAUAUUGAGGAUAGUGUAGGAGCUGAGUUGGAUGAAUGUAAUUGGUCAUGAUUUUGCUGAGCUGACCUUGGUUUUGAGCUUGUAAUUUUGUUUGUAAAUGGAGUGCUAUCUCCAAUGUUGGUUUAUAAAAAUGUUUCAGGACUUGCUGACCUAAUUUUUUUUUUCCUAGGUUACAGGCUUUAUAUAUCUGUAAUUGAUAGCCAAGUGAAGUUCUCAGCACUUGGCGAGGAUAUUUCUUUACAGAAGGUAUUGGAAACUGUUUUUUACAUUAAUUAUUGUUGUAUAUAUACUUUGAUUUUCACAUCUUUUUCUCUGAUUCUUGUGGCUUUGCUUGCUUUCAUAUAUGUAAAUUCUAAUGAAAUUAACCAUAAAAUUGUAAAAUGAUCUUUUUAUUAUAUUGCAAAACCGUGCACACACGAAAAUAUCUUGUUUAGUAGUAGAAAUGAAGAACUAAAAUGAUUUACUUAACUAAUUUUUGUAGCGCAUUAAAAGGAGAUAGUCAUGGACAAGUGUUGGGCUGGUUUGCCAAAUAGAUAUCCAAGUCAUAUACUGAUGGGGUUGAAAAUUUUAUAGAUUUUGCAUUUGAGAAUGUUGUUGAUGAUGAUAUGAUUGGAAUGAUACACUGCAUCACGUAAUCAAAUGUUCAAGUUACACGCAGCAUUGUUAUGGAUUAUCAGUCACUUUCUAGUAUUGCCAACUUGUCUGGGUGGAGUAUUAAAGGUAAAUAAGCAUGUCUUGUUUGCCAACAAAACACUAGAUCUAAUUGGUUGAUACAUAGUAGAAAAUUUUGUCACGUGGGUCACCGUCGAUUUUUACCAACAAAUCAUAGGUUUCGAAAAUAUAGUUUCUUUUGAUAAAACUAGAGAGUAGGGACAAGCACCUUCUUGGUUGUCUGGAACUGAAGUGAAAAAGCAGUUUAAUAUACUUACUGAGUAUAAGAUUGAAGACUUGAAAAGAGAAAUGAUAAGAUUACUUGGAAGAAGAACAGCAUUUUUUUAUGAACUACCGUAUUCAUCAUGAUCUUGUUGUCAUGCACUGCUUUGAUUUUUGUUAUGAACUCAGAUCAAAAGUUUAAUGUGAUCAAAAUUUCUUAAAAAUAGUGAAAACGACUCCUCCUAAUAAUAUGGAAGAUGGCUAUAAAAGAUAAAAGGAAAGGCUUAAAAAGAAAAGCCAUGCCUGUCAAAAAAAAAUAAAAAAAUUGGCAGCGUCAAAUUUAUAACAAAAAUCAAAACGGUUUUGAGAGUGUAUUAAAAUACAUUUAGAGUGGGAGCUGUGUUGUUUUUUGAAGGUAGAAUGAUUGUGAGAUAUUUGUCGACGAAGCCAAAACCAAAGAUGAAGCCCAUAGAGCUCAAAACUCCACCGGAGCAAAUUCAGACAAUUACGAGGGUUAUGUUUGACAUAGUCAAGGAACACAGUCCUCUCACCGUUGCCGAAACUUGGGAAUGCGUCAAGGUGUGUGUAUCUGUUAAAUUGAAUUUCAACCCGUUUGAUCUGUAAUUAUAAUUAAUCCAAUCGAUCUGACAGUGAUCACUAGUAGUUGUUUUACAUUUUCAGCAAGCUGGAGCGAGUGGAUUGACGGCCAAAAGCCACAUGAAGAUUGUGUUGAGAUGGAUGAGGGACAGACAAAAGCUCAGGUUCGUCUGCAAUCACGUGGGCCCUCAUAAGCAAAUCCUGUACACAACUUGGUUCACCAAACCCGACAACUUGAAGCAGCCAAAAUCAGGGAAUGAUGCUUCUAUGUCACAACCCUAGAAAUUUCAAACACGGUGAAGAUGAAGUAAAGCAUAAGUAGAACAAUGAAGAUGGUAGCCCCUCAGCAUGUAAACUUUUCAACAGUAACACAGCUCUUAUUCCAGAGGCUGCACAGAAGAGCGACCUGAGUCCCCUUCAAAACUUUCAAAUUUUUAUCAAGUAAAGCUUUCAAAUUUCUCAACAAAUUGAUUAUUUGUGUGGUUGCCACAUUUUGUGCAACUGCCAUUCGUGUUCAAGUUCAAAUUCCUUGCCUAGUAAGUUAGGGAAGAGAGAUGUGAAGCAAACAGGGAAACAGAACAAACCGGCCAAAUUUAAAAUGACAGAACAGUAAUGAUGGCAAUUAACAAACUAAUAGCAAUAUUACAUUUGAUUCUUUAGCCCAAUUGUUCCUUCUGUCAGCAUUCUUCAAAAGUUUUUGAAAAUUAGAUGUGAAGCAAACAAAAUAAAACAAAUUUAGACAACAGAAGCCCUGUAUUCAGCAUCAUAUAUAUACCUUGAAUACCUAAUAUAAUAAAUUUCACAUCUAAAAUACUAGAAAUUUCAAACAGUACCAGCAAUAGAAUAAUGACAACGACAACAAUAACAGAAAAUUACAAGAUUGCUGAUAAAAUUUCAUUUGCAUGGAUGUAUAACAAAAAUUCUGUGAUUUAAUGUGCGUUCAUGCAUGCAAGUCCUAACGUUCCUGUGAUCACAAAAUGAAACUGAAGAUAAAUCAGAACAACUACCAAACCUCUGACUGAAAGUUCAAAAGAAUUUAUAUUCAAAAUGUCAAAAUAUACUGGAAAUUUAUUGCACAUAUUACAAGAAGCAGUACACACCAAUGGUAAAUUGAUACAUCGUUUUUGAACUUAACAAAGUCAAAUGAAAGAAACACGACGGAGGGUUAAUGUAAAAGUGAAUACCCUCAGCAUGUAAACUUAACUUCAAAGGACGGAGCACAAGUUUCACAGAAAAGUAGCUCUUAUUCCUGAUGCUGCAAACACACAGGAGUGACCUCAAUCUUCUUCAUAACUUGGGAAUUCUGCAAUUAUAGAGCACGACAUUGAGCAUGAACUAGAAAAAAUAUUUAUUUUGUACAAUUUUCAUAUAACUUGACUAACCAAGAUUAAUUUCGUGGUAAUGUAUUGAGUCAUUAAUUCAUAUGUUUUUAAAUAUUUUUAAAAAACUAAUUUCUCAAUUUGAAAUGGCCCAUAAAAAUUAUUCUCAUAUAAAAACUAAAUUUGACAGACCCCUCGAUUAAAGCAGGGGAAAAGGCUUUCCACAUGAAAAUGUUGUUUGUCACUUUGAAUGAUAUUUUGAAGGGAUUUCAUUCUAAAAAUAAAAUACCUGGGACCUCAUUCUUCAAAAUUGACAACUCGCCAGGUAUUAAAAGCGUAUGAGAUCAGUACUGCGACGAGUAAGAAGACGACCCCUCCAACAGCUGAAAACAAAAUUCGCAUUCAUCAAUUUAAAUUAAAAUUCAUAUUAUGAAACUAAAACUAAUGAUUAGUGAAUUUUCGAGGAAUUUAAUAAGAUUCUCAGAUAUAAACGUGAUAACAAAUUCACUCAUCAAUAACAAAUAAUCUAACAGUUAUCCGUACCUUUUCUUGAUGUAAUUGUUGUAUGGUUGUGUUAAGGUCAUUAUUAGACCAACGCAGGUUGUCCUCUCUCUGCCCGUACCGGACGUUUACUCUGACAUGGGUACUUAAUUCUCCUGAAGUGAAAAUCUUCAUCUUGGGACAACCAAUCACAGCAAGAUAUUCCAAAGAUGGGAAUUUGAAGGCGUAAUUGCCAGAGGAGAAGCUUGUGAGACUAUCUAAAUCAAACAGGGACAACGUAGUCAGUUUGCUGAAAACAAUCUCUUCUUUUAAAUUUGCUGUUUCAUCUUCGUCACUUAUUACGACUUCUGUGAUUGCUCUGCAUCCAAAUACACCCAAUGAUACGAGUCGCUCUAGACUUUUUGCUGUGGAGGAUGUUAGUAAGUUCAUCAAUUUCUUGCAAGCACAAGCUUGCAGGCGUGUGAGAUUCUGAAAAGAUACCGAUGAUGAUGGCAAUAGACUUAACAGAUUUUGACAGUAAUAUGCUCUUAGAAUUUCAAGAUGUUGAAAAAUCAAGUCCGGCUGUUUGGAAUCGUGUUUCCACAGUUGCUGCAGAUGAUUAAGUCUGGUCAGGUGUAACAUUUUUAUCAGUGCCAGCUUCCUCGCAUGUGUCUCCAAAUAUCCUUCAUUUGAAAAUACCACUUCGUACGAACAAUCCGACAGGUGGAGAAAUUCCAGAUUGUGAAACCUCUCAAGUAAACCAAGUGGAAAGCAAGCUAAGUCAUCAUCCCCAACCUGUAGUCGUUUGAGACUGCCAAAGAGGUGUUGUGGGAAAUCGCCUUGCAAAAUCAUCGUGAUGUCUUUUCCACUUAAUGCCAGUUCCUCCAAGUUGGGUAAGAUCUGAUCAUCAUCAAGCACAAAUUAUUAACUUAGCACAUUGAUCCCUAAUUCGAGACUGGCAAAAUUCAUUGUUAUAUACACACACAUAUAUAUAUAGUAUUUAUUAAAAUUUCUGGUCUGUGAGUAAGAAACAACAAAGACAACUGACAAAAAAUCUAAAAGUUGGUUUCAUACCUUCUUGAACGAGAAUAGGGGCUGUUGUGCCGGAACACCAAAUUGAUCAUUCUCGUUAUUCUGGGAUAACGUCAUUUUAUCACAAUUACACGCCUCCAAUAUUUUUAGUGCUGGCCAUUCCGAUGUAUGCAUUCCAGGGUAUAAACAUCUAAGUUCUGGUAGACCUUCGAGUUUCAGAGUGGUCACCCGUGGAAAGACAAAAUAAGCGGUCACUUGAUCUGUUCUGUUUUCAGAAAUGAUUUCUUGUAAACUCUUACAUAACCGUAUCUCCAGGUGUUGGAGUUGCUCAAGGCUUUGGAUCGUAGAAGCUGAAAAUAUGUAUUUUAAUUUGUCACAGCCCCACACUAUCAAUCGUGUCAAACUUCGAAGGCAAGGAACCAUGGCCGGAAGUUGAUUGUAAUGCCAAAUCUCGUCGACAUUAAUAGCAUUCAGCUCCAAAGCCUCCAAAUUUGGCAACACUACCUAAAGAUAAUUUUGUCGUUAGAUCCAAUAUCCAUAUAAGAAGUGCUUAUUGAGAGCUUAAUUAGUGAGUGUAUGAGAUUUUUUUUUUUUGCAUUUUCUUUUUCUAAAUGAUUUAAUUUUUUUUCACUUAUGGCAUCAAAUGCAAGUUCAUGAUAGAAUAAAAAAAAAAAUGCAAUAUCCAUAUGAAAAGGACUUGUGUGGUCCAGUUUGGGAUUAUGGAUGCUGAUUAAAUAAGUUGCUCCUGCUGUACGGAUGCAAUAAGUAGUUGAUUAAAAAAGCAGUUAGCUGUUUGGUAAACUGUGUUGUUGCAGUUGCUGUGAGUUUGAAAAGCAAUGUACAUGCGUUUGGUAAAUUUUAUUACAAACGUGUUAUUUUAUCAUAUAAUGACCAAAAUAUAUAUAAGUUUAAAUUUCCGUUUAUUUUUUUUAAGCAUGUUUAAUAAUCUUUAGAUAUGUCAUUUUCUUUUUAAAAUACGUAAAAUUAUAUUAAGUGAAAAAACUUAAUAAUUUGUUACAUAAAAUAUGAUAAAAAUUUAUACUAGUAUAUGAUCCAAAUAAAAUAAAAAAAGUAAUAUGCAUUACUUUCACAUUAAACUUGUUGCAAUAAACACCAUGACUAUAGAAAAUAUAAAUAGAUUGAAUGUUAAAAGCUAUGGUUAUAAAAUUGAUUUUAAAAGUUAUGAUUAAUUUUCAUGUGAAAUUGUUUAUAGUUCAAAAAAAAUUUACAUAAUUACAUGCAAGUCUUUUUUAAUCUUAUUAUAGAAAAUACAAGUAUAAUAUAAAAAAUAUGAACUUACUAAAUCAAAACUUUGAUAUUAGAGAGAAUAUAUAGUAGUUGUGGUGGUAAUAUGAUAUCUAAUAACUUAUAUAUUAGAGUGUAUGGAAAUAUAUGACAUAAUUAUUUUUGUUAAAAUAUUAAUUAAGGUUAUAAUAGAAACUUUAAAAAGAUGUGAUAGCUUAUUUAAUAAGCUGCUUAUGAAAAGUAACUCCCUAUCUGCUUUUAAAAGUUAAUGUCAAAAUAGAGAAAAUUAUAAAAUAAACAGUUUUUACAAAAUUUAACAAAUACUAUUUUUGUCACAGAUUAUGAAAUAGACAGUUUAUUGAGUUUUAACCUCAAUUCCAAACAGGGGCCACAAUAUCCACAUGACAAGCACUUAUUGAGAGCUUAAUUUGUGAAUAUAUGAGAUUUUUUUUUCUUUUUCUAAAUGAUUUAAUUUUUUUGCACAUAUGGCAUCAAAUGCGAGUGCAUGAUAGAAUAAAGGAAAAAAAAAAAAAAAGAAUGCAUUACCCUACGCACCUUCUCGUUGAAAAGCAGAGUUGAAGUAUCCGAACUGAUCUCGUUGGAACUAGCUAUCAAUUCCUCUUGCGACUCUUGUCUGUUUGGUGAUGUGGAAGGAGUCUUCACUUCACGGCAAAACCUUGUAACCUUUGGAAGCGUUCCCAGACUCAAAGAUCUUAGUUGACCAAACUCUAUCGUCUCAUCAACAUCGACAUCAGCUUCUCCUCCAGUUGCAAAAAUCUCUUCCAUGCUGCUGCAAUUGAGAACUGCAAUCCUCUCAAGUCUUGGAAGGCAUUUUGUACUACUAGAGAGCCAGAAGAUAUUACUCAUCUCAUCACAAUUUUCCACUUUUAUGGUUUGGAGUUCAUUGAAGGACUCUAUUGUGAGUCGAUCAAUACAUAUCCUCUCCAUAUUGAUCAAAUUGUGAAGAGUAAGGGACUCCAAAAGAGGAAAGGCGACACAAGGUUCUCUCUCCAUUGAAUCGGCAAUACACAGGAAGUCUGGAUUAUUUUGAACAUGGAGAUGCUUCAAUUGUGAAAAGCCCUCAGUGUCCAAUUCGAAAACAACAUUCUUGAUUCCUUGCAACUUAUCUAAACAUAAGUAUUCAACGUUAUUGAUGCCCUGCAACUUCUCGGAGCAAAUGGCCAUAGAAUCAAGCUUGAGCUUCAAUGUUCUUAAACUCUCAUGAUUACUGAUUGUUAGAGCAGCUCAUUAUGCUGAACAGAAGAAGGUGAAGACUAAGAUGAAGAAAAUACAGAGCAAGUUACAGGGCAAGUGUGUCAGCAGUGCCAGCUCAGCUAACAGCUCAGCAGAUUAGUUAAAGAUGGUUGUAAGCAUGAUGUGCAUUGUACUGAAGUUAGUUAGCUUUGAUUACAGUUAGUCUUUGGAUUAGUUAAAUGAAGUUACCGUGAUUGCAUUGUAUAUAAACAGGUGAUGCUUUGUAAUCAAAAGUUAAGCAAAAUAAAAAUCAAAGUUUGUUAAGGAAAUAUCUCCAGAAUUAUCAAUUCAUUUUCUUAGUAACCAAACAACUUUAUUUCAUUUUUCUUUCAUGGUAUCAGAGCAAGGUUAAUGGCUAGUUCCAGUAGCACAACAUCAAAUCCAAAUCAAAUGAAUAUAAAUCAAUCAUCACAUAUCUCCUUUUCGUUCAGCACUCCAGUCAAAUUGGAUCGAUCAAAUUUCAUGAUUUGGCGAAAGCAAGUUCUUACUACAAUAAGAGGAAAUCGUCUUGAAGAUUUUAUUUCUGGAAAUCAAAUCAUACCAGAACAAUACAUUUCUAAUACAGUAGCUGAUGGAUCAGUACAGAGAAUCACGAAUCCAGCUUACAUCAACUGGCGAGCUCAGGAUCAAACUUUGCUUGGCUGGAUUUUGUCAUCCAUAAGUGAAGGUAUCUUAAAUACUGUUCUUAAUUGCGAAAAUUCAUUUGAAGCAUGGAGAUCAAUUGAAAAACAAUUUGGAGUACAAUCUGAGGCUAGAGUAUUGCAAUUGAGGUAUGAAAUGAAUGUCCUUAGAAAAGAGAAUAUGUCUGUUGAGGAGUACUGUUUAAAAGUAAAAGCUGUUGCUGAUAAGCUUGCUUGUGCUGGUAGCCCUGUGUCUGAGAAAGAUCUGCUAAUGCAAAUUUUGAAUGGCCUAGGACCUGGAUUUCUAGAUCUUGCUUCAAUAAUUACUGCUAAUAGAAUGUCGUAUGAUGAUGCUUAUGCAUUACUCUUAACACAUGAGGCAAGAAUGGAACAAAAUCAUAAUACUAAAGAUCUUUUUAGUGCAAACUAUGGGAUGAUGAAUGCUAACUACUCUCAGUUUAGAGGAAAUAAUAAGAGAGGUGGUUAUAGUGGAUAUCAAGGGCAAUUUAAUGCUGGAAAUAGGAAUCAAAAUGGAGGAAGAGGAAUGUUUUUCAAUUCAUUCUCAAGAGGUUUUCCAGCUGGUGGAUAUACUGGUAAUGCUGGUGGCAGAGGACAGCAAAUGAAUGCAUAUGCUUAUAAACCUGUGCUUAACAACAGGCAUAAUUUCAAUAUGAAUCAUGGCUCAACUUCAAUGUCCAAUGGAAAUGGAUCUGAUGAUAAUGUGCUUAUCUGUCAAAUCUGUCAUAAAGCUGGACAUGCAGCUGAUGUUUGUUGGCACAGACACUUUGAUGGCUAUGCUCCUCAACCCAGACAAUUUGGAAGGGGCAGAGGGCAUAAGUCUGCUUAUAUGGCUAACUUUGAUCCACAAAUUGGCUUUACUUCACAAUUUGAAGAUUCGUUUGCUACAGAAUAUCCUGGUUAUCAUGGGUACCAUCCACCUGAUAUGAAUGCAUCAGUUGCAUCAGUAAGUCAUCACUCAUCUGAUAUGCAUUCUGUACCUGGAGCAGCUUAUAUUGCAAAUUUUGAAGGACCAGCUGAUGAAGGGUGGUAUCUUGAUAGUGGAGCUACGCAUCACAUCACUAACAACAUGGCCAAUAUGCAUAUCAGAGAUCAAUUCAGUGGAGCAGAUCAGCUCAUUAUUGGAAAUGGACAAGGUUUGCCCAUAACUCAUGUUGGUGAUGCAUCCUUUCUCUUUAAAAGUUCCAAUUCUACACACAAACACUCACCUAUAGUACUUAAAGAUAUUCUGUUGGUGCCUUCCAUUACCAAAAAUUUGUUAAGUAUCUCGAAGCUUACCACUGAUAACAACUUGUCUGUUGAAUUUCUUGGAAAUGUUUGUUUUGUGAAGGAUUCUCUGAGGGGACAGGUACUUCUGCAGGGUCUUGCUGAGAAAGGGUUAUACAGGCUGUUAUUGAAAUCAUCAUCAUCCUCUCAGUUAUCAUCAUCUUUUCUUUCUCACAUGUGUUCCAAUAAACCUUUGUCUAUGCUUUCUUGUUGUUGUUUCAAUUCUGUUCCUUCUGGAGUUGUUACAGAAUCUCAGAAAUCAUGUAAUCAAACUGAUGAUUCAUCUUGUAAAACUUCAGUUAAUAAAGCUAUUUUGCUUCAUAGAAAGUUUGGUCAUCCCAAUCAUCAAAUAUUAACUCAUAUACUCAAAACAGCAAAAUCUAUUCAUUUACCUGCAUAUCAAAAGCAACAAAUGCAUCAGCACAUCUGUGAGGCCUGUCAAAUGGGCAAAACACAUAAACUUCAUUUUCCUAUUACUGAAACCAAAACCUCCAAAACUCUAGAACUUAUACACACUGAUUUAUGGGGUCCUUCUCCCAUUAUUUCUAGAGAUGGUUAUCAGUAUUAUAUAAGUUUUGUAGAUGACUACAGCAGGUAUACAUGGAUUUAUCAUUUGAAGCUAAAGUCUGAGGCAUUAGAAGUCUUUAAGCUCUUUAAACUGCAGGUUGAAAAUCAGUUUAGCACAACCAUUAAGAUGAUGCAAUCUGAUUGGUGGGGAGAGUAUAGACCAUUCACUGAGUUUUUAAGCCAAUUUGGUAUCAUCUUUAGACAUCCUUGUCCUUAUACUCAUCAUCAAAAUGGGUUAGUUGAAAGGAAGCAUAGACAUAUUGUUGAAUUGGGUCUGACUCUCUUAGCUCAAGCUCAACUUCCCUUUAAGUUCUGGUGGGAUGCAUUUCAUACUGCUGUAUAUCACAUCAACAGACUUCCAUCUCCUGUUUUGCACCUUUUAACCCCAUAUGAAAAGACAUUCAAACACAAACCUGAUUAUGAUUUUCUCAGAUGUUUUGGGUGUUCUUGUUAUCCUUACUUGAGAGAUUACAAUAAACAUAAAUUUGCCUACCAUUCUAGUAAGUGCAUAUUCAUUGGUUACAGUCCUUCACAUAAGGGCUACAAAUGUUUACACCCUUCAGGUCGAGUCUAUGUGGCAAGACAUGUUACCUUUGAUGAAUCAGUUUUUCCUUAUGCCACUGAGUUUGUUUUUCAUAGUCAUGCUAAAACUGAUUCUCAAAUUUCUCAUUCCCAUACACCACAGCAAAUCCAUCAUAUCUCUUCUUUGCCUGUCAAUAACAGCACUGGUAAUCUGAACUCUGUAAGAUCUGGAAGCAGCAGUUCAAGUCACUCAGAUCAUCUAGAACAGACAGCAACUGAUCAGAAUUCACAACAAGCUACCAUAAAUGACAGGUCACCUUUUCAUACAUGUCCAACAAUUGUUGAAUCUAUACAAAAUAUUCCAGAACCUCCACAUCACUCUUUGCCUAUACAAAGUCACCAUCCUAGCAACACCUCUUUCUAUCCAUAUACACAACCAAAUACACAUCAGAUGAUAACCAGAAGUAAAGCAGGGAUUUUCAAACCCAAAAUUUAUACUGCUGUGCUUACUCACAAGGAACCAGAUACUGUGCAAGAAGCAUUAAAUGAUUCAAAGUGGCUACAAGCUAUGAGGGAGGAAUAUGAUGCCUUGAUUAAGAAUAAUACAUGGACAUUGGUUCCAAGACAAGCUGAUCAGCAUGUGGUUGGAAAUAAAUGGGUGUAUAGAAUCAAAUAUAAUACAGAUGGAAGUAUAGCUAAGUAUAAAGCUAGACUUGUUGCAAAGGGUUUUCAGCAAGUGGCAGGGAUUAACUAUUUUGAGACAUUUAGUCCAGUUGUGAAGUCAGCUACAGUUAGAGUAAUACUUAGCUUGGCAGUGAUGAAUCAGUGGAGAAUAAGGCAAGUGGAUGUCAAUAAUGCCUUUUUGAAUGGAGAGCUAACAGAAGAAGUUUUCAUGUCUCAACCUGAUGGCUUUAUUGAUGCUCAGAGAUCUGAUUUUGUAUGCAAAUUACACAAGUCUCUGUAUGGGCUCAAGCAAGCUCCUAGAGCCUGGUAUGACAAGCUUAAAGGAUGCUUAAUAAGCUGGGGUUUCACUACUACUAGUUCUGACACCUCAUUGUUUGUUAGGAAGAUCAAGACAUCUAUGAUCAUAGUUCUUAUAUAUGUUGAUGACAUACUGAUCACAGGUCCAAACACUGAGGAGCUGGAAGGUUUCAUAACUGAAUUCAGCAAAACUUUUGCUCUAAAGGAUCUGGGAGUGUUAUCUUAUUUCCUUGGAAUUGAGGUAUUAUAUGAUGCAGAUUGUAUGUACUUGUCACAGAGAAAGUAUAUCAGAGAUUUGUUAUCGAAGGUAGAAAUGACUGAAUGUAAGGGCAUUGAUACACCCAUGAGUACUGGCUCUAAACUGCAAAAGAUAGUUCAGGGGGAACUUGGAUACUAUCUUGAAGAUCCAACUCAUUAUAGAAGCAUAGUUGGAGGAAUGCAGUACCUGAUACUUACCAGACCUGAGAUUGCGUUUGCUGUAAACAAGCUCAGUCAGUAUGUAGCUGCACCAACACUACAACAUCUAAUGGCAUGCAAGAGAGUUCUAAGAUAUCUGAAGGCAACUCAAGAUUAUGGUUUAAAAUUUUUCAGAGAAGGAAGCUUAACACUCACUAGUUUUACUGAUGCAGAUUGGGCAUGUGACUUAGAUGAUAGGAAAUCAGUUGGUGCUUAUUGCAUUUAUUUAGGCAAUAAUUUGAUAUCCUGGUCUUCUAAGAAACAAUCAGUGAUAACCAGAUCAAGUGCCGAGAGUGAGUAUAGAGCUUUGGCAUCAGUGAGUGCAGAGCUGACAUGGUUACAAUCCUUAUUUUCUGAGUUGGGAUUAAGUUGCAUAGAAAAGCCAAUCAUAUGGUGUGACAACAUUAGUGCCACUGAACUAGCAAAGAAUCUUGUGUAUCAUUCAAGAACAAAGCAUAUCGAAAUUGAUAUGCACUUCAUUAGGAAUAAGGUUCUUGCUGGUGAGUUGAUUAUUCACUAUGUACCAAGUGAAGAACAGAUUGCAGACAUAAUGACCAAGCCUCUCUCAUUUGUAAGGUUUAACUACUUGAGGUCCAAACUCAAUGUCCAUCUUUGUCCUCUGAGUUUGAGGGGGGCUGUUAGAGCAGCUCAUUAUGCUGAACAGAAGAAGGUGAAGACUAAGAUGAAGAAAAUACAGAGCAAGUUACAGGGCAAGUGUGUCAGCAGUGCCAGCUCAGCUAACAGCUCAGCAGAUUAGUUAAAGAUGGUUGUAAGCAUGAUGUGCAUUGUACUGAAGUUAGUUAGCUUUGAUUACAGUUAGUCUUUGGAUUAGUUAAAUGAAGUUACCGUGAUUGCAUUGUAUAUAAACAGGUGAUGCUUUGUAAUCAAAAGUUAAGCAAAAUAAAAAUCAAAGUUUGUUAAGGAAAUAUCUCCAGAAUUAUCAAUUCAUUUUCUUAGUAACCAAACAACUUUAUUUCAUUUUUCUUUCACUGAUCAUAAAGUGCUGCCGACAUUCAAACCAGUCGUUCCCAAUAACCUUGGUAGAGUCGAAUGAUGCAUCUCCUAUUGAUAUAUCAAACCUUUCCAGCUUUUUGGAAAAAAAGCCAUCCGGUAAAAUGCUAUCGUUUUUAACAUCUAUUUCUAAAGUGGUCAAUCGCCUCAAAUGCAUCAAUUCGUCGAGGGUGGCAUUACUUCUUUCACUAUUGGCUUUUUCAACUUCCCAUUCAACAGGGGAAUUACCCAUAUACAGUUCUUCCAAUCGAGUGAAGCUUGAUAAGAUGUUGGGCAAAAUAAAUUUUAGUUGCAAACAAUCUCUUAAAUCUAGCAGCCUUAACUUAGUCAGUUGACCUAGUUCGUAAGGCAACCGUACAAUAUCAGACCUUAAAAAGCUAAGGAUUUCUAGAUUCUUCAACUUCCCAAUUAUGGCUAUGUCUCCCAACAUGCUUUGUACUAGACACAGUGUUUGAAGAUUUGCUAGAAGAUCGAUUGAAGAUGGCAAUGAAAAUAAUCGCAUUCCUGUCAAAUCCACAACUCGAAGCUUUUUCAUCCCUUUGAAAAAGUUCUCAGGGAUAUUGAGCUCGACAAAAGAGUCUUUGGGAUGAAUAAGUAAAAAUUCAAGUUGCGGACAUUCCAAUUCCUUAGAAACUUCAUGAAUGCUACUAUACAGUAAAGAGAUUGCAGAGCAUUUUUUAAGUGCAUCCUCAUCUGGCCACUCCCACACAACCUCACUUCUCACCAAGAAAACAUGUUGUUCUCGACAUGCAAUUGAAAUGGCAACAUCGCAGACAACAUCAUGCAUAGAAAAUUGUUCAUUACUAUCACCCUCAAGCAAAAAACAACAAUCUCUAAGUUCAUGGAGCAAUGCAUAUAAUUUGUUUCGUGCAUCUACCAUCCUGUUGACUCCUUGAAAUAUGCCCAAACCCAUAGAGUACCUAAACAAGUCUAGAAACCAAAAACUGUUACCUAUUAGACUACAGAGAAGAAAAUUUUUCUUGAGUUGCUCACCUUUUAAAUACUUGAAACUCAGCUCAAUACUUGAAUAAGUCUCUGCAGGCACACCUUCGAAGUUUACCAUUGAAGGCGUUUGGAGUUCUCGCAAGGCAUUCUUCCAUUCAUGCAGAGUCUUGUUUCUCAGUGCCCUUGCCACUGUAGUCAAGGCAAUGGGCAAACCUCCACAUGCCUGGGCUACAUUAAUUGCUAUAGACUUGAACUUACAAUUGUCAACAUCAUCACCAAUCAUUAUCUUAAACAAUCUCCAAGCUUCUUCUUCAUUUAGAUUGCCAAUCAAAAAGUUAUCUUUGGAGCCCAUACUUAAUAGUACAUUAUUAUCUCUUGCUGUGAGCAAUAGUCUACAUCCUUUAUGAUCAUUUCCAAAAGGAAUUCCAAUCGUCUCCAAAUCAAGAUGUUUCCAGAUAUUAUCUAGAAUCACAAGAAUCUUAUUCUCAUUCUUCAAUCGUUCAUACAGCCUGCUGGCUCUUCUAUAUUCAGCUUCAUCGGACAACUCCAGACCUAACUUCUCUGCAAUUUCCCCUUGUAUCUUUUUUAUGUCUGGAGUUUGUGAAACCUCUGAAAAAACCACACGAUCAAACAGCUUCUUUUCCCUGGCUUGCCUAGCAAACUCCUUCACCAGUGUCGUCUUUCCAAUGCCGCCCAUGCCGUACACCCCAAUAAUGCUGACGUUCACAUCAGUCAACACAUUUUGUAUAGACUUCAAAGUAGAAACUCUUGAUUCGAAGGCCUCGUAACCUUUGUUAGACUUAAGCCAUAUCUCCUCCGGAAUGGCACGGUGGGAAACGAUAUCAAACUUCUUAACUUCUUCUCCAAGUUCAACAAGGGCCUUCACCUCUGUCUCUGCUUUCUUGCUAAGCUGAUAGCGGGUCUUCAAAUUAGGACACAAGCCCUUGAGACAGCGCUUAUUUGUUGACUCUUCAUCUUCAACGAAUUUGGCUGCCCGGUCAAUGAUGCCGUUAGCACUAACCAGCCACUUCUCAACCUUCUCUUCAAUCUCUUCCCCUUUUUCUUUCGCCUCUGAAACUCUGCGCUGAAUGCUCGUACGUUCAACCUUCAACUUCUCCAUUUCCGCCUUGAGAUUCUCAAGGUUGGCAUUGUAGUUCCGCUUGCGCAAAUAAACAAGUUGGCGUUCUGUUGGAGGAGCCAAGCAUUUUACAAGUUCCAAAAUGAGAGUAACAAUGAUUUCCAGCAUCUUGAAUCCUGACAACAAUGUAGAAAUGAAGAAGGCCAAAGGACAGUAAGAACAGAGAGACAACGAUACGACAAGCAGUUAUGGAGCUAAAAAUAAAUAACAAACAAACAGAAGCAAAGUGUUUUUCGAAUGAGAAGAAGGAAGCAAGAAAAGGGUUUCUAUUUAGAUUAAGAAUGAAUGUAAAGAAGUGACAAAGAUGUCACAUAAUGUAAUUAAGUACUGAAUCCAAAUCCUAUCCUAAAUGGUUAGAUAAAAAUAAGGGAAUGAAAAGAGUAAUGGUAGAUUAAUUUAUGAGGCCAAUUAACGAAACGACAGAUCUGGUUUCCAUGUUUGUAAUUUAAGUGUAUGAGUACGAGGUGAACCAACUCUUUGUCGAGUCAAGCAAUUAGAAGGAGAAAUUACUAAAACAAGAACCAGCAACUUUUACUCACACAAGAGCUAAUAAUGUAUUGAGAUUGUGCAGAGUAAUACAAAACCUUAAAACUAGUAUAAUAAAUUUGUCAUCAAGUUUUAGCCUUCUUCUUCAACCAAUUACAGCACUAUCUUGAGCUCUGAGUUUCUUUUUUUAAAAUUUUUCAAAAGAUCUUUGUCAUUAGUUUUUCAAUGAUAAAAAUUAUAUUUUUAUCUCAUAAAAUAUAAAAUUUUAAAAAAAUCAAACAUAUAUUAUAGGUUUGUUUGAGAUUAUUUUUAAAGGCUCAAAAGUCACUUUUUAAAGUUAAAUGUUAAUUUUGGUAUUUGGUAAAAUUUUUAGAAAUCACCUUUGGUAAAAUCACUUAUCCCACAACAAAUUUCGGAAAGCAAAAAAGGAAUAGUUUGUCAAAAUCUAAUUUUGAUAACCAGUUUUAUACUUAAUAUAAUUCUAUAUACAACCUUAUAUAUAUUAUAAAAAAAAAAUAUCCUUAUUAUUUAGGAAAUAAAAUUAUUAAUUUUAAAGAUAUUUUAACAAUUACAUUGAGAUAACAAAAUAAAAAUAAAAUUAAUAAUAUAAAAUAUCUAUUUCUGUUAUCAAUUAUUAUAUAUACAAGAUAAAAAAAAUAUGUUAUAUACAUGUUUAUAAAUGUAUAAAUAAAUUUUAUCUAACAUUAUGUUCAAUUAAGUCAUUUACAUUAAUAGCACUUUUACAAGUAAAUUUUCCUAAAUGUUUAACUGAUUAUCUUCACAGUGAUUAUUUCCACAACAUAACUACCAGAAAUUAUUGUAAAAGAUACAACAUUACCAAAAAAAUAUUGAGGUACAUUUUAAUUAAGUAAUUGACUUAAUUAUGAAUCAAUUUAUUAUUUUCAUCUGUGUUAUCUAAACCAGCUCAUUAAUGAGAUCACUCUUUUUCUUAAAUAAAAUAUUCCUGCCAAACAAUUGUUGCAAAAUUUCAAAUAUAAAUUACAAACAGCAAAAUUUUCUAAAGUCAUAACAAUUAUUUAUGUUUUGAAGGGUCCAGCUAGCUUGCAACCGUGAUUUGGUACCCCAUUUUUUGUCUUUUUGUGAUCCAACCAUUAGAUCCAACCCAAAAGUUGUAAAAGCUAUUCCAACGGCAAGGAUGCAAUUACUUAGUUAUUAACGCUGAAGCCCCUCUUGUUUCAUAAAAAAAAGAAAAGGUUAAAUUUCAAGAUUUUGACACAUAAGUCCAUCAAAAUAUUUUAUGAUUUUUAUAUGAGUCCAGGUAAUUUAAUAAAUGAAUAUAUUUAGAUAUACAAAAAUAUGGAUGGAUUAUUUUAACUUGCUAAAAUACUCCCCACAUCCAUUUAUUUAAAAUAUCAAUUACAAAAAAUCCCAUUUUUUAGUAUAAUUUUUUUAAAAAUAAAAUACCCAUUUAAUGUUUUACCAUUUAAGAUAGUGUUACUUAUAAGGAUAAAUAAUUAUUUUAACUAAAUAAAUGAAACUUAACUUUUAUUUCUAUAAAUUUGCUCAACAUCAUAUAACCUUAUAAUUGUUAGCAUAAGAUAUAAAUUUAGUCUAAAAAAUUUAUUCAAAGGGUCCCCUUAGGGCAAAAAAUUAAUUAUCAUAUGAUAAUUUGGUUGGCACAAACUCUAUUAUUCUUAAUUUACUUAUCCAUGCCAAACACUAUAUUGGAAUUAAAUUUUAGUAAAAUAAACAUAUGUCAACAUCUUUAACCGCAUUCAACUGACCCUAAUUGUUUAGAUUUUGUUAUAGAGAGCAAGAUAUAGUUCUUUUCUUAUUAUAGUAGUAAAAAUAAAUAAAAAUAAACACAAUAGAUUUCUUUUAAGAGAAUGCAAGCAUUAUUUUUAUGAGAUUUUGUGUUCAAGAAAUUAAUCUAAUUAUGUGGUUAGAAGACUCUCUAUUUUGUGAUAUUUUAGAAGAAUUAUAUGUUGGAUAAAUGAAUAAAUUAAGAUCAAAGCAAAACAAAAAUGAUUGAGAAGAAAACCGAGAGAGAAUAAUUUUUUAAAUUUUAAAAUUUUCAUUUUUUAAUUGGGGUUUAUUUUGUAAAAUUAUUGCAAUUUAUAGUUUUUAAUAUUACCAAAAACAGUAGAGAUUGCUAAAGAAAAUGCCAAACAAAUUUUUUAGAAUUAUAAAAUUAUUAUAUUUUAAUUAGGGCUUGUUGUGUAAAAUUUUUAAAAUUUAUAGUUUUUAUUAUUUACCAAAAACAAUGAGGAUUGUUAAAGAAAAUGUCAAAAUUGGGUGUUUGGUAUAACGGAGGCAAAGUAGUUUCGUCCUGUUUUGAAUACAUGUAACUAAACCACAUUGAAAGUUGUCAAAACAGGAGGACCUAAUGUUAGUAAAAUUAUUUUUCAAGCAAAUGCAGUGACGAAUUUGGUUUCAUGUUUCACCCUCGAUAACUUAAUUUUCAUAUCUAACAAAUCAUCCAUAUUAUUAACAAUAUCAUCACCAACCAUAAUCUACCUAAACAUAAACUAAACAUAACACAUACAUAUAACUAUAUACAUACCGAAUCAGGAAAACAAUGAGAGCUACACGUAUCCGGCUCCACAAUUCCUUGUUGAUACCCUUGUGCUUCUAAAAUUAUCAACCAAUUAUAAAAAUUAGCUUAGGCGCAACUUUACCCCUUUUUUUUGGAAAACUUAACUAUAAAUAAAGUAUACAAAUCUCUAAAUUAACUUUUUUCCCAUGAAAUUCAGCAUAAAUAGAAAUAGAAUUAUAGAAAUCUUACUUCCUUUUAUGAGAAAUCCAACUUAUAUAUUUGAGACCUCUCUCUCUAAGCACGCGCUUCCUCUCUCUGUAUACUUUCCACCUUUAAAUUCUCCUCAUUAAAUCUGUCUAAAUGAAUUUAGCAGUCUCCCAGUUUCUUUAGCAUUUUUCUCCGUGAAAAUAAGUGAAAAGCGAAAGUGAUUUGAUUAUUUUAAUGUAUGACAGAUCUGGUUUCCCAUCUCCGUAAUUUAAGUGUAUCAAAUUGUCGAGUCAGUCAAAUAUAAAAGACAAAUUACUAAACCAAGCAGAGCCAAAAAAAAAAAAAAAUUCCAAUUAAAUAAUCAUCAAGUCUUUUUCAAUUAAAAUAGGGAGUGCAGAACAACUGUCGAGAGAUAAUCAUUGUUUAUGGAGCCAUAUUAUAUUUUCGAUUAAAAUAUUUGCGCGUGAACAAUUGGCAGAAUUCGUAUAAAUUGUUGUAAGGUCUAUUAUAAUUAACAAGCGGAAUGGCCAAUGGAUGAAGAACCACUGUAAUUUCGUUUAUGAAUUUAAAAUGCUAAAGAAACUGGACAUCAACGCUAAAUGUUAGCCUGCGGUCCUUGCCUCAGUUUCUUUCAGGCGUUACUCUGGGUAGUUGAUAUACUGACCGUCCCUUUAUCAAUUAAUAAUCGAAAUAGGUUAAAAUAUGAAUGGAUUGGAAUGGUAUGACUUGGAAAUGGGAUGACAAUCAGAUUAAUUUAUUCAUUUAAACUGAGAAAUUAGAAUCAAAAUAAAUUAUAUUGUUAUUGAUAUAUUUACUUUAUCUUAAAAUUAUGAUAAGUUGUUACGAGUUAUUAAUAUGCCUUAUUUUUUAUUAUAAUAAUUAUUAUUUAUUAUAACAUUUUUCAUAUAAUAAUAAUAAUAAUAAUAAUAAUAAUUAAUAUUGAAAAAAUUUUAUUGUUAAUAAUAAAGUAUCAUUAGAGUACUAGACAAGCUCACCACGUCUAAGCUAAGUGAAGAAAUAGACUUCAUCAACAAAGCUUUUGUGAAUAUGCGUUACAUUACAACUGCGAUAUCCUUUCACUGUAUAUUCAUACAGUGGCAGGCCAUGUGACAUUGUGACCCAUGUGCUAGCUUUCACUAGUCAUAUUAUUUUUUUACACGGUGUUUAACAAAAUCUUCACGUAAAGAUUUCAGACGCGUGAUCCUAAUUCAAUAUGCAUUAUUUAUUUAUUUAUAAAAUGAAAAUAAAAAGAUAAAAGGAUGUGACUUAACUUGCUAUCAGUGCGGAUCCAGGACUUAAUAUUAUUUCGGGUUAAAUUUUAAAAUUUAUAUUUUGAAGUGAACAUAAAAAUUUAUAAAUAAAAAGAAGUAUAUUAAAUGAGGGGAGACAUGGAGAGCUUUAUCCCUAUGAAUAUGUAUUAUAAACAAAAAUAAUUAUAAGAAAAGAAUAGAAACCAAAAGGCAAUUCAAAUAUCAAAACACUAUUUUUCAAUUAUGAAAUCCGACAUUGCAACCUAAUAACAUGUAAUUAUAUAAGGAUUAAUAAAUCAAUUAAGAAUUUCAAACUAAAUUAGAUCAGUACAUGUAAUUAAAAUUAAUUAAAGAUUUCAAGUAAAACUUUUAUGUUUGAAGUCAAGUACUAAAUUACCAAGCUUAAAUAAAUUUAAAAAAUUAAAAUUCAUUCAUUCUUUCGAAUUAUAAAAGUAUCAUUAGUCAAAAGUUUUAGUAAUAAACUAAACUCAAUUCAACAAAAAGUUAUUUGGAUAUCGUUGUUUCAUUGCCAGUGCACUGACUUUCUUUAUAGAAGUAUAUGUUAAUGAUUCUUCUAUUAAAGCUCUUCAAAAUACCUAAAUUUUAUUUUCUAACUUCUUCUCGUAGUUAAUGUAACUAAUAAAUAGAAUCUGAAAAUUCACAUAAAAUAUUUAUGAAAAUGUUGAUAAUUGUUACUAUAUGUUGUUUUCGUAAGUACUUUUAAUGCUAGUAACGAUGUUAUAUUACAUUGAUUUAUAUUUUUUUCAAUUAGAAGUUUUUUAAAAUAAAUUAAAGCAAUAAUAAUAUUUUAGCUCCCUAAUGUUUUCAAUCUAUCCAAUAAGUAUAUAAUUUAAUCAUUUUAUAAAAUAAGUCACUAAUUUCAAUUGGAAAUAAUACAAUUGAAUUAGGGACAUAUUUGAAUAUAAAAUAAUAGCUCAAUUGUUAUACUAAAUUGAUGAAAAUAUAAGGGUAAUUGAGUUAGGAAAAUAUUUGAAUAUAAAGUAAAAACUUUAUUGUUAAACUAAAUUGAUGAAAACAUAAGAAUACUUGAGUUAGGGACAUAUAUGAAAACAAAAUAACAACUCUAUUAUUAUAAAAAAUUUAUAAGAAAACAAGGUGUAUAAAUGAUUUUUUCUGUUCUAGACCAAGCUACAGCCUAGUCUAGCCAGCUGUAGGUCUCCCACUACUUGCUAUUUACAUACAGACAUGUGGCCCUUAUUCUAAUAUCUAUAGGAAAAGACACCUAUACUCCAAGAUUUGAAGAAAGAUUUGAAGAAAUAGUCACGUAGAUCUCUAAGUUUUCAGUAACCACAAUUUCUCUUUGACUAUAAUAUUUUUUGUACUUAGAAAAAAAAAUGACUUUAGAUUUUUUUAAUAAAUAUAAAUAUAAGUUAAAUAGUUUAAUUUGUCUAAUAGACUAAUAAUAUUAGAAUAUUUUUAAUAUAUAAAAUAAUUUUUAAAUAAAAAAUAUUAUAUUUAUUUUAAUAAUAUAUUUUUAUUUAUCAUAAAAAUAUUAAAUAAAUCUUUGGGGUUAAAUAGAAUUUAAAAUUAAUAAAACACAUCUCAUUAAUAAAAUAUAUCUCAUGUACUAAUAAUAUUGAAAUUAUUUUAAUAUAAAAUUUAUUUUAAAAUAAAAAUAAAUUUAGAAUAUUGAAAAAUUUUAUAAAAUUUAUUUUAAUAUUAUGUUCUUAUUUAUUAUAAAAUUUAGUCUAAUAUAAUGUAAGAUUGUAAAGUAUAAAAAUAUUUUCCUAAAUUGAAGUUGUUUUAAAAUGUUAAUAUUUUAUGUUUAUUUCAAUAUUAUAUUUCUAUUUAUUAUAAAUCAUAGGAGUCAAUUUUUUUCAGUUAAUAGAAUCAAAGGGUAUUAUAGUCAAAAGAGGUAUUGGUAUUCCUUAUUAAAAAUUUAGGCGUCUACAUGACUAUUUCCCAAACCUUAGGGUGUAACUUUCUUUUCUCCAAAAUUUAUGAUUCUCUGUAGGUAUUUCAUGAAGGAAAACGAUAUUUACACUGAAUCAAAUCCCGAACUAAUUAAAAUGCACUAUUUCAGCUUAAAUAAUGGUAAAUAUUUGUUUAGUCUCUAUAUUUUGAAUUAAGUACCGUUUAGUCCCUCAAGACACCUUUUUCAGUAAGCACAAUAUAAUCCUACCCUUACUUUUUCUUUGAUUCUAUAAUAACAUGCUUGCAACAAUAUUUUUAGAUAUGUUAAUGUAAAGAAAAAUUUAAAUUUAUCAAAUCAGCCUUAAAAGAAAAAUACAAAUUAGUUGUUAUUAUUAUUAAUAAAAUAAUAAAAUAAUAAAAUAAUAAUAACAAUAAUUAACAUUAAUUAAAAUAAUAAAGUUAAUAUAUUAUAUAAAAAAUAAUAUUUACAUUUAUCAAUUUUUCAUGUGUUCAAAAUUUUUUAUGUGAUAUUACAUUAUUAUCUUUACACCAUCAAUCAUUUUUAUGAUCAAGUUAGGCUAAUGGAUCAAACUUUAAAAAAUUUAAAACAAUAGGAGUUAUAUAAAUAAAUAUUUAAAAAAUUUUGUUUUUAUGAUAUUAUAAUAAACGGUAGAGACUUAAGUGUUAAUAACCAAUUGAACACGUUGAACACUUUAGCUAUUAGAUCUGGCUAAAUUAGAAAAAGACAAAAUUUAGGGUACCGUGCAACUGUUGCAAGGUAGGCGGACCCGUUAUAUUUAAUAUAGAAUAAAUAAACUAAAUAUGUGUAAAGAAUCUAGGUUAGUAACCUUGCAAUACUUCAGAAAAUUAUAAAAUACAAAAGGUGAAAUUUCAAAAUAAGGAAUUGUAAAAAGUGUUAGGUUCUAAAAUUUUAUUAUUUUAAUAUUACAAAAAUUUACUUUUUUAUUACAUUUUUAUUUUUAAUAUUAGUUGACAUUUUAGUUUAUUUGUAUAUAAUAUAUGUUAAUUUACCUAUAAAAUACUAAUAUUACUCUUGAAAUUUAAAGAAGUCAUUUUAAUUUUUAAAAAUUUUAAAUGUAGCCCAACAAAGUCAUAGAAAUAUAAAUAAAGAAUAACAUAAAAGGAAGUUAAUUUAAUUUUUUUAAGAAUAUUUCAAAAGCAUUUGAGUUUUAUGUUUCUUGAGAAUUAUACCAUUUUUUUUUAGAUAUUUGAGCUUGUGAAACUUGUUGUAAUGAUAAUUUAUUAUUUAUUCUUGAUUAAAAAUAAUUGAAUAGUAAAUUUAUUGGCUUCUAAUUACUCUUUUAAAUGUAGGGUGGUUGCUUAAUUUUUAUUAUGUUUCCUUAAACUUUUUGAUGAUGGCUAAUCAACCAUUGCAAAAGACUCUACCUGAUUAUUGUUUCCUUAAACUUUUUGAUGAUGGCUAAUCAACCAUUGCAAAAGACUCUAGCAUGAUUAUUUUUACUUUCUCUACAUCCCUCUAGACCAUCAUCACUCAAAGAAUUAAGGGUUCACUUGGCAUACUGUAUUAUACUAUACUGUAUUGCAUUAUUUAAUAUGGGUAUAUUGUAUUAUGUUAUAUUACAUUAGUAAUAAAUUAUAAUAAUAUUUGUACAACAUUUGGUAAUUGGUAUUACAUUGUACUGCAUUAAUUUUAUAUUAAUAUUAAACUAACAUUAUUUAAAUUUAUUAUUAAUUAUAUUAAAUUAUUAUUUUUAUAUUAAUUAUUUUUAUAUAAAUAUAAUAUGAUAUAAUAAAAUAAUAUGAUAGUAUAAUUUACUUUUAUGUUUUUAUUUAUUAUAAUAAAAAUAAAAAUAUAUUUAAUGCUCAAUUAAGGUAAAAUAAUAAUAAUAACAAUAGUAUUACUUAAAAAAAAAUCUAUAAAGUUUAAUGAUGAUCAUGAUGUUGACGACAUUAAUAAUAACAUAACAAUUAAAAUAAUAAAACUAAUAAAUUUUAAUAAUGUUAAUAUUAAUAAAAUAAUAAUAACAAUAAUUAACAUUAAUUAAAAUAAUAAAGUUAAUAUAUUUUAAUAAUAGUAAUAAAAUUAAUAUUAAUGACAGUAAUAAAAUUAAUAAAUAAUAAUAUGACUUAAUUAAAAUAAUUAUAACAAUUAAAAUCAUAAAUUUUAACAAUAAUAAUAAUAAUAAUAAUAUUAUUAUUAUUAAUAUAAUAAUAAUGACAUUAAUAAAUAAUACUAAUAAUAACAUUCAAAUUUUUUUUAAAGCUAUUUUAUCCCAAAAAAGGGACUUAUAUAUAAAAUUUUGUAAAUUCUAGUGUCUAUUCAAAAUUUUCAUAAAAUAUAAGAUAGUGCAGUGUAAUUAAUAAAAAAAAGACAAAAUGAUAUGCUGCAACCGUUGCAACAUAUUUUCAUCCUUGUUUGUGAUCCUUAAUCAAUAAAAUAUCUGACAAUAUCUUCGCCAAAAGUUUAAGACAUGUGAUCCUUAUUCCACAGCGUCAAUGAAACUCCAGUCAAAUGCUGCCAUCAUUAUUGAACAGUCGAUAUCCAGCACGUGCACGAAGAUUCCAAGAAGUUGCAUGGCUAUCGACUUUUAGAUGCUAAGCCUCAUUGCGUUGAUGAUACACAAAACAGACGGUCAAGGUAAUUGCCAAAACUUAGAACUAAACAGUAGCUUAGUCAGAAAAUCAAACGCCAGUACCGGUAAAAUGACCGAUAAAAAUAUAAGGACAUAAAAAUUUUAAAGUUUUACUUUAUUGCUUUUUUAAUCUUAUUACUAUUUCUCCUUGCACUUCUAAAGAAACCAAAGCUUUAAAAGAAAUCAGCCAAAUCACAAAGAUUGAAGAGUAAAUCUAUGGUUUUAAAUUUUUAUUUUAUUUUUUUAGAUAAUAGAUAUUAUUUUGAUGAAUUUUUUAAUAUUAGAAUAAUGUUAGGAAUUCUAACAGUAGAAUUCUAACUUGGAACCCAAUUGAUAUGUGUCAUUUUUUCAUUGGAUAAUGAAUUUCAUCACUAGUAAAAUUAAUAUUUGGAUCAUCUAAUAAAUGACUACCAUAUCAAUUGGGACUCAAUUAUUGGGAUCCUUAAAAUUGCUCUUAGUAUUAUAUUGGACAUCUUAGCUAAAUCAAAUUAAAAAUUAAAUUAGAUUUUAGGCUUUAUUCAACAUCUCUUUUUGUCUUUUUUUUGGUCUAUUUGAAGUGAACGAAAUAAAAAUACAAUAGGGUCAACGACUGGGCAAUUGAUAGUCAAGUAGAAGCAAAUCAAGGCUAAAUGGGAAAGAGAAAUUAUAUUAGUGCAAAACAAGGAGAAAAACAGUGUAACAGAAGAGAAUCAAAGUGCUUUUGAGAUCAGAAAUUGAAACAAGAAAAGGGUCGCUUGAUCCAAUGAAAAUGCAAAGAGCUGACGGCAAAAGGGAAUAAAGUUAAAUAAGAAAAUAGCUAGCGCUAGCAGCAACCACAAUAAACAGAAAAUUUGAGAUGGAUUUACAAUAUUUCUGCCUUUCUUCAUGCUUUAACAAAUAUUGCUUUAUAAAAAAAAAGAAAUUGAGCGUUUUUAUUAUUGGAGUCACAAAAGACCUACACAAUAUAGCAAGUGACUGGGAAUAAAUAAAAAUAUAUAACUGAUAAGUGCAUAUUUUCCAUAUAUUUUGUUAUUAAUUUCUCCAUCUUUUUCUUGAUUUGAUCUUAAAUAUUCUAGUUAUUUUAGUUAAUUUUUAAUUAAUUGUAUUAUUUUAUUGAAUAGGGAAUUAAUUGGAGAUUGUGGAUAAAAAGGGCAUGAAGAAAUUCAAAUUGAGAAGGAAUAAGGAUUAAAUUGGAAAAGGAUUUCAAUUAGAAUGGAAAAAGGAUUUCUUUAUUCUUGUUGGAGAAGAAUUCGGUCAACUAGCUUUAUAAAAGGGGAGCUGCUGGAUGAAAAAAAAGGAGGAGAAUAUUCGGCAGCCAAGAGGAUUUGAGGAACUAGCAGCCGAAAGAAGGAAAAGCAAGGGAGAAACCGAAAAGGAAUUGAAGAAAAAGGCAGCUGCUUGAAUUAAUCUCCAUGAUUGGUUUUGUCAAUUCUCUUAUUUCCAAUUCAAUUAUGUUAGGCUAGAUUUUUAUUUGGUUGAGGGUGAAUUCAAAACCCUAAACAUGCUAUGCAAUUAAAUUUAAAUUCUAUCAUUUAAUUUAUUUAAUUGAGAUUGUUUAUGUUCUUCUAUAAUUAAUGUUCAUGGUUUGUUCUUGUUUUAUUUGAGUGGCCAAUUAGAUAGGACUUGAAUAAAUUUUAUUGCUAGAUUAAAAUUCUUGAUCCGUAAUUAUCUUGAUAUUUUAAUUAUUAGUAACAUGUUGGAAUUAGUGAUUUCAAUUAAAGAACAUAACCUAGGUUAAAUAAUCCGAGCUUGUGUGUUUAUUGCCUAGAUCAACCUAAUAUCUUUCUCUGUUUAAUGCUUCCAUUAUCUUAAAUUUAAAGAGCUUGUUUUAAAUUAUUUAAUGGUUAGAGAUUAGGUGAAGAGCUUAUUUUGCCUAACGACACACUAAGGAAAGAUUGAGACUAACAGAGCUUAUUGUUGUCUACGGUUGAUAGUUUUAAUAUAAAUUAAUGAUAGAAUUGAUAUAUUAUGUGCAUGUUUGGUGGUGGCGAAUGAUCCUUUAACCAAAGUUUUCAUCAUUAAUAUUUCUUUCUCCUUUAAUUAGAGUUUUUAUUAAAUUCUUGUUCGUAGUUUUAAUUUCUUUACUUCUUACUAUUUAGUUAAAAAUUCAUAAACCCCCUCUUUUAUUUAUAAUUGGUAAUUUCCUUAGUUAGAUUAAUUUAUAUUAUUAUUACUACUAUUAUUUUAUUUUAAAUCUUGCUUUAGAGUUGAUAAUAAAUAUAACUACAUAGUCUUUGUGGGAUCGAUCCUUACUCGCUCUGUACUAAUUAUUUAUAUUAGUGGUAAGGUUAUAAAUUUGGUGCACCUUAACGACACUACCAAAUUUUUGUAACUCUCUCUCUAAUUCUCACUCUAGCUUUUAAUUGUCACUCAAAACCCAGAAUUCAUCCUUAAAGUGUAAGCAAAUCAGAGAUGACAACGUCUGGCUGUCAUACGUGCCUUUUAGUUUUCGGAUGACAUGGCGUACACUUCUUCUGUAAACCGAACACGACAUGUCGUACUCUUUGUUUUGAGAUCAUAUUUCAAACUCUUCAUGCUAUGAAUGAAAGAUAAACUACAAUCAUAAACAUAUUUAGUGUUUAUUUGGUAAUGUAACGUUAUAGUUGUUGUGAAUUGAAAUUAUUUCUGUAAAAUAAAAGGAAUAUUUAUAAUAGUAUAAAAGGAAUAUUAAUAGAGGAUGUAUUAAUAUAAAAUUUGUUUAUUGGUGUUGAAGUUAAUUAUCUCAUUAAUAAUACUAUAAAAAUUUUAAUUACUAAGAAACACAUAGCAGUAGUUAAUUGGUGUCAUAUUAUUGGGAUUCAGGGAUAUAAUUUUAUAUCAUAACUUUGUAAGUGUAUAAUUACUCAUUAAAUUAAGAAAAUUAUUUAAAAAUAUUUAGUUGGAAAAAAUAAAUUAUAUUCUUUUUAUUUCAAAUAAUCUAUAAGUUAACUCAAAACAUAAUCAAGCUGAGAAUUAAAAUAAUGCUACUAUAUGAGAGGAUUUUUAUUUUUUCCCGAAGUUUCACUAGGAAAUUAUUGAUAUAUAGCUUUAUUCGGAUCAUCUCAGUUCAAACAACAAAUAAUUGAAAGACUAAGCUAAAUAGACCAGCCAACAACUUUGUGCAAGAGAGUUCAAAAAUUAAGGUCAUGGUAUUGAGGUGUUCUGUCUUGAAAAGUACAGCAUAGUGAUAAAAUAAAAACUAUUAAUCUAUGGUAAGGUAUGACUUUUAAAUAAUAAUUUUCACAAAAAUACAAAGAAUAUUUAUAAAGUACUUCUAUAGUGAGGAGAUCCUUACUUUGUUAAAGUAAAAAUAUCAAUAAUAUAAAAAAACAUAUAUUUUAACACAUUAAGAACUGUAUUUUCUUAAUCUAUUGGUGUAUUGAAAUAUGUGUUAUUUAGUUUGUUAGUGACAUCAUCACUUUGUUAAAAUAAAGAUGUCGUCACUAGAGAAUCAUUAUAUAUACAUAUAUAUAAAGUGUUUCUCUCCAAAACCUAGACUUUAUUAAAAUUUAAGAAAGCAAAUAUAUUUUAUAUGGUAUAAUAGUGUAAUAACAUCACACAAUUAUAUCAUAUAGAGUAAUAGUUUUUGGAACUUUAAUAAAGUUCAAGAUUAUAGAAUGAAUGAUUUAUAUAUAUUAUAAUUUUUUUAUCAUAGAGUGGAGGACAAAAUUAACAUAUUUUCUAAAUUAUAAUAAGUAAUUAUCAAAUAAUUUAACAUUGUAUUUCUCCUAACUAGUAUAGUAAAUAUGACCUAGGAGGUACAUUCAAAGCAUUUCAUAAGUUAGUUGUUAAUAAUAAAUGAUACAUGCAGCUCCAAUCAUCAUUGUACGGUGAGUAAUUUCCAGUUAUAAAUAGAUAUUACUCCCUUCUCAGCAAUUUUUUAUGGCUUAAUUUAGUGGGAUCAAAUCAAAAUCAACAUUGAAUAGUCAAAAUAUUAAUGACCAAACAGACCCAGAUAGAAUAAUAUUAAAUGUAGUUAUCUCAAACAAGAUAGAAUAAUAAUUGAUAAGGUAGGUGUAUGAGUGUGUGUGAUGUGUACUCUUUAUGCCAUUGUGUAUAUAUAUAUAUUUGUUUUUUUUUUCUAUUUCGCGUGGUUCCACCAUGCAUAAUUGAAGGGCUUCAAAUUCUUAAACGUUCGGUCACCGAAAUUGAAAUCCCAAUGGAACAAGUAAUUAAGCAUGUUAAUUCAACAAGAUUCACUCCCUUUAUUACUUAAAAGUUAUUUUCGCUUUUGAUAUUGAUACUUAUUUUUACAUUUGCAUGCACUAGGGCAGACGCGAAGCUAAAGGUGGGCUAACCCAGGCAGCAGCCUCGGUUAGCUUUUUGAAAAAAAAUAAUUAAUUAUAAUUUAUAAAUUUAUUUUAUUAAUAUAUAUAAAAAAUAAAAAUAAAUCUAAUAUUUGAUAAUAUUUUUCUUAUUUACAUUGUAUUUUUAUAAUUUUAUGGUUAGAUUUUUAUGUAUAUAGUGUGCUUAAUUUCGUUUAUAUAAAACAAAUUUUUUGAAAAGUAAAUUUCAUUUUUUAAAAAAAUCUAGCCCACCCAAAAAAAUACGCUAGCUUCGCCACUGCACUAGGGACAUAUUAAUCAGGUGGGUUAUAUUACAACCAGAGGAUUUAAAUUUGAUUUAAGAUAUGUGGGGUCUGCUUUUGGAUUUAGAAAAUUUGCCCAUUAAGAGUUGAAACCAAGUGACCUACCGUUAGAUUAGAUUAAUAGUGAUUUCUUGUAGUAAACAUUUGUGAAUUUGAAAUAUGUGAAUUCUAUCCUGGUGAUACAAAACAAGCUUCUUGUACACGAGAACUAUUUGUUUUUAUGAUUUGGAAACCAAUCUAUAAAGAUGAAUUAAGUUGGCAUAAUGGUACAAAGCAACUUUAAUUUUUCAAUAAAUUCAAAAGUUGGCAGGUUGGUUGUGAUUAUUAUCUUUUCUUUUUUACUAUUUAAACUACAAUUAAUUGAAUCCAAAGACUAAAGGGUUGGAUCGAGAAGAAACUAAUUUUAAGUAGACAUUCCGGCGAAAAUCACUCCCAUGAUCGAGACACUCAUGCAAUCAAUACAAAAAAUGGACACAAAAAUUGUCUACUUAAGUUUGGUUGAAUGAUUUUAAAAAUAGUUUUAUUUGUUUCACACUCGAAUUUGUAUUUUGAAAAAGAGUGGGAGUUAAAAAUUGAUUUACACUUUAUCAAUUACUCUAUUUUAAAAAGAAAUAAAUAUUAAAAAAAUAAAAACAUUAAUUUCUUGUUUGUUUGUACUUACCAUUGUAGGAUAAAUAAAGUGGUUGACAAAAAUUAGAUAUCUUAAAAAUAAAUUCUAAAUUUAUAACUAAUGUAUAAUGAUUUCAAUUCACAUGUUUCAAUCCCAAAUAAAUUCUCCUUUGGUUAUUUGAAUCUUAGCACGGUAAGAUUUCAUUCUCUUGUAUGCAUUUGUGUAAACUUCUCCCUUUACCUUUAUCAUUUUAUCAACUGUAUUGAUUGCCAAACAACUUUAGGGUUUAGGCAUGAAUCACACAAGGGAAUGAUAUUGUGGCAAUUUUUUCCCCCUUCUUUCUUCUUUUUGAAAAAAAAAAUUAAUUAUAGCUUUGCUUUGAUGGGUAGAAGACUAGAAGACCAAUUAAUUUCUUUUUGUUGCGUGGUGAUAAUAAUGGUGAAAAUUGCUAUGUGCGUGUUGGUGAUUGCAUUGCUAAUCACAUAUUGCUUCCCAUCAUGGAGACAAAGGGGACCCCUCUAUCAAAGCUAGCUGUUGAAAUAUCAUACCCAAAAUCACAUGAAUUCAAAGGUUGAAUGGGAAAACGAUCUUGCUUCUUUGUAUGUUUUAUUUUAUUUAAAGACUUAUUUUUCCCAUAAGAGAUAAGCUUGGAUCUAUCUUUCCUUUUAAUCAUUUUAGCCUCCAACUCCCAUCUUUUUCAAAAGUUUCGUUUAGCCCAUUUUGAAUGGCAAGGUAAGCUUCAAUCAACGCUACAAGUUCUAGUGAUUCCCGUCAAUAUUCGAUUGCAUGUAUGUAGCUUUGAAUGCUCAAAUUUAUUUUAUUUAUUAGUUGUUAUCACUUAUCAUUUUCUUUUUAAUAAUGAGAUUUGGGCAUUUUCUUUUUAAUAAUGAGAUUUGGGUCCCUAGAUGGUGAUUAGCCAACAGUCUAGUUAUGAGAAAUUAAUGUCUUAAUUACAAUGACAAAAAAAGGCAAGUGGGGAUCUCAUUUGCCAUUAGGUAACACAACAUCUUCAGCAUUGGAGCUUUUCUUCCUUUCUCUCCUUCUUUCUUUCUUUCUCAAAAUAAUUGAAAAUCUAAUGCAAUACAAUUAAAUUGAUCAACGAUCUAAUUUAAUCAAUACAUUAUAUUAAGAUAUUUAAAAUAAAAUCGGUUCAAAUGGAAUGAGAAAUUCUACUCACAAAAUAACAACAUUUAUUCCCGAAUUCAAAUAACCUUGGAUUCCAAAUGCAUUCAAGACUAGCCAGGCUGCAUAUCCAAGAAGAAAACAAAAUCAAAACUUUAGCCACAAACAUAUACGUGUGUGUGUAUGUGUGUGUGUAUAUAUGUGUGUGUGUGUCUGUGUAUAUAGAGAGAGAGAGAGUUCUUUCACUAGGUUCAUUUGCGUGAAACUUUUUGAUCAUUUAGGUUUAAGACUAUAUCAUAUAUCCUAUUGCAUGAACAUUGAUUAAUAUGAAUGAGUCAAACCCACUAAGCUUGUAACAAAAUCUUUUCAUAGUUACUAGAGAAUAUUUAUAUUUUUUUCAAACAUUAAUAAAAUUAUUGAAUUGCUUUAUUUAUAGUAUGUAUACAAUUAAUAGUGUAUGGAUUUUUUUAUCUAUUGGUAUAUUGAAAUAUGUGUUAUUUAGUUUGUUAGUGAUAUCAUCACUUUGUUAAAAUGAGAAUGUCCUUACUAGAGAAUCAUUAUAUAUACAUAUAUAAAGUGCUUGUGCUUCUAUCCAAGACCUAGAUUUUAUUAAAAUUUAAUAAAGCAAAUAUAUUUUAUAUGGUAUAAUAGUGUAAUAACAUCACACUAUUAUAUCAUAUAGAGUAAUAGUUUUUCGAUUUUUUUAAAGUUCAAGAUUAUAGAAUGAAUGAUUUAUAUAAAUUAUAAUUUUUUUAUCAUAAAUGGAGGCGAAAAUUAACAUAUUUUCAAAUUAUAAUAAGUAUUUAUCAAAUAAUUUAACAUUGUAAUUUCUCCUAACUAGUAUAGUAAAUAAUAUGACCUAGGAGGUACAUUCAAAGCAUUUCAUAAGUUAGUUGUUAAUAAUAAAUGAUAUAUGCAGCUCCAAUUAAUCAUCAUUGUACGGUGAGUAAUUUCCAGUUAUAAAUAGAUAUUACUCCCUUCCCAGCAAUUUUUGAUGGCUUAAUUUUGUGGGAUCAAAAUCAACAUUGAAUGUCAAAAUAUUAAUGGCCAAACAGACCAGCUGCCAACAACUUAUUCCAAUGUGAGUAGUUCACAGUGGGUACUGCACAUGAUGCUUGUUUCUCCUUUUGCAUCUAUUUUUGUUGUUAACAUUAAUUUCAAUAGCAGCUCUUUAAUCCCAAUUGUUGAUUUGGGACUAGAUAAGAAUUUAUCUUGGAACUCCAAUUCUCCCAAUUAUUUUAGUUGACAAUAUGUUUAACAUUAUUUUUUUAACAUUAUUAAUUACAUAUUAUUUAAUUAUCAGUAUAUAAUAUUCUUUAAUUUUCUAAUUUUAUAGGAUUAGACACAAAAUUGAUUAUGCCUUUUGAAAUUUAAGGGUUAUGUCAAUUGAAUAGAAAACUUGGAGUUAAACUUGUGGAUGUUUUUGUUGAUUAUCAAUUUAUGCAUGAAUUUUUGUACGUUUAUUUGGCUUAUUAUUAUUACUUUUAAACAUUUUUAUUGGUUUGAUUUAGGGUCAGUUUGGUAAUUCUAUAGCUUUUAAAAUAAUUACAGUUAGCUAUGCUGUAGAAAUUGAUCAAUCGUCAAGAGAAUCAGCUGAACAUUUAGUAAAAUUUAUUUUUAAAAGUACUUUUAGUUUUAAAAGCGUCGCAUGUGUUUCGUAAGUUAUAUACAUUGCUGAUUCUAUAUUAAUAAUGUUAUGUUCUAUUUUCAGAAAUUAUAAUACAAAAGUUUUUACAAUGGCGUGCAUCUACAAACUGAAUUGACUUGUAGAAUAAGAGCUUGGAGUAGUGUUAUGUUCUUGAAUAAAUGAAAGUUCAUAUGGUGUAAGAGCAUGUAGAUGUAAAGUGUCAUUACCAUUUCUAUAAAGGACUUUCAUUCUGUUCGGAUGCUCCUCUUGAACUCUGAAGGGUGCUUCAUUCAUAACACACAUAAUUUAUGCCAGGGAAGAGAAGAUGCCAAAAAAGUUGAAGGUGAUCAUUCAUAACUUUUCAGAAAGUUGUUGCAAAACAGAAAUCACCCAUCACGAUCGGUCGUACAAGUGUCUGCUACGAGUGCAGCAAAACGUUUGUCACGCUAGUUGUGCUAAAUGGACCUCUCCUGUGUGCCUCUAAAAUCAAUGCAUGUGAUCAUGUCGGUGAUUCAAUGGCUGGUGGGGAUGAGUCCACUCAAAUUCUGAAACUAAUCAGGUGAAAUAUAAACCCUUUUUGUCUCCUUCUUUAAUUGUAUGUUUUACUAUCCAUGUUUUACCCAAAAAAAUUGUAGGUUUACACUUUGCAAUCAAAUUUUGUAGUUGUGCUUUUUUCUUGCUUUUAUCCUAAUAAGCAAAAAAUCUAAUUAAUCCUAAUUAAAGGUGUUUUAAAAUUUAAAUAGAGAAAGUACCAUUGAGAUUUGAGAGAAAAUGAAUCGAUUGAUUUACUUCACAGUAUGAAUACACAGAGAGUUCGCUUGCUUUAUAUGCAGUAAUCUAACCAACUUGUUAACUAAGCUACUAUUCCCAGCAAAUCAAGCUAACCAAUCCCACUACUCAGCUUGUCUACUACAGAUCACAGAACCACUUGGGCUGAGCCGUAAUUCCAUGUCAUCAGUCUGUGCAACAACCUCAUUGAUCACUUGUUGUGCUGACUAUCGAACAACAGUGUGCCUCUUUAACAUAAUAGACUAAGCUCGUAUGCAUAGGAAUGGAUCUUUUAUUAUUGUCAUUAACUAUCUGUCCCUAAGGGUUUGGUUGAGUGAUUUAUUCCUUUAGUUGGCCCUCCCAAUCUUUUGGAUUGUUAUUGUCAUUAAAUAUCGGUCCCUAACUGCGUGAUGUAAGUACUUUCUAGAAGAUAUCUAAAUGGUAAAGCGACAUUACCAUUUCUAUAAAGGACUUUCAUUCUGUUCAGAUGCUCCUCUUGAACUCUGUAAUUCAGAUCCUAGCUAUAACUACUAGCUUUGAUUAAUUAAUUUCCUGUACUAGCUGAAACAGAUUUAUUUAUUUAAAUAAUUGUGUAUGUACUAAUUAUAAUGAAAGUAUAUGAAGAAAUUUUUUAACAUGAAUGACUUCUAAAUGACUUAAAAACCUAAACAAAUAAUGCUCAUUUCACUUGAACGAGCCUAUUAAUACUUGUAUGUCUAUGAUUUUUAAUAUUGGCUUAAGCGUUUCAGUUAAAUGGUUUACAUAAGAGGGAAAAAAAUUUAAUGGAAAACUUUAGAGUUCUAACAGAAAUAUAAUUGACUAUGCAGAUAUAGUUAUUUUAUGGUAUACAAAUCAUGUUGCCUUAAUCUCAAUGUCCUAUGACCUAUUUUAUUUUAUAUAGUCAUUCCUUUUGGCCAUGGCUUUUUGUUUUUAUGAGUACGGAAAUAGUGGGAUUUGGUGUAUCUUAGCAUCUUUGGAAAAUUCUCUUUAAAUGUGGCAAACAAAAAUAUACAUAUAAUCAAGUUUCUUAAUCAACUAUCAUAACUGGCUAGCUAGUUCUUGCCUGCCUUGCUGCCAUUACCCAGGCCAUUACAUUGCAUAGCAUAAGGAAUAGUGAUUAGGUGAUUAUUAGUGACUCGUUGAGCUUAUUAUUGACCAAACAAAUAUAUUUGCCUUUACCCACAACUUAGUUUGAUUAGUUAUUAGACCAUAAAGAGCGUAAAUCUGUUCAUUGGCUUUGUUAUUUUUGUUUGGUUUUUCUUUCAACAAUACUGUUAAUUUCUUAUAAAAAUAUUCAUUGGUUUUUAAACACCUAAUCAUUGGCUAUAAUGAAGCUAAUUGAAACUGAGGCUUUGGAUCAAUUCCUUCUGGCAAGAUACAAAUGAGCAUAACCUAUAUCCUCUAAGUAAAUUUUUCUAAUAUGCUUGAUUUGUUAGUAUCCGGAGGCUUGAAUCCUCUAGAUUUUUUUAACACUGUCAAUGUUCUUUUUACUCUGAAAAGGGAAAAAAAAGGUUAUAUCUUUCAUACCCUAAUAAUAAGUUGUCCUUGACUUAACAUGCCUUCCUGAGGAUUUGCAAGAUUCACAAGCAGCUCAACAACACCCCCCCCCAAAAAAAAGCAAAUACGAAGAUUUUGCAAGAUUCACAACCAGGUUAUAUUUAAUUUAUUAAUUGUGUGCACGUACUAGUUAUAUGUUGAAAGAAUAGGAAAAAGUAUUUUAACAUGAAUGACUUAAAACUUAUUGCUCAGUAAACUUAAUCUGCAUCAGUGCUAGAUAAUGUAUUUAUUGUUUGUAUUUUUUAUGGAUUUGCUUAAGAAAUGAUAUGCGAAAUAAUGCUAUAUUGUAUUAGGAAUAAAUUGAAGAGAUUUAUGAUAUUUAUGUGUUUUUAAAUUUCAGAUUGAAUUUUAAACUUUCAAUACAUGCAUUGAAAGCUUAGAUCGUUUAAGAAAUUAUUAAUAGACACAUGUUUUAUUAGUGUCAUCUUUGGAUGAUAGCGAGGAUCAUAUGUCUAUUAAUAAUUCUUGAAUUGUCUAGGCUUGAACUGUUUGGGAAUGCAUAGUUUUCUACGGUGGCUAGUAGCUGAAGUUUUUUUCCCACGUAAAAAUGGGUUUUUCGCUAGCUACUUCUCAUCUUCUUUGGGUGCAUACUAGAUAACACAUACACACUCAUAUAUCUAUGUCGUGUGCUAGGAGAACUAUUGGGAGAUGCUGCCGAAAUUCCUAUAAACGUAGAAGAAAACUUUAAAGUACUUGAGAUUGAAGAGACUUAUGCAUUCUUGAGAGGGAUAUAUGGGACCACUUACCUUUUGUAAAUAUGAAGGGAGUGUUGGACAUAUUGAUGGGAGUGAAGGAGCUGAGUUGGAUGGAUGUAAUUGGUUAUGGUUUUGCUGAGUUAACUUGGUUUUGACCUAGUAGUUUUGUUUAUAAAUGGAGUACUAUCUCCAAUGUUGGUUUAUAAAUAUGUUUCAGCUGGCUGACCUAAUUUUUUGUUUCUAGGUAACAGGCUUUAUAUCUGUAAUUGAUAGCCAACCGAAGUUCUCAGCUGUGGGUGAGGAUAUUUCUUUACAGAAGGUAUUGGAAACUGUUUUUUACAUUAAUUAUUGUGGUAUUUAUACUUGAAAAUCUUUUUCUCUGAUUCUUGUCGCUUUGCUUGCUUUCAUAUGUAUAAAUUCUAAUGAAAUUAACCAUAAAAUUGUAUAAUGAUUUUUUUUAAUUAUAUUGCAAAACUGUGCACACACGAAAAUAUCUUGGUCAUUAGUAGAAAUGAAGAACUAAAAUGAUUUAUCUAACUAAUUUUUGUAGUGCAUUAAAAGGAGAUGAAAAUGGAGAAGAGUUGGGUUGGUUUGGCAAAUAGAUAUCCAAGUUAUAGAUUUUGUAUUUGAGAAUGUUGUUGGUAAUGCAAGAAUUUAUUAUCCUUGUAAGGAGUGUCGAAUAUUUUGUUUUAAGGGAAGUAUCAAGAGACCAUAUCAUUAUAAAUGGUUUUUGGUUAAAAUAUUAAAACUGGAUAUUGCAUAGUGAGCCAUCUUCAUCUUUGGAAUCUAGCCAAGAAACAAGUUGGUCGUGACUCAGGUGCUGAUGAUGAUAUGAUUGGAAUGAUACAUGAUACAUCACAUAAUCAAAUGUUCAAUUCACACGCAGCAUUGUUAUGGACUAUCAGUGACUUUCUAGCAUAUGCCAACUUGUUUGAGUGGAGUAUUAAAGGUAAAUAAGCAUUUCUUGUUUGCCAACAAAACACUAGAUCUAAUUGGUUGAUACAUAGUCGAAAAUUUUGUCACGUCGGUAAUGUCGAUUUUUACCGACGAAUCAUAGGUUUUGAAAAUAUAGUGCCUUUUGAUAAAAGUAGAGAGUGGGGACAAGCACCUUCUCGGAUGUCUGGAGCUGAAGUGAAAAAGCAGUUGAGUAAUAUACUUACUGAGUUUAAGAUUGAAGACUUGAAAAGAGGAGAAUGAGUAAAAUGAGAGAAAUGAUAAGAUUACUUGGAAGAAGAAAAGCAUAUUUUAUGAACUACCGUGUUGGGAGUCCAAUUUGAUUCAUCAUAAUCUUGAUCUCAUGGGCUGUUUUGAUUUUUGUUAUGAACUCUGAUCAAAAGUUUAAUUUGAUCAAAAUUUCUUAAAAAUAGUGAAAACGACUCCUCCUAAUAACAUGGACGAUGGCUAUAACAGAUAAAAGGAAAGGAUUAAAAAGAAAAGCUAUGCCUGUUAAAAAAAGAAAAAAAAUUGGUGGCGUCAAGUUUAUAACAAAAAUUAAAACGGUGCGUUUGAGAGUGUAUAAAAUACAUUUAGAAUGGGAGCUGUGUUGUUUUUUGAAGGUAGAAUGAUUGUGAGAUAUUUGUCGACGAAGCCGAAAUCAAAGAUGAAGCCCAUAGAGCUCAAAACUCCACCAGAGCAAACUCAAGACAAUUAUUGACAUAGUCAAUGAUUGUAUUUGACAUAGUCAAGGAACAGGGUCCUCUCACUGUUGUCGAAACAUGGGAACGCGUCAAGGUGUGUGCAUCUGAUUGAGUGUGUUUUACAUUCAAUGAUCACUGAUCAUAAUACUAGUAGUUGUUUUACAUUUUCAGCAAGCAGGAGCGAGUGGAUUGACGGGCAAAAGCCACAUGAAGAUUGAGUGUGUUGAGUAAGCAAAUCCUGUGCACAAGUUGGUUCACCAAACCCAACAACUUGAAGCAACCAAAAUCAGGGAAUGAUCCUUCUCCGUGAUGGAAGUAAAGCACCAGUGAUGGAAGCUCCUCAGCAUGUAAACUUUUCAACAGUAGCACAGCUCUUAUUCCAGAGGCUGCACAGAAGAGCGACCUGAAUCCUCUUCAAAACUUUCAAAUUUUUAUCAAGUAAAGCUUUCAAAAUUUCUCAGCAAAUAGAUUAUUCAAAUGAAAGAAACACAAGGGAGUGACCUGAAUCCUCUUCAAAUCAGGAAAUUUAUUGCAUAAAUUACAAGAAGCAGUACACACCAAUGGUAAAUUGAUAAAUCGUUUUUUAACUUAAUAUAGUCAAAUGAAAGAAACACAGCGGAGGGUUAAUAUAACACUUUCAAAGCUGCAUUAGUAAUACGUUAAAGUGAAUACCCUCAGCAUGUAAACUUAACUUCAAAGGACGGAGCACAAGUUUCACAGAAAAGUAGCUCUUAUUCCUGAUGCUGCAAACACAGAGGAGUGUCCUCAAUCUUCUUCAUAACUUGGGAAUUCUGCAAUUAUAGAGCACGACAUUGAGCAUGAACUAUAAAAAAUAUUUAUUUUCUACAAUUUUCAUAUAACCUGACUAACCAAGAUUAAUUUUGUGGUAAUGUAUUGGGUCAUUAAUUCAUAUGUUUUUACUGUCAUCACUUUAGAAAAAACUAAUUUCUCAAUGUGAAAUGGCCCAUAAAAAGUAUUCUCAUUUAAAAACUAAAUUUGACAAACCCCUCGAUUAAAGCAGGGGAGAGAAAAGAAAAAAAAAAGAUCUGAAGGCUUUCCACAUGAAAAUGUUGUCACUUUGGAUGAUAUUUUCAAGGGAUUUCAUUCUAAAAAUAAAAUACCUGGGACCUUAUUCUUCAAAUUGACAGCUAGCCCAGUACUAAACGCGUAUGAGAUCAGUACUGUACUGUGACAAGUAACGAGACGACCCCUCCAACAGCUGAAAAUAUAAUUCGGAUUCAUCAAUUUAAAUUAAAAUUCAUAUUAUGAAAUAAAAACUAAUGAUUAAUGAAUUUUCGAGGAAUUUAAUAAGAUUCUCAUAUAUAAACGUGAUAAAAAAUUCUCUCGUCAAUAACAAAUAUUCUAACAGUUACCCGUACCUUUUCUUGAUGUAAUUGUUGUAUGAUUGUGUUAAGGUCAUUAUUAGACCAACGCCGUUUGUCCUCACUCCUUCCGUACCAGACGUUUACUCUCGGAGGCGUGCUUAAUUCUCCUUUGGUGAAAAUCUUCAUCUUGGGACAACUAAUCACCCACAAAUCUUGCAAAGAUGGGAAUUUGAAGGCGUAAUUGCCAGAGGAGAAGCUUGUGAGGCUGUCUAAAUCAAACAGGGACAACGUACUCAAUUUGCUGAAAACAAUCUCUUCUUCUAUAUUUGCUGUUUCAUCUUCGUCACUUAUUACGACUUCUGUGAUUGCUCUGCAUCCAAAUACACCCAAUGAUACGAGUCGCUCUAGACUUUUUGCUGUGGAGGAUGUUAGUAAGUUCAUCAAUUUCUUGCAAGCAAAAGCUUGCAGGCGUGUGAGAUUCCGAAAAGAUACCGAUGAUGAUGGCAAUAGACUUAACAGAUUUUGACAGUGAAAUGCUCUUAGAGUUUGAAGAUGUUGAAAAAUGAAGUCCGGCUGCUUGGAAUCGUGUUUCCAUAGUUGCUGCAGACGAUUAAGUCUGGUCAGGUCUAACCUUUUUAUCAGUGCCAGCUUCCUCGCAUGUGUCUCCAAAUAUCCUUCAUUUGAAAAUACCACUUCGUAUGAACAAUCCGACAGGAAGAGAAGUUCCAGAUUGUGAAACUUCUCAAGUAAACCAAGUGGAAAGCAAGCUAAGUCAUCAUCCCGAACCCGUAGUCGUUGAAGACUGCCAAAGAGGUGUUGUGGGAAAUCGUCUUGCAAAAUCAUCGUGAUGUCUUUUCCACUUAAUGCCAGUCCCUCCAAGUUGGGUAAGAUCUGAUCAUCAUCAAGCACAAAUUAUUAUCUUAGCACAUUGAUCCCUAAUUCCAGACUGGCAAAAUUCAUUGUGUAAUCAAAGUUUCAAUGAUCUAACUAACAUAUAUAUAUAUAUAUAGGUAUUUAUUAAAAUUCAUUGUGUAAUGCCAAAUCUCGUCGACAUUAAUAGCAUUCAGCUCCAAAGCCUCCAAAUUUGGCAACACUGCCUAAAGAUAAUUUUCUCUUUAGAUCCAAUAUCCAUAUAAGAAGUGCUUAUUGAGAGCUUAAUUAGUGAGUGUAUGAGAUUUUUUUUUUCAUUUUCUUUUUCUAAAUGAUUUUUUUUUUUUUUUUUUUUUUUUUGCACAUAUAGCAUCAAAUGCAAGUGCAUGAUAGAAUAAAAAAAAUGCAAUAUCCAUAUGAAAAACACUUGUGUGGGCCAAUUUGGUAUUACAGUUGCUGAUUAAAUAAAUUGCUUCUGCUGUACGGAUGUAAUAAGUAAUUGAUUAAAAAAGCAGGUAGGUGUUUGGUGAAUUAUGUUGUUUCAGUUGAUAUGAGUUUGAAAAGCAGCGUACAUGCGUUUGGUAAAUUUUAUUUUAAACUUGUUAUUUUAUCAUAUAAUGACCAAAAUAGACAUAAGUUUAAAUUACCUUUUAUUUUUUUGAAGUAUGUUUAAUAAUGUUUAGAUGUGUCAUUUUCUUUUUAAAACACGUAAAUUAUAUUAAGUGAAAAAACUUAAUAAUUUCUUACAUAAAAUACGAUAAAAAUUUAUACUAGUAUAUAAUCCAAAUAAAAUAAAAAAGUAAUAUGUAUUACUUUCAAAUUAAACUUGUUGCAAUAAACACCAUGACUAUAGAAAAAAUAUAAAUAUAUUGAAUGUUAAAAGCUAUGGUUAUGAAAUUGAUUUUUAAAGUUAUGAUUAAUUUUCAUGUAUAGUUCAAAAAAAAUUUAUAUAAUUACAUGCAAGUCUUUUUAAAUUUUAUUAUAGAAAAUACAAGUAUAAAUUGUAUAAUAUAAAAAAAAAUAUGAACUUAUUAGAUCAAAACUUUGAUAUUAGAGAGAAUAUAUAGUAGUUGUGGUGGUAAUAUGAUAUCUGAUGACUUAUAUAUUAGAGUGUAUGGAAAUAUAUGACAUAAUUAUCUUUGUUAAAAUAUUAAUAAGGUUAUGAUAGGAACUUUAAAAAGAUAUGGUAGCUUAUUUAAUAAGCUGCUCAUGAAAAGCAAUCUCUAUCUGCUUUUAAAAGUUACUGUCAAAAUGGAGAAAAUUAUAAAAUAAGAGUUUUUAUAAAAUUUACCAAACACUAUUUUUGUCACAGAUUAUGAAAUAGACAGUUUAUUGAGUUUUAACCUCAAUCCCAAACGGGGUCACAAUGCCACAUGAGAAGCACUUAUUGAGAGCUUAAUUUGUGAUUGCAGUUUUUACAAAAUUUACCAAACACUAUUUUUGUCACAGAUUAUGAAAUAGACAGUUUAUUGAGUUUUAACCUCAAUCCCAAACGGGGUCACAAUAGCCACAUGAGAAGCACUUAUUGAGAGCUUAAUUUUGUGAUUGCAUGAGUUUUUUUUAUUUAUUUUCUUUUUCUAAAUGAUUUAAUUUUUUUGCACAUAUGGCAUCAAAUGCGAGUGCAUUAUAGAAUAAAGGAAAAAAAAAGAAAAAGAAUGCAUUAGCCUACGCACCUUCUCGUUAAAAAGCAGAGUUGAAGUAUCCGAACUGAUCUCGUUGGAACUAGCUGUCAAUACCUCUUGUGACUCUUGUCUGUUUGGUGAUGUGGAAGGAGUCUUCACUUCACGGCAAAACCUUGUAACCUUUGGAAGCUUUCCCUGAGUCAAAGAUCUUAAUUGAUCAAACUCUAUCUUUUCAUCAACAUCAACAUCAGCUUCUCCUCCAGUUGCAAAAAUUUCUUCCAUGCUGCUGCAAUUGAUAACUGCAAUCCUCUCAAGUCUUGGAAGGCAUUUUGUACUACGAGAGAGCCAGAAGAUAUUACUCAACUCAUCACAAUUUUCCACUUUUAUGGUUUUGAGUUCAUUGAAGGACUCUUUUUUGAGUCGAUCAAUACAUAUCCUCUCCAUAUUGGUCAAAUUGUGAAGAGUAAGGGACUCCAAAAGAGGAAAGGCGAUACAAGGUUCCAAUUCUAAAACAACAUUCCUGAUUCCUUGCAACUUAUCCAAACAUAAGUAUUCAACGUUAUUGAUGCCCUGCAACUUCUUGGAGCAAAUGGCCAUAGAAUCAAGCUUGAGCUUCAAUGUUCUUAAACUCUCAUGAUUACUGAUCAUAAAGUGCGGCCGACUUUGAAACCAGUCCUUCCCAAUAACAUUGGUAGAGUCAAAAGAUCCAUCUCCUAUUGAUAUAUCAAACCUUUCCAGCUUUUUGGUAAAAAAGCCAUCUGGUAAAAUGCUAUCAUUUUUAACAUCUAUUUUUAAGGCGGUCAGUCGCUGCAAAUGCAUCAAUUCAUCGAGGCUGGCAUUACUUCUUUCACUAUUGGCUUUUCUCACUUCCCAUUCAAUAGAGCAGUUACCCAUAUACAGUUCUUCCAAUCGAGUGAAGCUUGAUAAGAUAUUGGGCACAAUAAAUUUUAGUUGCAAGCAAUCUGUUAAAUCUAGCAUCCUUAACUUAGUCAGUUGACCUAGUUCGUCAGGCAACAGUACAAUAUCAGACUUUACAAAGCUAAGGAUUUCUAGAUUCUUCAACUUUCCAACUAUGGCUAUGUCUCCCAACAUGCUUUGAUCAAGACACGGUGUUUGAAGAUUUGCUAGAAGACCGAUUGAAGAUGGCAAUGAAAAUAAUCGCACUCUUGUCAAAUCUACGACUCGAAGCUUUUUCAUCCCUUUGAAAAAGUUGUCAGGAAUAUUGACCUCGGAAAAAGUGAUUUGGGGAUCAAUAUAUAAAAAUUCAAGUUGCAGACAUUCAAAUUCCUCAGAGACUUCAUGAAUGCUACUAUUUAAUAAAGAGAUUGCAGAGCAUUUUUUAAGUGCAUCCUCAUCAGGCCACUCCCACACAACCUCAUUUCUCACCAAGAAAACAUGUUGGUCUCGACAUGCAAUUGAUACGGCAACAUCGCAGACAACAUCAUGCAUGGAAAAUUGUUCACUGCUAUCACCCUCAAGCAAUAAACAAGAGUCUCUAAGUUCAUGGACCAAUGCAUAUAAUUUGUUUCGUGCAUCUACCAUCCUGUUGACUCCUUGAAAUAUGCCCAAACCCAUGGAGUAUUUAAACAAGUCUGUAAACCAAAAACUGUUACCUAUUAGACUACAGAGCAGAAAAAUUUUCUUGAGUUGCUCACCUUUUAAAUACUUGAAACUCAGUUCAAUACUUGAAUAAGUCUCUGCAGGCACACCUUCGAAGUUUACCACUGAAGGCGUUUGGAGUUCUCGCAAGGCAUUCUUCCACUCAUGCAGACUCUUGUUUCUCAGUGCCCUCGCUACUGUAGUCAAGGCAAUGGGCAAACCUCCACAUGCCUGGGCUACAUUAAUUGCUGUAGACUUGAACUUACAAUUUUCAACAUCAUCACUAUUCAUUAUCUUCAACAAUCUCCAAGCUUCUUCUUCAUCUAGAUUGCCAAUCAAGAAGUUAUCUUUGGAGCCCAUACUUAAUAGUACAUUAUUGUCUCUUGCUGUCAGCAGUAGUCUACAUCCUUUAUGAUCAUUUCCGAAGGGACUUCCAACCGUCUCCAAAUCAACAUGUUUCCAGAUAUUAUCUAGAAUCACAAGAAUCUUAUUCUCACUCUUCAAUCGUUCAUACAGCUUGCUAGCUCUUCUAUAUUCAGCUUCAUCGGACAACUUCUCUGCAAUUUCCCCUCGAAUCUUUUUUACCUCUGGAGUUUAUGAAACCUCUGAAAAAACCACCCGAUCAAACAGCUUCUUUUCCCUGGCUUGCCUAGCAAACUCCUUCACCAGUGUGGUCUUUCCAAUGCCGCCUAUGCCGUACACCCCAAUAAUGCUGACAUUCGCCUCCGUCAAUGCAUUUUUUAUAGACUGCAAAGUAGAAAGUCUUGAUUCGAAGGCCUCGUAACCAUUGCUAGACUUAAGCCAUAUCUCCUCCCGAAUGGUACGGUGGGAAACAGUAUCAAACUUCUUAACUUCUUCUCCAAGUCAAUAAUGGCCUUCACCUCCGUCUCUGCUUUCUUGCCAAGCUGAUAGCGGGUCUUCAAAUUAGGACACAAGCCCUUGAGACAGCGCUUAUUUGUUGACUCCUCAUCUUCAAUGAAUUUGGCUGCCGGUCAAUGAUGCCGUUCGCACUAACCUGCCACUUUUCAACGUUCUCUUCAAUCUCUUCCCCUUUUUCUUCCGCCUCUGAAACUCUGUGCUGAAUGCUCGUACGUUCAACCUUCAACUUCUCCAUUUCCGCCUUGAUAUUCUCAAAGUUGGCAUUGUAGUUCCGCUUUCGCAAAUGCACAAGUUGGCGUUCAGUUGGAGGAGCCAAGCAUUUUACAAGUUCCAAGACGAUAGUCACAAUGAUUUCCAGCAUCUCGAAUCCUGACAAAAACGUAGAAGCGAAGAAAGCCAAAGGAAAGUAAAAACAAAGAGACAGCGAUAGGACAGGCAGUUCGUGUUUUUCAGAUGAAAUGCAGGAAACAAGAAAACGGUUUCUAUCACGACGUAAAGAGCUAAAAGAGCUGAUGGGUGCAGAAUAAGAAAUGAGACUGAGUGAGCAAAGCUAAAUAAUAACAGAACAAGAACAAUGAUGAAUAGAAGAAACAGUAGCAAAGAGCCGUUUAGAUGAUUAGAAUGAAACUAAGCGACUGGAAAGAGCCGAUGGUAGACUAAAGAGAAAGUGAUUGAUUAUUUUAGGAGGCCAAUUAACGUAAUGACAGAUCCGGUUUCGAUGUUUGUAAUUUGAGUAUGAGGUAAAUCGAUUCUUUGUCGAGCCAGUCAAAUACAAAGGCAAAUUAGUAAAACACGAGCCAGCAACUUUUACUCACACAAAAGCCAAUAAUAUAUUGAGAUCACGCAACAUUGCAAUAAAGUUAUCAUCAAGUUGUAGCCUUCUUAUUCAAUCAAUUAUAGCAUUAUCUCUAGCUCUGUAUUUUUCAAAAAAAAAUUAUUCAAAAGAUGUCUGUCAUUAAUUUUUCAAUGAUUAAAAUUAUAAUUUUUGUUUAAUAUAUAAAACGUAAAAUUUUAAAAGAAUCAGACAUGCAUUAGGGUAAAAAUAAAAAAUAUGGAGGUAGCUUUUAACUAGGUAAUUGGCUCAACUAUGGAUCAGUGUGACAUUUUAGUAUUAAGCAAACGGAACUUUUUUUUAAUUAAAUUAAUCUCAAAGUGAUAGGCUUCUCAUGAAUCAUGUAAUGUUGUCGUUUUUAAAGACUUGACAUUUUGGGGUAAUCAUAAUUAACAAUGCACAUCACUUGUUUGUCACAAUGUCCAAAUAAAUAAUUUUAAAAAAAAAAGUUAUUUUCAUUCUUUCUUUUCAGGUAUCCUAAUUCCUUUUGCAGUUUGAUUCCUCUUUUCCUGAAUUUUGUUCCUUCCAUUAAACUAAUAAUUUAUUUAAGGAUAAUUAAGCAUCAGCCCUCAAUUGUUCAGUAUUUCACACAGUGCACCCACAUCUUUUGACCAUGUGCACCUCCCCCUAUUUCUAUUAAAAAAUCAACUAAUCUAACUAUUUAGGCUGUUAUAAAUUUAAAAGACUAUACUACCCCUAUUUUGAAAUGAAUUGGGUAUAUAAGUACUAAAAUACCCUCACAACUAAUAAAAUUUAAAUCAAAAAGUAAAAAUUUAUUAUAAUAUUUUUAAAAUUAUAUGGAAACAAUUUUUUUUUCCGGAUUACGAACCCAAGAUUAUAACCUAGUAAAUUACAAAAUCAGAGGCAAAGCAUGAUUCCAAUGUGAAAGAAAAAAAAUCAAACAUUCAUCAGUACAUUACAAAAUAAGUCCAAUAAUCCCACUAGAAUAAAUAAAACCCAAUAGAAAGAAACCCUAAACUAAUGAUACCAAAAUCCAUGAGAGCAAAUUUCAUUGUAAAAUUCUAUUACAAAAUAAAUUUAUAUUAAGAAAAUUCGAUAAAAAGAAACCCAAUAAUCAAAAAUCUUAAAACUAAAGAUAUCAAACCCAAAAUUAAAUUAUAGAGGCGGCGAAGGAAAAAGGGUUUUUUUUUUAAUUAUAUAUAUUAUUUUAAUCUUGUGUUAAUUACCAUUCUACCCUUCUUUCCGUUAACAUUAGAUUUGAAAGAAAUGAGGGUGGUGGACAUGGUCGGAAGAUUGGGGGGCACAAUGCAAAAUGUCGAAACAAUUGUGGCUAAUGCUAAAUUACACAUUAUUUAAAUUAAAUUAUCCUAAUUGUAUUUGACUGUGACUGUGACCGGAACCGCUACAAUCACUUAGUAUUUUUAUUAAUUAAUUGACAAUAAUUUCAUCAUUAGACGGUACUAUGAUAGUUUUGUCACUAUGUUUGUUACCAUCUCUCAAAAAAAAAAAAUUACUUUUACAUGACGAAUUGUGUAACAACGAUUUAAUGAAAAAUAAAAAAACAGCACGACAUCUCGUGGCUUAACAUGGUAAUCAUGAAUAUCCCUUAUUUUCAAAUAUAUAUAUAGACCUCUUUUUGUAUUUAAAAAUAGUUACAUAGAUCCUGAAUUUGUGUGUCCGUGGAUAAAUUUUCAUGAUCAUUUUUUAAAAUAAGGGAUUUUUGUGACUAUUUUGUCACGUCCGAGGAUGCCGCCGUUCUUGUCACCAAAAAUUAUUCUCAUAAGAGUAAUGAUUAAUUGGACGUCAGCAAUGAGGGCAUGUAAUGAAAAAAAUUUGUUUUGGAUGGGAUCCAAUAAUUUUAAUUACCAUGGUGGUGACAGACCCAGUUGCAAAAUCAACUGAUUUUACAAUUCUAUUGAAAAUUCUUUAAAUGAUCACUUAUCUAGUUCUACUAUAUCCUUAAGCAUAUUGAUUUUGUUACUUAUUUUCUAGUACUUAUAUUUAGGCAUUGAAAUUGGAUUGCAUAACUAAGACGAUUACUUGAGCUGAAAAUUUUUCAAGUAUGGUGGAGGGGAAAGUGAGAGAGUCGCGGCUGAAGAAGAAAUAUUAUGAGAACUGCUAAGGCUAUAAGGCUGAUAAGCUUAAAGAGUCGGAACGAGGCUUACCAAUUCGCAAGCUUUUAUAAUUUGGAUUGUUGUGCUUGCAACUGGUAAAUUUUUCAACUUCAACUCGAUAUAAUGAUUUUUGAGAGAACCAUUUGUUGAUGCUGAAAUCUGCUCGUCCUUUUCCCGACCAGAUCUUUACACCAACGUUUAUGUAGUCAAUAGUGAGGAUGUCAAUUUCUUCUUGCUUCAACGAUCGCUCUAGUCACUGAAGUUGGAAUUGUCCUUCCUUCUCCCACUGAGCCUGCGUUCACAAAAGUAGAUAAGAGACGCCGGUGGUUUUACCGGCGUAAACCCUCCGAUGCCUAAGUUAGCACAAGGUGUUUACGGGAAAACGGUGCAAUUUGGAUUCGAUAAGUUGCUUAUAAUUGGCUCACAGUUUGUAUUAAAAAUGGUCUGGUUGCAAUUUGGUAGAGUUUUCCCUUCUCUCAAUUUUUAUGUCCCUUUCUUCAUUGAUUUCUUCCUCUUUUAUAGCCGUUGUCCCACGUUUCCGUUCACCCUUCAUCCCCCCUUAUCUCGGGUAGUGGCAGCCCCUCAUGGGACUCCAACCGCCAUAUCGUGGGUAAACGUGGGACACUGUGUCUCCCUCGACGGUUCUGGGCAUAGCGCAACUGUCGUGCUUUCGUGAGAUCGUGUUCCCGCUCUUUGGAGAAUGGGUAUAUGCUCGGUAUAUGUCUCUGGUCGGCCCAUGUUUGUAGAGGGCUCAUUAUCAGUGUUCUGCUCGUAUCAUUUGGCUGAGGUGAUCCAUGCUGGGGUGGGGGUGAUGGCCUGUCUGUGCUGGUGCUCUUAUUUACUCAACACCAGUCCCCCAAUUUCUGAUCUUGCGAGUGAAACGAGUUGAGAGUAGAAAUUGAAGUCUGCUCGUAUCUUAUCGAUCCUGGGAACUACCCAUCUGGUUCUCAUGUUAUUGUGGUGGGUCUGAGGUUCCAUCUCUCGUUUAAGGAGAUAUCGACCUUAAUAUGGGCCUUGACGAAUGUAUCUAGUAUCUACUUGAGCUUACAUCUCGUCGAGCCUUUUAUAACGGUUAGUGACGUGGCGCUUCCCGACUCUUUGUAUUUGAAAUUCGAAACGACGGGCUAUCCAUCCUCGAUAUACGGUGAGUGAGCUGGCAUCCCUAUCACUCAAACGCUUCCAUUUCCCCCUUUUUGUUUCAAAUCCCUAAACUAAAGUCAUCCUCGUUUUGCUUAUUCGCUUCUCCACCGGAAGACAACUCCUUCGAACUUUAUUCACACUUUCCGCGUCUGGGAUCUCCAUUUGCUGGGUCUUUUCUCUGUUACAGCAACGCUUAUCAGUGCCAGUCCAUUCCAGGUAUAGCCUUUAACCUCUUCUCUGGUUGUUGUUGAUUGGGUUUUGUAUUGUGGGUUCUGUGUUUGUCCCUUUUUUGUAUCCAUACUCUUAGAUAUUUUGUGCUUUCCCUUCUUAAACUUCGGUAUGUCCAACCGAAAAGGAAAAAGAAUUAUAGUCGAGAGCGAUGAAGAAAUAGAGGAUUCAUAUCCUCAUUUGUUUGGACCCAAUGAUCUUCUUCACUCCUCUCGCAGUGUAGGUCCCUCCUAUCAUAGGGAUACCCCUGAAUACCCUCGUCCCUUGGCCACUUCACCCUCCCCUGAAUUAGAGCUUGUAGGAAAUAGAGGUGGACCUGCGUCGGGCUCUAGUGAAAAUCAUGGUUCUGGUGGGGUUGGGGUUCCUGAAGAAGUGGGUGAUGGUAAGGGGAGCAGUUCUGAACCAAGCAGACCCCCUCAGAAGAGAAACCUCGGCCAUAGGGUGGAGGCAGAUUCUUACCCUAUUGAUUACAUAGCUUGUGCCACCACCCCAACUGACCAGUUCAAACUUAGGAAUCUUUACAACAUUCCCGAGGAGGUUCUCCUUGUAAUUCCUGGGAAAGACGACGUUCCUAGUCGGCCUCCGAGGGGGUAUGUGACGAUGCACCUGGAGAGUUUCAAACUAGGAGCUCGGCUGCCCCUUCAGCGCUACUUUGCCAAGAUACUGGGUGGUAUGCACCUGGCCCCAUGUUAGCUACACCCAAAUGGGUGGAGGGUUCUCUCAGCUAUGUAUGUGCUAUGGGAGAGGUGCGGAUCAGAGGAACCUUUCCUUGUUGAAGUAAAGCAUCUGUACCAACUGCGGAGUAGCCCAAAGGAAGCGGGUUGUUACUACUUCAUGUCCAGCUCUGCAAAGAGGAAGCCGAUUACCGGGUUUCCUUCUUCAUGUAAAAAUUGGAAGAACAAAUUCUUCUUUACUAGAGGAAAUUGGUGUCUAGCAGCCCGGUCGCUUGGUGGUGAUAUUCACCUUCCAACGCGCUUUGUCACCCCAGGUCGUUUAUUUAUUGCCUAUUUUCUUUCUCCAAUCGUCACUUAUUGGGUUCUUUAACCUUGUUUGCUAUUUCAGAGUCGUGGAGUUUGAUCGAGGGGAUUGAAGAGAGACCUUUGCUCCAGGUAGAGACUGCUUUGGUGAACGCGUCUACCUGCCAAGAUCUUUUGUCGUCAACAAACCUGGUCGGGUGGCGCUCAGUGGACAUAGCUGUCGGAAUGGACAAUAAGAUCCUCAGUGCAAUGACCAGAAAGCGUGGUCGGGCUUCAAGUAGCCCCAGUAACCCUCCUCCCCCUUCGAAGAAAACCAAUGUUGGUCCAUCCAAGGCUUCUGCUCCUGCUCUGCUCCCUCCUCCACCUCGAAAGAAUGGAGGAGAGAAGGUGACUACCAAGAGUCCUGAGGUCAGUAUUCAUUCAGGAGAUCGAUCCUCUCCUCUUCCACCUCGGGAUCAAGGUGACUAUCUAACCCCAUAUCAGAUGGACUAUGGGAAGUCCGUGGGGCCUAAAAUGAUUAAGAACAUCGAGAGCAUUAAUCUUGGUGAAUUGGCUGGUUCUGUCCAGCAGGUCUCCUUCAAGCUGGUUACUUUGGUGUCUUGUUAUAAGAACAGGGCCAUACGUCAUGAGAGGAGGCUUCAGACUAAUAACCAGGACCUGAAGAAGAAAGUUGAGUUUGUCGACCGCUCGAAGGAGAAGCUGCUUGAUCUGCACAAGCAAAUCAUGGACCUGGAGGAGAAAAUGGCCAUGGCUGAGUCCACCUCCAUCAAACUUGAGAAUGAGUUAGGUGAUCUGAAGUCUGAUCUCCAGGCCACUCAGAGUGAGUGGGACACCUUGAAGACGGCUCUUGAGGGAGAAAUCAAAUCUCUGAGUGAGCAGUUGGCCGAGGCGAAAGGCAAAUCUGCUGAUGUGGAUGAUCGGCUGGAUGCAGAGUAUGACUCUGGGGUUGCUUUCUACUAUAAAUGCAUUAUGUCUGUGCUUAAGGAAGAGUAUCCAGAGCUUAAUAUGAGCAAGCUUGAAGCUGGAGUGCAGAGGUAUAUGGCCGAGGUCGAUCAGGGGGACAAGGAGCAGGGUGACCAAGACCAGGUGGAGGCUCCCUUAGGUGGGGUGCAGGAGGAGGAAGCAGGGGAUCGUGCUCCUGAAGUAGGUCAAGGGUCAGUGCUUCCUCCCCCCGAUGCUGCUGAUCCUCUUCCUCUUGAGAUUGCUGAUCUUUCAGUUGCUGAGGUUGCUGAACCUCCUAAUCUUUAGGCUUAUUUUUGUAUGAAUUUUCAUUUUGUUUGCAAACGCUCGGAUGUUUAUAAAUUUUUGGAUGCUUUCUAUCGGCCUUUCUAUCUGGUUUUUUGCUCAUGGAUUGUUUUUGCAAAUUAACUUGACAACUUAUUUGAUUUUGCCUGCUGGCUCUUUGGUGGACCGAGCAGGAAUAUGCGCUUACUUGCCUUAGUAGAAUUUCAUAAAACUGCCUGCUGGUCCUUUCGGCGACCGAGCAGGAAUAAGCACUUGCUUGCCUUAGUAGAACUUCACAAAAUUACCUGCUGGUCUUUUGUUGACCGAGCAGGAAUAGGCACUUGUUUGCCUUAGUAGAAUUUUGUAGAAUUGCUUGCUGGUCUUUCGUUGACCGAGCAGGAAUAGGCACUUGUUUGCCUUAGUAGAAUUUUAUAAGAUGCCUGCUGGUCUUUCGUUGACCGAGCAGGAAUAGGCACUUGUUUGCCUUAGUAGAAUUUUGUAAGAUUGCCUGCUGGUCUUUCGUUGACCGAGCAGGAAUAGGCACUUGUUUGCCUUAGUAGAAUUUUAUAGAAUUGUCUGCUGGUCUUUCGUUGACCGAGCAGGAAUAGGCACUUAUUUGCCUUAGUAGAAUUUUGUAAGAUUGUCUGCUGGUCUUUCGUUGACCGAGCAGGAAUAGGCACUUGUUUGCCUUAGUAUAAUUUAAUGGGCUUGCUAGCAGGGGGAUUUCAUGCUGAAUUCAUCUUUAUUAAAACUUGAAUACAUUACAAAAAUGCGAAAUAUAUGCGUGUGCAACAAGUCAUCAUGCAUUUAAUAGAAAUAAUUUAUCAAAAUAAAGACUUAGUAGAGCACUUUGCUUACUGGAAAUACUUCUUCAUGUGCUCGGCGUUCCACGACCUCUUCACGUCUCGUCCAUUUGAGUACGCUAGCUUGUAAGCUCCUGGUCCAGUCACUCGUAUCACCCUGUACGGGCCUUCCCAUUUCGGGCCAAGAGCUCCAUGGUUAGGAUCCCUAGUGUUUUGGUUCACCUUCCUAAGUACCCAAUCCCUUGCUCGGAACUGCCUCACGCGUACGUUCUUGUUGUAAUAACGCAUGACUCUUUGCUAACACUGGGCCACUUUCUGCGAGGCCCCUUCCCUUUUCUCCUCUAGCAGGUCCAGGCUCAAGCAGAUCUGCUCGUCGUUUUGCUCCUCAUUGAAGUAUUCUGUCCGAUGUGUCCCCACUCCAAUUUCUGCUGGGACUACCGCCUCAUGACCAAAAGUCAAAGCAAACAGAGUUUCCCCUGUGGCGGUUUUGUGAGUUGUCCGGUAAGCCCACAAUACUCCUGGUAGCUCGUCGACUCAAGCUCACUUCUUCUCUCCUAGUUUGAUUUUCAGGAGUUUCUUUAUUACUUUAUUGGCUGCUUCCACAUGUCCGUUUGCCUGGGGGUGUGCGGAGGUGCAGAACUUCAGGUCCACCCCCAAGUUUCGGCAGAAUUCUCUGAAGUUGUUGUUGUCAAAUUGCCUCCCAUUAUCUGUAAUGAUGGCAUAGGGGAUCCCAUAUCUGCAGAUGAUAUUCUUCCAAAUAAAAUCCGUUGUUUUUCUCUCCUUGAUUUGGCUGAGGACUCCCACUUCUACCCACUUGGUGAAGUAGUCUAUUGCCACAAUUGCAUGUGUUGCCGCUCCUCGGCCCUUAGGUAAUAGACCAAUCAGGUCAAUUCCCCAUUGGACAAAAGGCCAUGGGGAUGUCAUGGUGGUCAGCUUUUCUGGGGGUUGUGCAGGAACCUCUGAGAAGCUUUGGAAGAUUUUACAGUUCUUUGCCAUCCUCUUCGCAUCCUGGUGCAUGGUUGGCCAGAAGUAUCCUUGCCGGAGUGCCUUAAAGGCUAAAGUUCUCACUCCCGAGUGAUUGCCACAUAUUCCUUCAUGAAUCUCCCUCAGUACAUAAUCUGCUUCCUCGUCAUCCAAACACCUCAAAAGGGGUAAGGUGAAUCCUCGGCGGUAGAGCACCCCAUCGUGUAGCGUAUACCUUGCUGCUCGGCAUUUUAAUUUCCUUGCUUGCCUCUUGUCCUCUGGUAAAAUGCCAUCACAGAUGUAUAAGAGAAUCGGGUCCAUCUAGGAUUCCUCGGUGCUUAUUCUCAUUACCUCAACUUCCUCCCUUAUAAUUGGCGAGGUCCUCACCUCUAGUGGAACUGACUUAGAUAAUUUCGGAUCUGCAAUUGCAGCCAUUCUCGCUAACAUAUCUGCUCGGUAAUUCUCAUUCCGGGAUAUCUGCUUUACCUCUACCUCUUGGAAAAGCCCAACCAUCUGCUUUGCCUUCUUCAAAUAAAGCCCCAUCUUCUCUUCCCUUGCUUGGAACUGAUCACUGAGCUGAUUACAGACUAAUUGGGAAUCUGCUCGGAUUUCUACCUUUUCUGCUCUUAGUGCGUCCGCAAGUCCGAGCCCAGUGAUAAAGGCUUCAUAUUCAGCUUGGUUGUUCGUGAGCUGAAACUCGAACUUCACUGCAUAAGUUACUUCGGUCCCUUCUGGGCUUCGUAUUACAAUUCCUGCUCCGGACCCUUGUUCACUACAUGACCCAUCAACCUUUACUAGCCACACCCCAUCCGGUUUAUCCUGCUCUAUUGGUUGCUCCUCCCGAAUUUCUUCCCCCGGUUCAGCACGGUCAACCAUAAAAUCGGCCAGGGCUUGGGCUUUGAUUGCUCCUCGAGGCCUAUAGGAUAGGUCAAAUUCGCUCAGCUCCACGGACCAUUUUACUAACCGACCUUAUGCAUCUGGUUUUUGGAGCAUUUGCCGAAGAGGCUGGUCAGUCAUCACAACUAUUGGGUGGGCCUAAAAAUAUGGUCAGAGUUUGCGCGCUGCCGUUAUUAGAGCUAGUGCCCAUUUCUCCAUCGGCGGAUACCUGGUUUCUGCGUCUACUAGGGCCUUGCUUGUGUAGUAUAUGGGGUGUUGCUUUCCUUCUUCUUCUCUGACUAGCACCGAGCUGGUUGCCCAUUUUGAGAUUGCUAAGUACAAAAAUAGUUGGUCACCCUCUCUCGGAGUUGAUAGUAACGGGGCGCGAGCCAGGUAAUCCUUCAACUGUCCAAACGCCUCCUCACAUUCUAAUGUCUACUCCAUCUUUCUCCAUUUUUUUAUGGUUUGGAAGAAAGGGUGGCAUUUAUCUGUGGCCCGCGAGAUAAAUCGGUUCAUUGCUGCUAAUCGCCCUGUAAGACUUUGCACCUCUUUAACUGUUCGUGGGGACCUCAUUUCUGUCACCGCCCGUAUUUUUUCCGGGUUGGCCUCGAUCCCUCGGUGGCUCACCAGGAAUCCCAAGAAUUUGCCCGAACUAACCCCGAAUGCACAUUUGUCUGGGUUCAGCUUCAUUUCGUACUUCCUCAGCAAUUCAAAGGUCUCUUCCAAGUGCUUCACAUGAUCCCUUGGUUCUUUGGACUUUGUGAUCAUAUCAUCCACAUACACCUCCAUAGUGUGACCGAUCAAUGGUUUGAAGAUCUUGUUCACCAACCUUUGAUAGGUAGCUCCUCCAUUUUUUAGACCGAAAGGCAUUACCCUGUAACAAAACAAACCCAUAUUAGUUAUGAAGGUGGUGCUUUCCUCAUCCUACUCGUCCAUGAGUAUCUGGUUGUAUCCGGAAAAGGCAUCCAUGAAGCUGAGCAGACUGUGGCCUGCUGUUGAGUCCACCAAUUGAUCUAUUUUUGGUAGGGAAAAACUGUCCUUCGGGCAUGCCUUAUUGAGGUCCGUGAAAUCCACACACAUUCUCCAUUUCCCGUUGGCCUUCUUUACCAGUACUACAUUGGAAAUCCACUCUGGGUAUUUGGCCUCCCUUAUAAAUCCUGCUUUCAGGAGCUUUUCCACCUCGGCAUUUAUGGCCUCGUACCUUUCCUGGUUAAAGCACCUCCUUUUCUGCCUUACCGGCCUUGCUCCUUUCUUGAUCGCCAAUUUGUGGCAUGCUACCAUGUGAUCAAUUCCUGGCAUGUCCUCAUGAGACCAGGCAAAUGUGUCUGCAUGGGACUGUAAACACCUCACCAGCUCGCCCUUUAUUGUCUCACCCAAACUUGACCUGAUCCUAACCACUCUGUUCGGGUUACUCCUACUUACAAAGACCUCCUCCAGAUUCUCAACAGGUUCCUGGCGGCCCUUUUUAGAAUCCCCUCGGUUAUCUAGAGAGGUAACCUGUAGCGUCUCCUUAGCCGCUGUAGCAUAACAGCUCCUUGCCAUUCUCUGGUCACCUUUUACUACCCCAACAACUCCAUUUACUCUAUACUUCAAUGCCAGAUAAUACGUGGAUAUAACGCAUUGGCUUAUCCUCAUGAACGGUCUCCCCAGUAUCAUUUAGUAAGGGCUUCUUUCUUCUACCACGACAAAGUCCAGCAUCAUCGUUCUUUCAAACGGCUUUGACCUCAUAGUAAUCGGGAGUUCGAUGAUCCCCAUGGGAGUUAACCGUCCCCCUCCAAAUCCCUUCAAAGAUGUAUUCGUCCGUUCCAGUUUCAAGUCUGAAAUUCCCAUAUCAUCUAAGGCCGACUUAAACAAGAUGUCAACCGAGCUGCCCGUGUCCACCAGUAUUCGCCGUAAUUCUGUACCAACCACCCUUGCUUUAAUCACCAGUGCAUCCUCAUGAGGAUAUAAAAUACCUUCUUCGUCGUCAUCUGUCCACAUAAUGGGAACCUACCGCACUUUGCCCUCUUGGCUGCUGGCAAAUUGAAAAGCACCUCUUUGCUGGUCAUGGCGUAUCUCCCAUAGUUCCUCCUUGCUCUGUUCGAAUCCCCGGCCAAUGUUGGCCCUCCUACUAUCACACGGAUAGUCGGUUGUUCAUGUUCCAGGCCCCUCUCAACUCCUUCAUCCCGCGUGUACUGUGAUUCAAUGACGGGGGACACUCCAUCUACAUAUUCAUCCAAGUACCGAUUUCUCACCAGAUCCUCCACCUGAAUCUUUAGGUCACGACAUUGGCUGAUAGUGUGACCAUGAGUAUCGUGGAAUUUGCAGAACUUGCUCUUAUCACGUCGGUGAGCAGGUUUUGUUAUAUGGGCCGGAGGGUAUAGCAGGCCUCGUCCUUCGAUCCUCUCAUACAAUUCUUCCAUGGAGAUUUUUAAUGGGGUGUACUGUCCAUACGCCAAGCUCUGGUCAACAAGUUGGACUACUCGGCUAUCAUGGAUAUCGCCCCGGGCUGAUAUCGUAGGCAACUAAUCUGGUCGUCCAGCCCUGGAGUUAGUUGUGUGUAGUGCUCUGGGAGCAUUGUGAUAAGGGUGGGCAGCCAACUGCCUGAAUUCUCGUUGCCGCUCCAGGAACGAGGGGCGCGGUGGUUGAGCUCGGCUGUGUUGGAGCUGUUGUGGUCUCUGAGCUAUGGGAUAGGGGCGGGACCGAGCUGAUAUUCUGCCCAUUACUGAGGAUUCCCUAGCUCGCUUUCCCGAUCCGCUCCCGUUCGGGGCUCUCCGUUCCUUUCGUCUCAGCUCUUCCAGCUGUUCGCUUUUUAUCCUCGCCGAUUUCUCCUCUUCGAUUUCUAUAUCUCUCCUCGCCUGAUCAUACCCCGCCGAAUAAUUCUGCACCAUGGGACUUAUCAAGUUAUACCACAGUCGGCCUAUUCUCACCCCUUCUUUUAAUCCCCUCAGUGCCUGCAGGUGAUUAAAAGCUCCCAGAUCCAGCACGGCUCGGUGAUAUCGUUUUAUAAAAUCCCGAAGGGAUUCAUGUUCCUCCUCUUUCAUCCCCAUCAGCUCCAUCAUGUCGUCCUCUAGGGCCACUGCUCCUCGAAACUGCUCGGCCAACUCUUGGCACGUCUGCUCGUACCCUUUUAUACUUCCUCGGGGCAGCUUGCGGUACCAUUCUUGGGCUUGUCCCUCUAGUGUCAACGGGAAUACCCUGCACCUCUGAGUUGGUGUCAGCCCCUGCACACCCGUCAUGUCAUUGAAACGUUCAAUAUGCACCAGAGGGUCACUUCGCCCGGAGUAUUUGAGGUCGGGGAAGCGAAAAUCUCUUGGGAUUACAGUACCCAUGAUUUCGGUUGAUAACAGAGACUCUUCAUCUAGCAUUAUCCUCCAGCUCGGGGGCUUUCUCUUGCCCUGAAUCUCCUCUAUCACCUGCGCCAAUCUGCGCACCUCUCCCUCCAAUUCUACAGCACGGUUAGGAUCGCGCGCAGCUAUCUGAUCUCGUUCCUGCUCGGCAUUCUGCAACCUCUGUCUGAGCUCUCCUUCAUUAACACUGGCCCCUCGGUCAUCAAUUUCCAGUACCUGUCCGGGGCGAGGUUGGUCCCUCUCUUCACCCACGCGCUCUCCUGGAACCCGACCAGUACUUCUAUGGGGAUGCACCCUAUUAAGUUGGUCCACCGGCGGAGGGAUUUUCUCGACUCUACGCCUCCGAAGGCUGGGUUCUGCUCCAACUUCAUCUCUCCCCAUGGGGGUUUCACAAUCCCUUCUCCGUUCAUCCCUCAGCUCAUAUAAUAUGGCCGUGAGAGUCUCCAUUUGUUUCUCCAUCCGCUCCAGUCGAUCUUGCAUUGUCCUCUCUUGAGCUUCAUUCGCAAUCUCCCUGAGAGUGAUUGUCUCAACAGUUUCAUUGUCAUCCCUCAAAGCAUCAUUCCUUGACGCAUCCAUAUCCAACCGUUCGCUGCUUCUCCGGUAACUACUAAUUUGGUGGUAGCUUUUUAUUCAACUCCCUACAGACGGCGCCAAAAUGUUGAUGCUGAAAUAUGCUCGCCCUUUGCCCGACUAGAUCUUUACACCAACGUUUAUGUAGUCAAUAGUGAGGAUGUCAAUUUCUUCUUGCUUCAACGAUCGCUCUAGUCACUGAAGUUGGAAUUGUCCUUCCUUCUCCCACUGAGCCUGCGUUCACAAAAGUAGAUCAGAGACACCGGUGGUUUUACCGGCGUAAACCCUCCGAUGCCUAAGUUAGCACAAGGUGUUUACGGGAAAAUGGUGCAAUUUGGAUUCGAUAAGUUGCUUAUAAUUGGCUCACAGUUUGUAUUAAAAAUGGUAUGGUUUCAAUUUGGCAGAGUUUUCCCUUCUCUCAAUUUUUCUGUCCCUUUCUUCAUUGGUUUCUUCCUCUUUUAUAGCCGUUGUCCCACAUUUCCGUUCACCCUUCAUCCCCCCUUAUCUCGGGUAGUGGCAUCCCCUCAUGGGACUCCAACCGCUAUAUCGUGGGUAAACGUGGGACACUGUGUCUCCCUCAAUGGUUCUGGGCAUAGCGCAACUGUCGUGCUUUCAUGAGAUCGUGUUCCCGCUCUUUGGGGAAUGGGUAUCUGCUCGGUAUAUGUCUCUGGUCGGCCCAUGUUUGUAGAGGGCUCAUUAUCAGUGUUCUGCUUGUAUCAUUUGGCUGAGGUGAUCCAUGCCGGGGUGGGGGUGAUGGCCUGUCUGUGCUGGUGCUCUUAUUUACUCAACACCAUUUACAAUGAUUUUGGCCUAUUGUGCUCUUCUAGUUUUGUCCUUAAUUCUUUGGUGAUUUUUUUUUUUUUCAGUUCUGCCGGUCGCAUCUCUCUUUCCCUUCCUUUAUUUUAUGGUGAGUGGACUGUUGUUGCCUUCAGCAGAGUAGUUACUAGUGAGAAAAUUUAUAUUUUUCUAUCAUGCUUGCUGAUUUUCUUAGAAAUAUAAGAAAAGACAAGUUUUAUCUGUCAAACAAUUCAUUGCUUUUUCACAGCAGUAUGUUAUGAUUUCUUUUCAGAUUAGGGAUUUUCACAUUGCAAAAAGGGAGUAAGAUAUUGGAUUCUAUGCUGGUUACGUGGGUGAGUUAUUUUAUGUAUUUUUAUUGUGUUUAAUAAAUGACACAUGGUAUGGAGUCCUUUUUUGGUACAAAUGUGCAGACUCGCGCCUUUACAACUCUGUAAAAACAUUCUAUUGAGGGCUUUACAACACUGUAAAGGCACUGUACAAGGGUUUUACACUGCAGACUUGCGCCUUUAUACUGUAAAGGGCCAAGUCUAUGCUUUAAAAAGUACAGAUGUUCGCACCUCGAAAUAAUUAACAUAUAUGUAUGUAACAUUUCAAAUUCCUCAAGAAGCCAUCCUGACAAACCUCUUAAUACCUUGAUGAAAUUGAAGGGUCUUCAUACAUGCUUGGCAGAGCUUUAACAUCUGUUUUGUGGGGAAUGGUGGCUGACCGCUGCGGUCGAAAGCCUGUAAUAUAAUAGGAUGCAUCACAGUAUUAGUGACCUCCAUUUUCAAAUGAUUAAGCUUGAAAUUGAUGAUACUUUGGCAAUUUCUGGGUUUCUUAUUUGUCUUAAAAUGCUCACAGGGUUUUUUUUUAACACUCUCUUUGGGCUUAGUGUGAAUUUCUGGAUGGCCAUAGCUACAAGGUUUCUCCUUGGGCUUUGAAUGGUUUACUUGGACCAAUAAAGGCGUUGAUUGGGGGUAUUUGUUGAUAAUUCCAAUUUAGUUCCUGAAAAUAUUUGUGCUCAAACUUCUCUUACACCACGAGGCAUAUGCAUGUGAAAUAUUGGGCGAUCAGCACCAAACUUAUUACGAAACUAAAAAUGUUACUUGUUUUCUGUACUUGCUUUCGCAUGCAUCACCCCCACAAAACUGCUUGACGAUUGUCCUCAUUUUGAACUUACUAUAGGUUUCAUUCUCCUUGUUUUUCAACUUACUCUGUACCCUUACAUCGAGAGGAUUAUUGGGCCAAUAAUCAUAACACGAAUUGCAGGGGGUAAUAUUUUGAACACCUCAUGCGGCAUUUGGACCAUUUGAUUGUUUGUUUCAAACAUAUCUGUUUAUAAAAUACUUUUCUUCAUGGUUUUGGUCCCAUAACUUUCUAUGUAUGUACGGGUUUUAUCGAUACCGCUUUUGACAAGUUACACUUACAUAGCAAUGCUAUCUGGGUUCAGCCUUGCCUUUUUGAUAAACUGUGCUUCUGUGAUGAAGAAUGUUUUAUCUGUAAGUGGAUAUCCUAAUCAUUGAUCCAUAUACUAAGGUUAUAUUAUCCAUCAGCAAGUAUGUAUAAAAUUAUUGUCUUUUUUAUUAGAAUUGUUGUAAUUCUUUUUUACUUUUCCUGAAUUGUAGAAUCAGGUGUCUAUAAUAACUGGAUUGUUCCUUGUGCAAAACAGAGCAGUGGUAAAUAUAUUUUCUUUUGUUUGUUUAGUACAUUUCCAUGCUUUCAGCUUUUUCAAAUUUUGUAUGUGCCAAAGUUUAAAUUAAUUGGUUGGUUUAUGGUAUAAUAAGAGGUAUGAUAAAUUUACUAAUGAAAUUUCUCACUAGUUUGUGAAUUACUUGGUGCUAAUUAGCUUAGUUAGCUGCUUAAACUAAAGUGCAGGUAACCAGAUGAUUUUUUCAUUCUGAAUUCGGUGGAGGCACUUGGAGUAAUAUUGACAUUCAAACCAUUUCUAACUCAACGUGCCCCGUGAAAUAUUCAAAUAUAUAUCAAGCAAAUUAAAGCUUUCAAAAUCUUUCAACAGUUUGAUUGUUUGAUGUGGUUGCCACUUGCCAUAUUUUGUGUUACUUUUCUAAAGGCUUAAAUAUGAAAAUGGUUGUUGGUGCUCACGCCAAUUGAUUGCUGGUAACAUUAAUUGUGCAGUACUUGUCAGAACUACCACAAUUUAUCUUCACAAUGAUGCUAGCUAGAAAGAAAAUUUCAUGUUAAGUAAAAUAUUGAAGCCAUAAAGAGUCUUAUUCCAGAGCCUUAUUAAGUACUAAGUUUUCUGCCAUGCUUUCAAAGUUUACAAAUUCGAAGCUUGGGAUUCUGUAACAAUGGAGGAUAAAAAUUAUAUAAGAAUAUUAUUUUGUACAAUUUUCAUACAACCAGACAGAAGCGAGCAUAAUUUUUUUUAUCAUAACUCAGAUCAAAAGACCUUCAAUGAUGUAUAAAAUGAAAUGAAAACGAUAGUUACCUCGAACUUUCUUCUUCAAAUUUCGCAGCACUAUGUAAUAAAUUAAAAAGCCUAUGGCAUCAGAACAUAUCGUACUGCGUCGAGAGAGACGACGACUCCUCCAACAGCUGAAAAUAAAUUCUCUCAUUCGUUAAUUUAAAGUAAAAUUUGUAAAUUUAGGUACUUGCACAUAGAGAUUUGCAAGGGGAGCGAGAGAUUCAAUAGCAGCAAUUUAAUUUGACAGGACUUUCAUUGAAUAAUGAAAUUAAAAACUAACGAUUAUUGAAUUUUUUAUAUUCUCUUAACUCUUGUGGAAAUGUCAGCUCUAAAUAGGACAGCUUCAAGAAUCUUUAUCUGAAAGUGUAAUUGGCAGAGCAGAAACUUGUGACACUAUCUAAAUCACAAAGACUCAACGUCUUCAAUUUGCUGAAAACAAUCUCUCGUUUUGAAUUUACAUUUGGAGCUCCAUCUUCUUCUUCGUCACCUAUUACCAUAUCUGUCAUUGCCCUGCAUCCAGCCACCUUCACUGAUACGAGCCGCACUAGACUUUUAGCUGCAGUGGAUUUUACAAUUCUUUGCAAUGGAAAACCACCAGUUCUGUUAGAUUCCCACAAGAUAUAGAUGAUCAUGGCAAUAGACUUAAAAGAUUUUUACAUGCAGUAAUAUACUCUUAAGUGGUGUUUGGUUGGGAGGAGAGAAUAGAAGAAAGGAAAGUAAUUUAAAUUCUCUUUUUAUUUCCAUUAUUUGGUUUGACAAAAUAUAUAAGAAUUUAAUUUCCAUUAGAAUUUGAAUUCCACACCAAGUAGUGAAAAAUUUAAAUUCCUCUUAUGUUAAAAACUAAAAUUUCCAAAACUAUCCUUCAAAUUUUUAACUUGUUUAAUGUCAUUAAUAAUUAUUAUUUAUAAUUUUAUUUUAUUGAUUUAAUAUUAUAAAUAGACCUCCACCGGUAAGUCGCCGGACCACUGUCGGACUUCGCCGGACCACCGCUGAACUUUCGCCAGACCACUGCCUAACUUCCACCGGAAAGUCGCCGGACCUCCACCGGAAUAUAGUUUUUCAUAGCGAAGAGCUUUGCUUUGAUGGCUUAAGGAUUUGUUCUAGGCAUACUGCUGUGAUUAGAUUUCGUUUAUUUUUAACUUUUUUUAAUCUUUUAUCCGAUGAAUGAUUUUCAGCUGUUCUUAAUUAUUUGUUCAUAGGGAAGAGCAUUUUCUAAGUACUUCCUUGCCUUCUAAGUUUCCGAAGAAAGAUAGGUGUGAAGCAAAGCAAACCAAACCAAAUGAACAAACAGAGCACAAACUAAAAUAACAGAACAGCAAUGAUGACAAUAAAUAAUUGGCAAAAAAAGAAAAGAAAAAAGCAUGCACAUUUUCAAGGAAAUAUAAAAUAUGAAGCUUUUAAUGAAAUUUUAUCAUAAAAAGUAUGCAAGUAUUUAACAAGAUGUUUGGAACGAUAGAAAAUGAAAGAAAAUUGAUUAAGAAGAUUCUGGAACAAUCAUAAUUCUUAUUGAUGAAACUGAUCAAAAUCGUACAUUGUGAACGAGCUCAGCACUAUUUAUAGUUACACACAUGCUGAUUAGAAAGUGUAGAGCUCAAAACUGCAAUAUUAACAAACUAAUUAACCUUCCAAUCAUAUUAAGCCAGCUGGACAGUUAGUUACAACCAAUCAGUACAAAUAACAACCUAAUCCAGCUUGGCAACUUUGUUACACAUCAUCAGCCAGCUCAGCUUAGCAAACUUACACUCUUAACAGCAAGGAAUUAUAAAAUUUUAGAAAACAAGGGGAACCCUAAAAAAAAAACUCAAAUUAAACUAGGCUAAAAGACAUUCAAUGAUGCAAAAUCUGUCCAUAAAAUUCUGAACGAAUCAUUAAAAUAGCAUUCCAAAUUUAACAGUAAACCGAGUGACCCAUUCUAAAUAAUUCAGAUGAAAUUGUGAAACAAGCCAUGAGAUCAAAUAAAUGAAAUAAAAAUUCGCAACUCCAAGUCAUAAGAAGCCUAUGAAAUUAGUCGUAAUGCGUAGACAACGACGACGGCACCGUCAACAGCUGAAAAUAAGAUUCUUAUUCAUCAAUUUAAACUUUUACUUUAUAACAAACAUCUUAUCUAUAUUUUAUUUAAAAAAAGAAAAUUUUGUAAAAUUUUUCCAUGGGAGAUAGAGAGUAAUAUGUAUAUACGUACCUUCUCAGCAUGUAAUUGUUGUAUGGUUGUGUUCAGAUCAUUAUUAGCCCAGCGCCGUUGAUCCGCUGUCUCUCCAUAGCAGACGUUUACUCUUGGAGGCGUGAUUGAUUCUCCUGUAGUGAAAAUCUUCAUCUUGGGACAACCAAUCACCCACAAAUCUUGCAAAGAUGGGAAUUUGAAGGUGUAGUUGGCAGAGCUGAAACUUGUGAAGCUAUCUAAAUCAAACAGUUCCAACGUCUUCAAUUUGCUAAAAACAAUCUCUUCUUUUUCAACUCCAUCUUUGUCAUUUAUUACCACCUCUGUCAUUGCUCUGCAUCCACAUACUUGCACUUUGACGAGUUGCACUAGAGUUUUUGCUGUGGAGGAUGUUACCAAGUGUAUCAAUCCCUUGCAACCGAAAGCCACCAGAGCUGUUAGGUUCUGAAAAGAUACCGAUGAUGAUGGCAAUAGAAUUAACAGACUUUGACAAUGAUGUACUUUUAGAAUUUCAAGAUACUGAAAAAUGGGGCCAAGUUUGGAGUCUUGUUUGCACAGCUGCUUCAGAUGAUAGUGCCGGUUCAGCUGUAAUUUUUUUAUCAUUGCCAACUUCCCCACAUGUUUCUCUAAGC
This 93253-nucleotide long non-coding RNA is filed under the name Citrus maxima (pomelo). RNAcentral describes it as "long non-coding RNA (CMAX_LNC001309)". The record is from RNAcentral. Lineage: Eukaryota; Viridiplantae; Streptophyta; Magnoliopsida; Sapindales; Rutaceae.